This 94105-nucleotide long non-coding RNA is filed under the name Prunus persica (peach). Its description in RNAcentral is "long non-coding RNA (PPER_LNC000570)". Lineage: Eukaryota; Viridiplantae; Streptophyta; Magnoliopsida; Rosales; Rosaceae. The record is from RNAcentral.
GAUGCACGCCUGUUGCGUAGCAAAUGAUGUGGAUUGAAGUCCCGAAAGGACAAUCCUUUGACAUGUCAAUAUUGAUAUUAUGCACGCCUAAUGCGUAGCAAAUUAUAUGGGUUAAAGUCCCAUAAUAUGGGUUAAGGUCCCAGAAAAUAAUUGACAUGUAUGUAUUAAUCUGUGACAUGCCUUCAGCAUGACAAAUAUAUGAGUUCUAAAUGUUCCAACUCCCUAAAUGGAGAUUAUCCACGCCCUACUGCUAAAUAACGCUCCAAUGGAGGUUAUAAUCCACAUUCUCACAUAAUAAAAACCCCAUGAAAUGGCUUGGGUACCCAAAGGCAAAUAAAUGCUUAUAAUUGAUGCAUGCGCAUGCACAUGAGAAUGGUGGGAUCAUGAAUUGAUGAAUGACAAUUUUUGGUUUUGGAGUAGCUACUCAAAUCAUCAAUGGGCUGUGUUGAUUGGAACCACGUUCAAUUAUUAAAUGUCGACAAUAUCAUUGGCCAAAAUGGAAUGAGGUAAUUCCAUUAUAGAUGAGAAUGAACGUGAAAGAACAAACCCACAGUACGAACCCCAAAAGAUGUUAAUACUGAAAUUUAUACUUGGGUGUUCGGAAUAAAAGGGAAUAUGCCUACUUUGUAUGACACACUGUUUCUGGCAGAAACAAGGAAUGUUGGGUUUUCUCCAUAUUUACAGAUUCAAUUGUGCCCCCCCCCCCCCCCUAUUACACAAUUACGGAGACCAACAUAUUAUCUUUAAGGGUUAUUAAAUGCACGGAGCAUAUUGCCAGAAGCAAUUUCCUAAAGAUGUAUAAAUAGCUGGAUUAAAGCUAUAUAAUGUGUCAUAAAGUUUAAUCCCUUUUAGACAAAAUCCGUUGAGAGGAUUGACAUUGCAUAAUGCAAGUCCCUAAAGGACAUGUGCUUGAAGCACAAAAUUUGUACUCAAUAUUAAUAUGCAUAAAUUACCUCAGUGAGUACAUUGAUUAUAAUGUGAUUGCAACACAUUAAAGCUUCUGCAGAAUUCACGAAAUAUUUAUCUCGACUUAAAAAUCGAGCAUUAUGCCAACGAGAUUCUUGCUUAUACUACGAAAGUAUUGAAGCAUUUUUAUGAGGAUUAUCCGUUGGACACUUUAAGGAUUUUCCGGAAGUAUAUUGGACCGUACAUCGUAUUUUCCAGAUAGAGCUCAACUCCAUCACCAUCAUUUUGGGAUGAUGUGAGGCAUAUUUGAUGCUAUCUCAGCAUAACACCAUAUAGGGGCAUAUUUUUUUUGAGUGAACUUACAAAUAGCCCAAGUGUUAUUAGAUAUGUGGACUCUGGAAAUCUCUAUGGUCGCUUACUGGAAAAAGCUAGUCAUGAAGUUUUCAGGGGGAGAUAUUCAUCAGGGGGAGCGUGGUUUUAAUAAAGACCUUCAUACACUGUACUCUUUUUCCUUCAUCCAGGUUUUUAUCCCACUGGGUUUUUCCUGGUAAGGUUUUAACGAGGCAGUGUCGCUCAAGAUUGACUCACAGAAGCAGUGUCAACUACGAUAUUCAGAAAGGUGAUCAACAGUAUGACUUAAAGAUAUUUUGCCGAGCAUCAGGGGGAGCGUGCUAUCAAUAAAGAUCUUCAAACACUGUACUCUUUUUCCUUCGUCCAGGUUUUUAUCCCACUGGGUUUUUCCUGGCAAGGUUUUAACGAGGCAGUGUCGCACGCGCGUCAAUAUACAUAGAAUUUUAUGUUACACAUGAUUAUGUACUCUUUUUCCCUUUGACCAGUUUUUUGUCCCACUGGGUUUUUACUGGCAAGGUUUUUAACGAGGCAUAUUCCAUAUCAUUUGUGGUCUCCAAGGGGGAGUGUUGUAAAUGUGGAGUUGUGGAGUCCCCAAAUGCCUAUAAAAGGCUUCCCCCCUUCCCUACUCAAUAUACACAUUUCAGAUAUACUGAAGAAUGAAAACAUCAGAUUUCUAUGCUUGAUCUAUCCCAAUUCCCUCUCUACAAUCUCUUUAGUUUAUAACACACAGGACAUUUCACUAGUAUUAUAUUCUUAAGAGCAUUUAUGCUCUCCACCCUUAAUUGGUGGUGUGCAUUACCAUCACAUUAAUUUAAUGAUAAUUAAGUGUGGUGAGAAAAAUGUUCUCAUACGGCCUUAUCAACGAAUUUAUUAGAGUCUUCGCAUUGGGAAUUAGUGGUGAGUAGGAACCAUUAAUGCCAUGGACCACUCAAGCAUCUAAUAAACAAUUGCAUUAUUGAACCUACAUCUGGUAAUACAACAAAUAUAAUCGUAUUAAACUUUUAACCCGGCCGGCAUAUAUUCUUAUAUAUUCGUCACCAUCGUUGCAAGCUCCAGAAAUACCAACCUCAUAUAAUUUCCAGUCAAAUUCGAAGGUACCAAAAAAAAAUUAUCCCAAAAACGAAAAGGAAAAUCAGGGAUGGAAGGCCAAGAGCACAUUGUGAUGCUGCCAUUUAUGGCUCAAGGCCAUCUCAUACCAUUCCUUGCACUGGCAAGGAAAAUCCAACAAAGAACAGGAUUCACAAUCACCAUUGCCAGCACCACCCUCAACAUCCAAUACCUCAGUGCAACCAUUGCCUCAACCUCAAACUCUCAAUCGGACUCCAACAUCCAUUUGGCUGAGCUUUCAUUCUGCAGUACAGACUAUGGCUUGCCCCCGAACGCCGAGAGCACGGAGGACUUGCCUCUAAGCAAAAUAGGAGAUUUUGUUGCUGCAUCAACAAGUCUUGAAGCUCCUGCUCACCGCCUAAUCUUGGAUAUCAUCGCAAAAGAAGGCCGCCCACCACUUUGUAUUGUCUCUGAUAUGUAUUUUGGAUGGGCAGCUAAUCUUGCAAAUAACUUGAGCACUGUGCAUGUGACUUUCACUACAGGUGGUGCCUAUGGCUCUGCAGCCUUGGUGUCUAUUUGGCUUAGCCUCCCACACCGUUGUACAGCUUCAGAUGAGUUCCCAGUGCCGGGGUUUCCAGAGAGUUAUCGUUUUCAUAUCUCUCAGUUGAAUCCAUAUUUAAAAGCUGCAGAUGGUAAAGAUUCUGGCUCUAGGAUUUUUCAGCCCCAGAUUUCACUUUCUACGAAAUCUUUUGGUUGGCUGUGUAGUACUGUUGAGGCAAUUGAGCCCUUUGGAUUGGAGAUCUUGAGGAAUUACUUGAGGCUUCCUGUUUGGUCCAUUGGACCUCUUCUUCCUACAGAUGCACUAAAGAACUCAUCGACUUUGGAUUCAAGUGUUUCAAGGCAACGUGCAGGAAAAGAGUUGGGCAUACCUGCUGAAACAUGCCUUAAAUGGCUCGAUUCGCAUGGUUCGGAUUCUGUUAUCUACAUCUCAUUUGGUUCCCAGAACACUAUCAGCGCCACCCAAAUGAUGGAGCUGGCUAUUGCUUUAGAAGAAAGUGGAAGGCCUUUUAUUUGGGUCAUAAGACCUCCUGUGGGAUAUGACAUGAAGGGAGAGUUCAGGGUAGAGUGGUUGCCCCAAGGAUUCGAAGAUCGAAUGAGCAAAAGAAAACAAGGGUUGUUGGUGCACAACUGGGCACCGCAGUUGGAGAUUUUGUCACACAAGUCCACAAGUGUGUUUGUUAGCCAUUGUGGAUGGAAUUCAGUGAUGGAGAGCUUAAGCCAGGGCGUGCCAAUUAUAGGGUGGCCAUUGGGAGCAGAGCAGGCAUUUAAUUCAAAGAUGUUGGUGGAGGAGAUGGGUGUGAGUGUGGAGCUGACAAGGGGAGGGCAGAGUGAUAUUGCUCGGAAGGAGGUGAAGAGACUGAUAGAAUUGGUAAUGGACAAAAGUGGCAAAGGAGGAGAAAUGAGGGAAAAGGCUUGUGAAAUUAAGGAGCAGAUAAGAGCAGCAAUAAGAGAGGAGGCUGAAGACAAGGGAUCUUUUGUUAAGGCAAUGGAUGAUUUUGUUGCUACCAUUCUAUCAACCAGACAAGGAUUAUAAAAUUCAGAAAGUGUAUUAUUUGUUAGGUCUUCUCAGGAGGAAAUGGAAGGAAACUUGCAAUUUUGAAGUCAUUUGAGAAACCACAAGUGGCUCGCAAAUUGCGCCACCUAACCUAAGUGUGUUUCUGGAAACUAUUGAAUUGGUAUGAAGAAUUGCAUUGAUUUUUCGCAUUUGAAGAACAAAACCUCAUGAAAAGAACAUACAUGAGGGUCAUAUUCAAUGAUACCAAGAUAGAGAUCAUUGCACCAAUACUGGCAAAAGUAAGGAAUACACAAAAGGCCUCAACUUAUGUGUGGGGUUUUAUCGCAAAAAGGGUCGAUAAAAGUUUAGUAGUUGAACCACUCAGCAUAUAUUGUAUUUUAUAUUAUCAAAGUUCCGAUGUGAGACUUUUUUUACAUUCUUCAACAAAUAUGAGUGUAGGAUACUUGGUACUAUAUAUUCCUGUUCUUUGAGAUAUAUGAGAUUCCUUGGACCUAAGUCAAAGAUGAAGCUAUCUAGUUCCUCAGGAUUAUGACGAAGGUUGGGAUUGUAUUUCAUCCCUUGAAAGGCUGAUAUUAGGAUGGAAUAGAGAAAUCAGAGGAUUCUAUAUAUCUGCUAAAAGUGGUUCCCUGCUUUACCCUGAAUGAAUCAUAAUUUGAAGGCUCACAUUCAACAUAAUUCACAAAUCAAAGGUGCAAUAGAGAAAUUUUUCAAGAGUAGAGGAGCUUAAAAAGCAUCCUCCCUUAAGACAUGGACAAACCAUCUAGCUCUAAGAGGGAGAUGAAAAAUUCCAAAAAAACAGAGAGUAUUCCUUACUAGAAAUGUUAUCUUUUCACUGUAUAAUAUGGUUGUUUUAUCCCCCCGGCCCCUGAGUUUCUAAUAAAUACUAAUUCUUUUGGCCUUCUAAAGUGAAGCUGAUACUAUAUGUUCUAGGCUUAAUUUGGGGAUCUUAAAAUUAUCGUGGUCUAUCAAGUUCAAAUCCCCAACCUAUAAGAGAGAACCAUAUAUGAAUAAUGAAUGUAGCAUCUAAUGAAUGGCAUUACACCCUCACUACUACAAAAAGUGAAAAAGACGACCAGAAAACAACGACGGUCUAAGUGAAAACCGUCGUGGUUUAUAAAAAGACGACGGUUCUAAAAACACCGUCGUGUAAUACAACCUUAGACAACUAAAAAAUGGAGUUUCAAAUGGCUGUUCAAAAACAACGACGUACAUAAUUAAACAACCGACGUCUAUUUGAAACAGAUUUCCGCAGUGUAAAAUCAAUGCCAACAAAGAACGGCAGAAGUUAUGAAUCGACCGACGUAGAAAGUAAAGACGACGAUUUCAAUAAAAACUGCCGUUUUUACUCAUAAAAUAACACGACGAGGUUUUCGUAUAAGACGCCGUAUAAUUACAAACAAAUCCACGGCUUUAAAAUACAAAAUAUCGCCGUAUUAAAUUAAUUUACAACGACGGAAAAUAUAAAUAUAACGACGUCAUUCUCGUAUAGUUCUACGACGUUAUCUUUAAAUCGUACAAUAAAAUUUAUCGUCGUAUUUAUUCAUUUUAUACGUCGUACCUUUAAUUUUAACGGUCGUCUUAAUAAGAAUUUUUGUUAACAAUUUAUUUCUUUGAUUUUCUUAUCCUACGUCGGUAGAUCUACUUAAUGACAAGAAUUGAAAUAACCACGACGGUUUAUAUAGAACACCGCCGACAUAAUCAGAUUUGUCUGAGAUCCCAAGGGUUACGAAAUCUUACCAGAUGGAACUCUGUUCCACAUCAUAAUCUUAACAGAUGACACAGAUUUGCAAAUAUUGCGUCGUGUUAGUUUACAAAUUCUAGAACAUUAAUUUCCCUCAUUUUAAAUUUCCUCGGGAAAGAAAAAUCUAUUUAUCACGCUUUGGAAUUGAAAACUAAAACUGAAAGAAUACGGGAAAAAAAACUCUAUUUAUAAUUUAAAAUUAAAAUCCACGUCGGUUGUAGUACACUUAACGACGUUUAACAAAAUAAUCUACGUCGGUAAUUAUAAAUCUACCGCCAUCUUAACUUAAUAUAGACGACGAUAAAAGACGACGGUAGAACAGAAAACCGCCGUUGUUUCAGUUUCUUUAACAUAUCUUUCUGCAGGACUUGUGUAGUUCAAAGCAUUGACAAUGUCUUCAUCAUAUCUCCCAGAAACUACUGAUUCAAUUGCUCAUGCUUUAGAGGCCAUCUGAAGCCAUUUCUAUUCUUUAUCGCAUUCUUGAAACCCAUCUUCUUCUUCUGAAGCUCUACGGAUAAAGGAAGAGGCUAUCACAAAUCCGACGGAUCUUCUUAGGCAAGAAAAUCAAGGAGAGGAUCAGGCACAUCUGAUCUUCAGAUUUCCCUGAGAAGCGAACUUUCCUUCGACAGCGAGUGGAGGCCAGGCUUGCAUCUCUUUUGAUGGAAAGCAAGGAGUAUUCAGAAGCACUAAGUGUCCUAUUUGAUGCGAGUAAGCUCAAUUUCUCUUUGAGAAAGACAUCCAAAUUAUUGUCUUUGAGACAUGAGAGACUGAGAGAGGAAGAACUUGGAACCUUAAAUGUAAACCGAAAAUGAAUGAAAGCGACAAAUUUAUAGAAUAAAUUUUUAAAACCAACGGCGGUCCUUACAAAAAAAACGCCGUUUAAAUUGUAAAAUCAACGUCGGUAUGAUAGACGUAUAUUACAGGAAUCCACGUCGGUAAAUUAAUAAAAACGACGUGUUAAAUAAUCUACCAUGACGCGAGUUAUUACUUAUGUACUUUAAUUUUUGAGUUUAUUACGACGGUACCUACAAACUACUGUCGUAUUUAUUUACCACGUCCGAAGUUAAAUGUACCGUCGUAUUUUGUAAUUUAUACGUCGUAGUUAUAUGUAACCGCCGUAUUAUUUUUUUGAAAUGGUUUUAUAUGUAAGCAACUUUUCGUCUACUUGACUUACACAUUAGUUGUUUUUAUAUUCUUAUUUUAUUUAAAUCUGUCAUCCAAAAAAGAAACUUUACAUAUUGCAGAAUAUUAAUUUCCUUCGUUUUAAAUUUCCUCCGGAAAAAAAACUCUAUUUAUAACGCACUGUAAUUGAAAAAUAAACUGAAAGGUCACGGGAAAAAAAAUUCUAUUCAUAAUUUAAAAAUUAAAAUCCACGUCGGUUAUAUUAAACCUAACGACGUUAAAUGAAAUGAUUCCACGUCGAACGAAAAAUAUUGCGUCGUGUUAGUUAAAAACGACGUAGUUAAAUGUAACCGCCGUAUUAUUUUUUUGAAAUGGUUUUAUAUGUAAGCAACUUUUCGACUUACACAUGCACUGUUUCCAAACCCGAUUAAAAAUUUCAAUCUCCCAGAGAAACCUUUUCGUCUUUUUUCCUUGUCAGAGCAUUGUCAGAGUUUCUCAUCGUCUUCCUCUCGUCUUCUUCGUCGUCUCUGAACUUAAACAUCGAUCAUCUUCCUCUUGCUUUCAUUGCACGCAAAAGGUAAGCUUUCAUUUUCACUAUUUUGGUUACUGUUUUGCAUGCUCAUACGUUUUUUGUUUGAAAAAUCUUUUGACCUUUUUUCUGGCCAAAAUCAUUUUACUUCUUUCCAAGUUUGAUAAAAUAUACAGACAAAGAGGGAAAGUUUCCAACUUUGAAGACAACUACAUCAACUAAAUAAGACGACGGUAGACCACGACGGUUCGUCAGUUGUUCUAGCGUCGUCUGAAAAUUGACAAAGUUGUUUUUAAAAUAAUAGUCUUUUUUUAUAUGCUUGUUUAAUUGCAGGUUUGAUUUCUCUGAACAAUGGUUUUUAUUUUUCCCUUAUUUGAUAAAAUAUAAAGAAAAAGAAACUAGGGUUAAUAUCUAAUAUAGACGACAAAAUAUCUUAUUGUUUUACGUCGUGUGAAUGUUAAUACCACGACGGUGUAUUACUAUUGACGUCGUAUGAACAUAAAUACCACGACGUUAUAUAAAUAAUAGUUUACCACGACGGUGUAUUACUAUUGACGUCGUGUGAACAUAUAUACCACGACGUUAUAUAAAUAAUGGUUUUAAACAUUUAUUACGUCUGAGAUUAUUUCAUUGCGUCGUCUAAAAUCAUAUCAUACGUCGUAUUUUUUUAAUACCGUCGUUUGUGUUCUUAAUGUUUUCCUGAAAUAUUUUCACUUGCAGUUUUGUCUGUUAAAAUGGUUUCUCAACAACAAACUAAGGAUUCUGGCUCCAAGAAGCUUGGAAUGGUAGCUCCUCAAGACAAGUCUUCGAAGGAGAUGAAGUCUUCGAAGAAGAUGAAGUUUGCUUCAUCAUCUGCUGAGACAGAACAAACCAGCCAGACAACAAUCUCUGAUGAUUCAAAGACUGGUCGAGGUAUGAGCACAAUGCCUCGUGUUGUGAAGAGAAAGCUUCAGAAACUGAGGCCAAUUGUUGAGUACAAUAAAAGGGGGAAAGGUGUUGGCCAAGCACAUAUUGAGAUGCAGUCGUAUAUUGGUGUGUUGGCACACUCCAGGAUCCCACUUGUGGACAAGAAAUGGUCCCAAAUCCCCAAGGAUAUAAAGGAGCAGAUUUGGGAAGCAGUUGACAUGGCUUUUGUCGUAGGCCAAGGGGGCAAGACCUCUGUUUUAGCUUCUGCUUCCAAGAAAUGGAAGGAUUUCAAGUCUACACUAACGAGGCAUUAUAUCCUUCCAUACACCAAUGACAGGGAGAAAUUAAGCCAACCCCCUGAAACAUAUAAAUUCAUAGAGAAAGCACAAUGGGAUGCCUUUGUAGCUUCAAGGCUAUCCAAAGAUUUUGAGUCUGUGCAUUCUCAACAUGCACAGAUUAGGGAGAAACUCGAGUACAAUCAUCGAUUGUCUCGAAAAGGAUAUGCUGGAUUGGAGGAUCAAUUGGAGGAAACCAUGCCUGGGGUAGAAAUUGAUCGAUCUACCUUAUGGAAGAGAGCUAGACAGGACAAACAUGGUAACAUCCCUGAUCCAAAGGUGGCAGAGAAAGCAAAAUUAAUUGUAAGCCUACUCACUCUGUUUUAAAUUUUUAUUAAACUGUGAAUUAUUCUUAUUACGUCGUAUGUUAUAUUUUUUGUCGUGUGAAUGAUAUUACCACGUUGAGAAGUUUUUAAAACGUCGUUAACGGUCUAAAUAGGAAUCACUACUCUGUUUUCUUUAAUUAUAGCAUAAGACGUCGGUUGUUUAUUCAUUUCGUCGUUUUAAAUAAAUAACCACGUCGGUGUAACUACCGUCGUGAUAAGUUAUAAUAACGUCGGUUUAUACGUUAUUGCGUCGUGUGAAAUUAUAUAAUACGUCGUUUGUACAUAAAUAACCGUCGUGUGUUUUUUUGUUUAUCUUUUUUUAGGAUGAAUUGCAGAAACAAGUCUCGGAAGGCAAAGUCAGAGUAGAUGGCAGCAAUGAUGUGCUGACCAUGGCUUUGGGCCCCGAGCAUCCAGGCAGACUGAGGGGAGUUGGUGCUGGUGUUUCCCCAAGGCAAUAUUUCAAUUUGCCCAAACCACAGAGGUUGAGCUUUGACGACCGUUUGAAGGACAGUUUAAGAGUUCUCCUUCAAGAAGAGACUAAAAAGAUGGAGGCUAAGGCAAGGGAAGAGGCCUUAAGGAUGGAGGCUAGGACAAAACAAUUGGUAGAGGCUGAGAGGGAGCAUUUCCUGAGUCAGCUUUCCCAAUUAAUUCCCAAUUUUGAUCCAAGCAUGCUUAAACCAAGAAUUAGCCAAAGCCCCAAAAAUUCAAUGUCUGACAAAGCUAGCUGCUCUGAAGGUGAUGUGAGAUCCCUACAUUUGGAGGAUGAUACUGCCAAAAUGGGGAAACAUCAGCCAGAUGAAGAGAAGGAAGAAGAAAAAAGAGAUGAAGAGAAGGAAGAAGAAAAUGAGAAAGAAGAUGAAGAAAAGCAUGACGACAAGGUAUGUUCACAUAACUUUGCCUUUUUUAUUUGUUUUUCAAAAUUUCAGACGUCGAUAUUUUUAUAUAAUCCGUCGUUUGUUUAAAACUUAGACGGCGGACUUUUUUUAAGACGUAAUAAAAUAUUUAAACGACGAUUUUUGCACUGUCGUUUAAAUGGUUUCAGACGACGCUUUAUUAAUAACACCGUCGUCUUUAUUGAAUUACCACGACCGUUUUUUCACCGUCGUUUAAAUCCUUUUAAGACGACGUUUUAUUCCUUAAACCGUCGUCUUUAUUGAAUUACCACGUCAUUUUUUUUAUUUCUUUAAACAGGUUAUUGAAGUUGGUGCUUAUUCAAAUAUGGAGGCGCCAUCUUCUUUAAAAACCCUUUGUCGUUUUGUGGAAACGACACUCCUGCCUGAGGAUAAGACACUCCAAUUUACAAUUGAUAAGGAGGUGUUUGGUGGUGAGCGCGAUACCUUCCUCCUGCCUGAAGAUAUUACACAAUUUGCAGGCAUGGAAGAAAUUGGAGCUACUGUAUUGGCUGUAUAUAUGAGGUUUGUACUUCUAAGAUAAUAACUCGUUGGUUUAUAUAUUGCGUCGUCUUAACUAACUAACCACAUCGUCUUAACUAACUACCGUCGUGAUAAUAUAUUAUAACGUCUUAUCUAUUUCAGUACGUCGUGUGAAUAUAUAAUACGUCGUUUUUUUAUACAUAACCGUCGUGUUUGUUUUUGCUGACUUGUUUAUAUUAUUUUAUGUAUUUAGGUACUUACACGAUGUUUUGAAACAAGCCAAUAUGUGCAGCAUGGUUGGCUUUAUUGACCCUGCUACAGUUAGUGCCAACUCUGGCACAAUAACUGAAAGAUCACGACUGGUAGCAGCUCGACUUCAGAAGACAGACGGUGAACAGCUUUUCAUGAUGCCUUACAAUCCAGGGUUAGUCUCCUUAGGAUUGUGUUUUUAUGAUUUUCAAUAAAUGACAGAUUAUAAACUAACCACGUCGGUGUUUUAUUUUAUUUAGUCGUUUGAAACUACUAACCACGUCGGUAUUUAUUUGUCGUCGUGAUAAAUGUAUAAUGUCGUCGUUAUCUACUUUAUUUCGUCGUGUGAAAUACUAUAAUACGUCGUUUUUGUAAAUAACCGUCGUUUUUAUAUUAAUUUUGUGCAGCCGUCAUUGGAUCUUGCUGAUUGUAAGAGCAAAGAAGGAGACCGUCUAUUUUCUGGAUCCUCUGCCAGGUCAUCGUGUGGUCGACGAAGAGGCGAAAAACAUCGUGAACAGUGCUUUAAAAAUAUAUAAUACCCACAUAGGCCGAGCAGGACGUAAAAAUGUAAUUUGGAAAACUCUCUCAGGCACACCAAAGCAACCCAGCAAUGUCGAAUGCGGGUAUUAUGUGAUGCGCUUCAUGAGGGACAUCAUCAUGGAUCCUUCCUUGGGGUUUGAGAAUAAGGUAAGAAGAAAUUACCUUCAUACAUUUCACGUCGUUUUUUGUAUUAUCAACGACGGUCAUGUAAAAUUAACGUCGUUGAAUGGAUAUACUACGUCGGUUAUGAAAAAUAUCGUCGUCUGUGAUUGAAUUUCUUUUUAUUUAUAAACCCUAAUAGUCAUUGUUUAUGCAGUAUGCCAAGGGAAACCAGGAAGCUUCAUACCCCCAAGAAGCCAUUGAUGAAGUCCGGAAUGAAUGGGCAGAGUUUGUUUUCCAAAUUAUUAAACAGGGCAAUUAUUGAACACUUGAUAUUUAUGUAUAAUGUACAAAUUUUCUCUAUAAUAUGUAAUGUAAAAAUUUGUUGAGGUUUUCUUAAAUUAAAAAAAAAACAAACAUACAAAUUGCUUAACCGACGUGUAAUACUUUUCCAACGACCUAAUAAAGUCAAAAACCGUCGUAUUUUGUUGUUUCGUGUUUUAAACAAAUACGACGUAAAAAUAUAGUUAGACGACGUUCUUUGAACAAUUGAGUCGUUUAAGGUUUACAACAUCUUCAAUUUCUUAAAGGUUCAGGGUAUCAUCGAAGACGUUUAUGUAACGACAGCGGUUAAGUCGUUGAUAUAUAUAUUUUACGUCGUAUAGGUAAAUAGCCGCCAUGGUUUCUCAUUUUAACGACGUCAUUUUAACGACUUAGUAGUCUAUUACAAUUUACAACGUCUACAAUUUAUUAACACCGACGUGGUUUGUUGUUGUGGUAAGAAUAUUUUAUUAUUUUUAUAUCAAAAUAUUCAAAAUAAAUUUAAAAUAAAUCAGAAAAUUGAAAAGUCAACUCCUAUGAAGUCAUUGAUAUAUUUUCUUCCACAUAAACCUUGAAAAAAUUCAUUUUGAAUAACAAAAAUUUAAAAUGACCAUCCAAAACAAAAUUAUUUUGAUGAGUCAUAAAAUCACUUCUAGUUUUAUGGUUUAGGGUUUAGAGUCUAGGGUUUAGAGAUUAGGGUUGUUAUUUAUUGGGGUUUAUUUUUAAAGUAUAAUUUUUGGGUAGUCUAGGGUAUAUGUUAGGCUUUAAAACCAUAAAACCUUUUAUAAACUUAAUUUUUUAAAUUGUAUAAUUUAGUUUUAUGGGUUUAGGGUAUUAAUUUUUAACGACGGUGGUUGCGUCGUGGAAUACAUAUUUUACGUCGUACAGAAAAACAUACGACAUGGUUUACUCUUUAAACGACGUCAUUUUAAUAUGUAAGUCGGUUUAUAUAAUUUACAACGUCUUUAAUUUCUUAACACCGACGUGGUUUUUCAGUCGUCGUUAUAUAAAAAAUUCAAAAUAAAUUUAAAAUUAAUCCGAAAAAUGAAGCUUCAAAAUGAACGGCCUUACGUUCUUAAUCCGAAAAAUGAAGUUUCCGUCGUGGAAUAUUAAAUUUACGUCGGUACGUGUAGAACUUUCGCCUUGGUUUUUCUUUCGACGUUUUAAAACGCGCGAACUCUAAAAAUUUUCGCGCGACCUAAAUUUUUUUAGAUUUGGCUCUUAUUCUUAUACUUCGAACCCUGAAACCUAAAAUUUUCAGAUUUCGCACGACAUAACUAUUUGAUCUUGUCAUUUUCCGCUAUGGAGAAAAUGAUGGGGAGCAAAUAGUACCUACGAAGGAAGAAACUGAUAAUGAAGAUGGGGAUUCGAGUGAUGAUUCUAGUAACGAUUCGAGUUAUAUUAGGUUGUUUUGUUAAAGGGUUUUAUGUGUAUGCUUUGCGAUCUGUUAAUAAUGUGCUUAUAGGUAUGGGUUCAUGGAUUUUCUGUUUAAUGGGUUCAUGGAUUACAUUAUCUGUUAUGUUGAAUUGGGAAUGGAUUUAAUUUUGUCGUAUCUUUUAAUCACCCUAUGUUAUGUUGAAUUGGGAAUGGAUUUAUUGUUUUCAUGCUUGGUUUCAUGUAUAUGUUGGUUUCUUGCUUGGUUUCAUAUAUAUGUUGUGUUCUUAAUGGGUUUUGUGUUCUUGAAAAUAAACUGAGACACGACGAAUUUUAAGGCAUACGACGACGAUUACACGACGGUUUUUUUAAACUACCGUCGUUGUAUUACUUAUACACGACGGUUUUUUCAUAAACCGUCGUUUGUAUUACUUAUAAUAGACGACGUCUGUUGAAAAUCCGUCGUCUAUAUAUGCCAAAUACGUCUGUUUUUGUUUAAAACCCGUCGUCUCUGUUGUGUAUUACUUGCGAUUAGAUCAUUGUAUAAUCUGCUAUAGUGAUGGUCAUUGCCUGUAUUUUCACUUUAUUAUAGAUAAUAGGUUAUAGUGUCGGAGAUGGAUAAGUCAUGGAUGCACUCGGAUAGAAGAUCGAAGGCAUAUGAAUUUGGGGUGGAAGCAUUUUUGAACUUUGCUGUAGAAAAUCUUCUAACUACAACACAUAUCCGUUGUCCAUGUGUUAAAUGUGUUAAUUUGAAGUUGUUUGGGGUUGGAAUUAUAAGGGAUCACUUAUACUUUAAUGGAAUUGACCAAAGCUAUAAGAAUUGGACAUUUCACGGAGAACCUUGGGAAGCAACUACUAAUGCUAGUAGAAAUGUUGAAGAAGAUGAUGGCCAUAGUAGGUACAGUUUUGUGUCUGAAGAAAUUGAUAUGGAUGAUAAUGAUUUUGGUGAUUUUGGUUCAGAUCCGUAUGAGUUUGCCAAUGUGAUUGGGGAUGGAGAUCAACCAGUGUACCCUGGUUGUAGAAAGUACACGAAGUUAUCGGCAUUAGUGAAGUUGUAUAAUUUGAAGGCAAAACAUGGGAUGAGUGAUGUCUGUUUUACAGAAUUAUUGAUACUUCAAGGCGAUUUGCUUCCAGAAGGAAAUACAAUACCAACCUCCAUGUAUGAGGCUAAAAAGACUUUGUGUGCAUUGGGGCUGAGUUAUGAGAAAAUGCACGCAUGCCCCAAUGAUUGCAUCUUGUAUAGGAAGGAGUAUGAGGAUUCAACUAAUUGUCCUACUUGUGGUAUCUCAAGGUGGAAGGAAGGCAAAGAUUCAAUCUUGAAAGAGGGUGUGCCAGCGAAGGUGGUGUGGUAUUUUCCCCCAAUUCCAAGGUUUAAAAGGAUGUUUCAAUCACAUGAGACAGCUAAGAGUUUGACUUGGUGGCAUGCUGCUAGAAAAUCAAUUGACGGUCAGAUGUCUCAUCCGGCGGAUUCCCCGUCUUGGAAACUUCUUGAUGAUAAAUGGCCUGAGUUUGGUAAUGAGCCGAGAAACUUGAGAUUGGCUCUUUCAUCUGAUGGAUUCAAUCCCCACAGUUCUCUAAGUAGCAGAUAUAGUUGUUGGCCGGUUAUCUUAGUUACAUAUAAUCUCCCUCCAUGGCUGUGCAUGAAACGAAAGUUCAUGAUGUUAACCUUAUUGAUUUCCGGUCCUAAACAACCCGGAAAUGAUAUAGACGUCUACUUGGAGCCUUUGAUUGAUGAUUUAAAAUCCUUGUGGGUUGGGAUUAGAGGAGUGUAUGAUGCACAUAAUGGAGAAUACUUUACACUCAGAGCUGCAUUAAUGUGGACAAUUAAUGAUUUCCCCGCCUAUGGAAACUUAUCUGGUUGUGUUGUUAAAGGAUAUAAAGCUUGUCCAAUAUGCGGCGAUGAUACACCUAGUCACAGGUUGAAAAAUGGCCACAAAAUUUGUUACAUUGGGCAUAGAAAAUGGUUACCAAUCAAUCAUCCAUAUAGGAGGCAACGUGCAGCUUUUAAUGGGAAACCUGAAUAUGGCAUACCUCCCGAGCCAUUAACCGGAGAAGAAGUGCUGCAUAUGGUUGAAAAUGGUGACAGAGUUUGUUGGAAGAAGAAAUCAAUAUUCUUUGAUCUCGAGUAUUGGAAAUACCUUCCUGUAAGGCAUGCCCUAGAUGUUAUGCACAUUGAGAAGAAUGUUUGCGAUAGUAUCAUUGGUACAUUGCUGGAGAUCCCUGGAAAAAAUAAAGAUGGGAUUGCUGCUCGAUUAGAUUUAUUGAACAUGGGGGUCAAAACUGAUUUGCAACCCGAGUAUGGAGAAAGACGUACUCGUUUGCCUCCUGGGCCUUGGAAUUUGUCAAGAGCAGAGAAGAGAGAGGUUUGCAAUUCUUUCUAUGGUAUGAAGGUCCCUGAAGGUUAUUCUUCAAAUAUUAAAAAUCUUGUAUCUUUACAAGAUUCAAGACUUCUUGGCCUUAAAUCACAUGAUUGUCAUACCUUAAUGCAACAAUUGCCCCCUGUGGCAAUUCGUUCUGUUUUGGAGAAGCCUGCAAGGUAUGCAAUAACUCGUUUGUGCUUCUUCUUCAUUGCUAUAUGUGCAAAGACUGUUGAUGUUUCCAAGCUAGAUAAGUUGGAAGAAGAUGUAGUAGUUACUCUGUGUUUGCUUGAGAAGUACUUUCCCCCUUCAUUCUUUGAUAUCAUGGUUCAUCUAGUAGUACAUCUUGUCAGAGAAGUUCGUCUAUGUGGGCCAGUAUAUUUUAGGUGGAUGUAUCCGUUUGAAAGAUAUAUGAAAGUGCUGAAGGGGUAUGUUCAGAAUCGUACUCGUCCCGAAGGUUGCAUUGCUGAGCGGUAUAUAGCUGAAGAAGCGGUAGAGUGUUGUACUCAGCAUUUAUCUGAUGCUAGUACAGUUGGAGUGCCUUCAAGCCAAAAGAUGGGACUUUCAAAGCCAUUAUCAGGUUGCACAGUGAGCGUAGUUGAUCAGGACCUGUUGAAUCAAGCACAUCUAUAUGUCUUGGAGAAUACGGAGGAAGUCCUACCUUAUAUCGAGUACGUAUGAGCUUUAUUCUUUAAGUUUCCAUUUUAAAUUAUUUCUUAUGUUUAUCUUCUAUAUUUAGGACCGUAAUGCUUGAAUUUUUCGUGUCAUGUAGGCAACAUAUGAUUCACAUCAAGACUGCUUAUCCAAAAUUUAGAAAGAGAACAAAGUGGCUGCAGGAUAAGCACAAUAGCACUUUCAUUCAAUGGCUACGCUUCAAGGUAUAUAUUGUUGAAUAAAUAUUUCUCUUUUAAUUUUCUUCUUAUUUAUAUGUUAGAUUGAAUUAAGAUAUGAUUAAUUUGCAGGUUCAAAGUGAACUUGAGGAAGACAAUCAUGGCGUAUCAGAAAAUUUAAGGUGGCUAGCAGCUGGUCCAAACAUGCCAGUGCCAUUAUAUAGGAGCUAUCUUAUUAAAGGUAUUAAAUUCAAUAUCAAGGCACAAGAUGAUGUGUGGACAACUCAAAAUAGUGGAGUUUAUUUACUUGCACAUACCAUGCAAGUUGCUAGUGCCAAGGAUAAAAACCCAAUUCUCUCAAAUAUGGGUUUCUAUGGUGUCAUUCAAGAAAUUUGGGACCUUGACUACCAAAAGUUUACAAUCCCAGUCUUUAGGUGUGAUUGGAUAGAUAGUUCUGGUCUUGUAGUCGACGAACUUGGAUUUACCCUUGUAGAUUUGAGUAAAAUUGGACAUAGGAAUGACCAAUUUGUUUUGGCUUCUCAAGUCAAACAAAUAUUUUUUGUUGACGACCCGAUGCAUCGUGGUUGGUCGGUAGUGUUAUCAAUGCCUAAUAGAGAAUAUAAUGAUGUUAUUGGUGAUGAAGUCUUAGGUGAUGUGAUAAUUGAGUGUGAGCCAUUUACUAGAGGGAUGCCAAAUGUUGACACAUUUGAUGAACUGGUGGGUGAGUUAGGCGGUCAAAAUAUUCGAGAUGGGUGUGAAGAUAUAUGGAUUGAAUGAUGCUUAUGUAAUUGGCAGUGUAUGACAUUAAUUUUGUAAUAUAUUGUAAUGUGAUUUCUUCACUUUCUACGUUCAAAUAAAACACGACGUUAUUGUGAACCAGUUAUUCAGCAUAUUUACCGACGUCUUAAAGCAACGUAACAAUGAAGAACCACGAACAAUUGUGAAGCAAUUAUUCAGGAUAUCACGUCGGGGAAGGAUUAAGAACCGCCAUGUAAUUCAAAAUAACACGACUCCAAUCCCAUAAUACCGACGUCUAAAAAACGAGAUAUAUAAUCUGAACGUUAAAAAAUACGACGUCAUCAUACAUUUUCCACGUCGCAAGUUCUUUUAUAAACGAAGAGGAACGAAAUGAAUUCCGACGGAAAUUCAUUAUAACCGCCGUCUAAUAACAAUUAAACGACGUUAUUUGUAAUACGGCUCUCAUCAUAAUCAACGCCGUCUAUAUGUUCUGUAAUACGGCUCUCAUUUAUUUGGAACCGACAUUGUUUAGAAGUUCAACGUCGUCUAUAUUAUUAAGUGCGUCGUGAGUAAUGAUGAUAGAUAUAAAUACAACGUCGACUAUAUAAAUGCCACCGACGUUGUUUCGCAUUUCAACGUCAACUGUAUAAAUACAUACGUCGUAAAUAAUGACACUGACAACUAUUUCCACGUCAUCUUUUUUAGAAAAAUCGAAGUGGAAAAUUUAUUUCACGAAGGUUGUUUGUAAAUAAGAGACGUAGUAUAUUUCAAUAACGUCGUCUUCUCAUGUAUUUAAAGACGUCAUAUUUUUUCUUGUCGUGUAAAUUAUAUUUAACGGCAUAAAAUUUUAGUUGUCGUCGUUGUAUGUAUAUCUUGCGGCCUUGUUCUUUUAACAUGUGUCAUAUUUUUCCUUUUUAACGACGGUGAUUUGUUUGAGUUGGUCGUCUAUUCUCAUCCUCGACUAUUUUCUAGAACUUUAGCAGACUAAACACGUCUGUUUUUAUUGUUUUCCGACGUUGUUUUAUUUAACAACGUCUAAUAUUUAUCGUCGUUGUUUGUUUCUGAAAAUAUGACGUAUAAAUUUUGUAAUACGACUCUCAUAUAUUUGUAACCGACGUUGUUUCAUUUUUCAACGUCUACUCAAUAAAUACAUACGUCGUAAAUAAUGACAUUGACAACUAUUUCCACGUCAUCUUUUAUCAAAAAAUCGAAGUGGAAAAUUAAUUUUACGACAGCUGUUUUUAUAUAUGCGACGUAGUAGGUAUCAAUAACGUCGUCUUCUAAUGUAUUUAAAGACGUCAAAUUUUUUAUUGUCGUGAAAAUGAUAUUUAACGGCGUCGUUUUUUUAUUUUCGUCGUUGUAUGUCUAUCUUGCGGCCUUGUUCUCUUAAUAUGUGUCAUAUUUUUCCUUUUUAACGACGGUUGUUUUAGAGAGUUGGUCGUCUAUUCUCAUCCUCGACUGCUUUUUUAGAUCUUUUUGCAGUACAAAGACGUCGUUUUGUAUUUGUUGAUGACGUUGUAUAUUUUAACAACGACGGUGAUUUAGCGUCGUGGUAUAUGAGGGAAAAGAUGACGGUGGAUUCCACGACUAUUGAAAAAUCGAAUACACGACGGUGAUUUACCGUCGUCUUUUUGCUUUUUUGUAGUAGUGCCUAGUCAUUUCCAUAAUAGUGAAGUUAAUGCUGCCAAAUUGUCUCAUCAGGUGGAUUCUCUUGUUUUAAAACGGGGUCAAGCUUAACAAUCUGGUAAGACAAAAUGGUAUCUGAGAAGGAAGGAAAAUAUUAGUACCUAUUACCUAUAUAUACACACACAUAAAGCUUCAAAACCAGGAUAUGCUAGACCGUUCCAACCACAGCUCAAUUUUGUGUUUUUUUUUCUUUUUCUUUUUUUAAUUUUAUAAAUUUAUGGUUAUCCUCAUUCCAAAAAGGUUUAUUACUUUUAUGGCAUGUGAUAGGAUUUUUAGUACUUGUGCAAACAGUGUUAAAAAUCACAUAAAAUACUUGCAAGAAUACAAGGCUAUUGUAGUAUAGAUGCUCAUGCAAGGUCGUUUUCCUCAAGGACUAAUUAGCAAUUUAUGUAAAAACAAAUUCCAAUUACUACUUAAAAUAAAAAGUCAAGAAAGAUGAUUAUAAAUUUGGUGGAAUCUAAAAAACAAAUAUUAAACAAAAACAAAUACGAUUGAAAGAAAGAGUUUUGAAUAUCAAUUUAUAAAAACACUAGGGUUUCACCAUCACCUAGCAAUCCUAUGAACUUUUACCAAUUACUUAUGAUUUGCACAUGCCACUUUGAAGGUUAGGUUUUCCUAAUGUAUAUUCUACUUGGAACCUCCAACACAGAACGUAUAUCCAACAUGCAACCCGUCCGGACGUUCGGAUCAAAUCUGAACAUGAAAGACUCAUUAAGUUUUGUGAAAACCCUUUGAAAAACCAUGCAACCCUUAAGACGUGGUGUUCAUCUUAAGUGAAAUUACAAUUAUUAAUCACAAGAAGCUAGCAUCAAUUUCAGGGAACCUUCCGACCAAAAUUGCAUCCAAUUACUUUUCUAAAGAUCCUAAUGGUGAUCAGGCAUUAAGACAAUUAGAUAGUUUAAAACAGUGAUUAACAAUUCAAAAUACGCAUGCACUCAUCAUAAGCAAUUAAAUAAAAAUCACAUAUUCAUGCUAAGUUUCAAGGCUUCACCCUAGCAAAAGGAAUUUAGUUACGCAUACUCAUAAUUGAAAUCCAAGAAAAUAUCAUUAAGAAGAAAAGAACGAAAACACCUGAAAGUUGUGAAAACCCAAAACCCUAGCAAUUGCUCUCUACAAUGCAAAGUUCAAAAGUAAUUAAGAAGUCCUCAAUUCCCUGUGAGAAAGAGCUUAAAUACCCCUUAAAACCUAGCUGCCAAUGUACAGCUUUUCUAUCCCCACAAGGAAACUAAUUAAAAUAAAAUAAUACUAGGAAAUAAAGUCCAAAUUGGAAUAGGAGAAUCUGCCUAAAAUCUGCCCAGCCACGUUUUGGCCCCAAAUCUCCUCCAAAUCUGGCCCAAGAUAGCUUGUUUUAAAGAUAAAAAUGUUCUGAACACUUCUCUAGAAGGCUACGAACCCAUCCGAGGUCAUCUUGGGCUCCAAAAACGCAAUAAAAGCCCAACACGUCACUAUUCCAGCACCGCGCACUGCUCCUUUAUUUUAUUGCCAGAAAAGAACCGCUUGGAAGAAAAAUCUGAAAUUUUGAUACGAUCAAGCUAAGUGACUCAAGAACGUCCUCCAACUGGAAUUACUCCAAAAUUCCUCAAUUUGAUUAUGUUUUGCUCUAGAGAGAGUCGAAAGUCCUAUAUUGGAAAUAUAAUUCAAAGUAUCAAAAUUCUUCCAAAAUAUUAACCAAAAUAUACUAAGAAUGAGGUUAAAUAUAUAAUAUAAAAUAUGUCCAUCAGCAUGUUUACGUAUCAGUAAUGGAGAAAGUAAGGAAUCAGAGAAUUUAGGAAUCGGGGAACUACUGAAUCGGUAUGAGAAAAAUCAUUCUCAUUAAGCUGUUUACUAAACAUAUAAAAUUAGCAAAGGAAUGGGGUUGAUUCUCAUUGUUAUUGUUUACAAAUUUGCAUGAAUUAGAAUCCAAAUUAAUUUGAUUACUAAAAUGUCCGGCACAUUUUCACCACAACACAUAUAUAAUUCUCAAAUUAGCUAACGAGACCAAACUAAUCCUGCAACAAACCAGUAAGGCGGUGUAAACAUGAGGAAUUAAUAUGUUGAACAAGAUGAACAACAAGAGCUCAGUUCAAUUAUAAUGUUAAUAACACAUUUGUCCAGAGCCAAUUUCAAACGAAAAAAUAAACUCCAAUAAAUAUAUACUUUUCACCUACAUAGCUAGUAAACAAUCAAAUAAUAAUAACCUGCAUAAUCUUUAUACGAUUAAAUACAUAAUCUUCGUACUACCAAAAAAGAUAUAUAUAAUCUCCACAAAAGUCUUUAUCCAUGACCGUACUUUGUUUUGUGAUGAAUGUGAAGACAAAAGAUAGAAGAAGAUAGAUAGAUAGAUAGAUAGAUAGAUAGAAUGACUUUCAUAGCACAAGGCAUUGCAGCUACUUGUGGGAGGUUGUGUCUGCAACGCUAACAUGAAAAAGAAGUUGGAGCGUCUCGGAACUUCUUAGUGUGAGUUUUUAUUUUUUUAAGGGUUUGGGGUGUUUUGGAAUUAUGGUAAAGUGGUAAGGGUAUUUUUGGAAGUUAUUAAGUGAAAACAAGAAUGGGAAUCGUAUUGACUACUUCCCCCUAGUUAAUCUGAUACCUAGUUUUAAGGGGAUGUGAUUAUGGAUUUUGAGGUGGGGCCCACUUAUUUUUUCAUUCCUAAUUGCAAGUAAAAGUAUGGGAAGUCAGGAAUAGAAAUCAUUCUCUUUCCUUCAUACCCAUUACUGAUACGUAAACAUGCCCUUAGUGGUUGUUUGAUAACGAUUUCAUUUUCAGUUUUCAUUUUCACCUUUUCGAAAACUGAAAACUGAACACAUGAGUGGUAACAUAUUUCGUUUUCAGUUUUCAAAAUCACCCUUAUUUUUUAAAACAACUUGAAACUGCCUUCAGUUUUUGUUUUUUUUUUGGGCUCCAUUUUCAUUCAUUAAUUUUACAUCACGACGCAUGCAAUGCGCUCUUGUUACCAAAACUCGGAAUUUGGGACCUCCCGACUUAGACUCGGCCACUCAAUUCUUGCAUUCAGCCACAAACCCAGUUCAAGACUCGUGACCUCAAGAUCCAACAUUCACCAAAAAUCAUCCUAAUUCGGAAAAAUUCAUCGAAAAAUAGUAUGAACUUUUUGUGACAUCCACUUUCAUUCUAUAAUCCCAAAUUCACAAUUAGACUCCGAAAAAUUCCGUUUUUAAGUUCCACAUAAAACUGAAAAUUGAAAAAAGUUACCAAACAACUUUUGUUAAGUUUCACUUUUCACUUUUUUUACAACUAAAACUAGUUACCAAACAAAUAUUCUAUUUUCUUCUAUUUUAUAAAAAUUAAAACUGAAAAUUGAAAAUUAAAAUGGGCCCUUUUUUAGGGUUUUGUCUUUUGAAUGACACAUUCGAUGAAAGUUUAAAACUUUUCUAACAUUUGUUCAAAUAUGCUUUCUAAGUUCAUAUGACCUAAUGCUAAAGAAAGAUUACAUACUUUGUAUCAUCAGCAAAAUUAUUUAAAGCACAUCGAACAGUUCAAACUAAAAUAGAUAUUAGAAUCUAAAUCAUAAUUAAAGUUUAUUCCCUCACCUAAAUUGCAAACAAAUUCAAAGCUAGGGCCAUACCACCAUCCAAACCAUAUAACAAAGCUUUCACAUACCGAAACUUGCACCCACAUAACCCACUGUGAUUAAUAAGAAUUGUAUAGCAAGAAGUGACCGGACCUGAUGAUUAUCGAGCUGAAACUGCAAUGUAGUACAUGUUCUGCUUUAUCAGGGCUCUCCAUAAAUUUGUUGAGGUUUUCAUAUUUGAUAAAAACAUGAACUCUGCUUGACUUGGCUUAAGCUUAACCAAAUUUGUAACGAGAGAAAUCUCGCUUUGAAUGACUAUUUCUCUAAAACUGAACUGAAGUUAGAGAUUCUGGAUUAUAGCUGACUUGUUUCUUGUGGCUCAAUGAGCUUUUGGUUGCUUCAGUGUUUUGAAGGGCUUUGAGAUCAAGUGAUCAUUUUGAGUUUUUGUUUUUGAUUGAUUUUUUGGCUGUCCUUGAUAUGUUCACCUUCUCUUAGUUUUAUAAGAAUUGCUGGAGUGGGAAUUCUAAUCUGUUAAUAAUGGGCAGCAGAUCUUCAAAAAAAAAAAAAAAAUUCUCUUUUCAAGGCCGUAAAAGAAGGAAGUCAUUGUUUUGGCAGAUAAGAACCAUCAACAAUCAACUUUCAUAGAGGUCUUUUCUUUGCUUUUCUGAAAAAACCAACUCCCUUUGUUCUCUAUUUGUUUCUUAUAAAGAGAAAAACUUAAUCUGCCAUGAUGGUCAGUUUGCUUGCCAUGUUUGAACAACUCCCUUGCUCCCUACUUAUCUCUUGAAAUCGUAGUCUGCUUAUCUCUUGGAAAGGCCACCUGCUUUGGUGCAGAGUUUCUAUAUAUAAUUAAAAAAAAAAGAUUUUGAUCUUCUUCCUUUGGCUGCAAAAAUGGAGAAUUCCUCCUGUAAAACCUAUCUUUAUUAACUCUCUGUUAGCUCCUCUGUGAUAGUUGAGAUUUUUGACUUCUUCAAAGUCAGGUAGUCACGUGGGCUUCUUUGAGAAUAGACCUUCCAAAAAGAUCUGCUGACUUGCACUAUGGGUUUUUGAGAUAAAUGGUGAGAAUUUAGAAGUUGGGCCAAAUCCAAUUUUUCUUUAGAAAUUUAUCGAUCUAUUUUGGUGAUAAAUUGCCAUUAAUUGGCAAUUUUAUUGACUUAUUUUGUGUUUUUUACACCUCUACCACUUUGUAGAAGACAAUGGCCUCUUUUGUUUGGUUUGGGCUGCUUUUCUGGAAUUAAGGCCCAUUCUUUUACUGUUUUGUGGCCUUUUUUAUUUUGGACUGGGCGUGCCAAAUUAGGCCCAAACAUGUACAUAUAAGGCAUAUCACCACCUCUCCGUUGGUCGAUGUAGGAUGUUACAGAUAGGGUCAUUUUGGUCACCUUUUAAAUCCGGUAGGAUUUUGGGGAAUUGAAUGGCUUACCUUCCAUUACUGGUGGAACUGAGGAAAUAUGGGGUAGAACUGGGAAUAAGUCAACAGGGUGGACUACUUGUUGGUUUGCAUGUGAGGCCUAUUGUGUAAAUUGCAUAUUUCUAGAUUGUGCAUGCUGCAGUUGGGACUAUAUUAUUCUGUUUUGACAAGUUGAAAAAUUUGGGAAAGUCCGUUUUUCAAGAGAGACUCUGUCGAAAUUUCAACAGAAAGUCUCGUUCCUCUUUUCCUUAAUUUGAAAAAGAUGUUAUAAUGUUAAUAAAUAGGCCCGACAUAAGUUUGAUGUCGGAAAUACCAGAGGAUUCAUCACAAAUUCUGUGGAAUUCAUGGAGGGUCCUGUCAGGGAUUUUGUAAAGAGCUUGAUGGGUUAAUGGCAAAGUUCUGACAGGGAGGAAGUGAAGAAAAAAGCAAGAUACAUUGGAUAAGUUAGGCGAAGUUGGGGCUGUCAAAAAUAGAAGGUGUUUUGGGCUUCCAUAACCUGCAAGAUUUCACCUUGGCAAUCCUUGCAAAACAGAGUUCUCUUGACUGAGUCGGACACUUUCUGGGCAAUAAUGUUGAAGAGCAUGUAAUUCCCUUCAUGUAAUUUUCUUCAAGCAGGCAAAGGGGCACGCGCCUUUUCGGCAUGAUUCCAGUUUUCUGUUACCAAAUCCCAUGUGCCUCCCUGACUCCUCCUUGUAUUUUUGACACGCGUUCCAUGACUUAACAGAAACUUAACACUAUUUAUUUCAACAUAAUAAUAUGGAAAAUGCUAGGGAGACCAACUUUAGAUACCAACUUGUGUACAACUCUCUAAUAGAGUGUGGGACCCAUUAUAUUGGUGGGCUCCACCUCUAUUAGAGAGUUGGUACACAAGUUGAUAUCUAAAGUUAGGCCCAAAUAAUAUUUAUUUAAAAAAAGAACCCCAUUUCCCCGCCUCGUCUAUUUCGUUCAGCAAAAAGGUUUCUUUUCCAGACCCCAAGUUCGUCAGAUCCGCCAUGGGUCUGUUUAUGCCUCCAUAGGAUGAUGGGACACCCAAUUUAUAUCUAAUCUACACCACCAUGCCCAUUCAUCAGACCCCCACCUCACCAUGUCCAUUGGCUUCAAAAAACCCUCAAACCCACAUAGAGAAAGUGCUUCCAUAUUAAAGAUUUGGCCCAAGGAAACAUCACUCGAGCACUAAAAAGACCAAGAAUUGAUCAAUCAGAAAAACCCACAAAGGAAAGCUUGGAAAUUUCAUAUGGGUUCAGCGAAAUUAAAGACCACACCAAGAUCCACAUGCAAACUAGCACUUGUUGGGUUAUUGUUUGUCGCUCAUGGUGAAUAUCUUGAAUGGAAGCAAUAUUGGCCAAGCUUGAGAGAGAAUUUUGGCUUUGAAUAAUUGAGUUUUUUUAAUCAAUAUAACAACUUUUUCUUUAGAUUUGGCCACAACUCUGAGAAUCAAAUGGAAAUUUGAUAAGAAAAGUAUGAAAGCAAGGAAUGACAAUGACAUGCACAGAAGAUAAGGUGAAGGUUGUGGUACUCGAGAUGGACAACAUGAUUUGGGCUGACAUGGAGGUGGCGGUGGUGAACGAAAGAGAUGACGAGGAGGAACUAGUGUGUUUUUUUUUCAAUAUUAUUGCGUUGAAAUAUUGUUAAGAAUGUUAAAUUUAUGUUUAGUCAUACAACACGUGUCGAAAAAUAUAUGGAGGAAACACAGAGGCACAUGGAUUUGGUAACAGGAAAAUUGAACUCCUUGGGUAUGGACUAGUGUAAGACCCUUGACACUUGACAUAAGCAGCAACAUGGUUUGAUGUCUUGGACCAUGCCAAGGGAAGUUGUCACGAGUAUGCAUAAGGUCAAGACAAGCGUGGCAAGACGGAUGUUGAAUGGUCUCAGUGAAGCUUGCGAGAAGCGUCGGCAGAUUGGCUUGGAACCCUUGACAGCGCAUGUAGGAUAAGUGAGCAGCGCAGCAACGCGCAGCGCACACAAACAUCACAAGCAGCGCACGCAGGUAGCGCAUGCUGGCAGGUCGUGGGCAAUUGCUGGCAGAUCGUGUGGGCAGUUUGCUAACAAGAUGUGUGAGGGUUGAUGACAGAUCGUGUGGGCAGGUUACUGGCAGAUCAUGUGGGCAGUUGGCUGGCAGGUUGUGUGACGGUUGCUGGCACUUUGUGAGGGCAUUUAUAUGGGCAGUUGUGAGGAGAAAUUCCAGCAGAUGCGCAGCGAGAUUAAAGGGCAUGUCUGGGUGGGUACGCAUGGUAGUGGGGGAGUGGCAUGCAUAGGAUGCAUCAUGUGGCAAAGGCAAUGUCAGUGGAAGGAGUGGGCGGUUACCUUGCAUCUUUGUAGGAAUACAACAUGGCAUGAUGGCAUGACAUGACCUUGACACUGACACAUGGCGCCACGAGCAAAAAGGAAGCCUUAAGAAUAGGAGUUCGUGAGUUUCUUUGUGGGAUAAUGGCAUGACGGUUUUUAGGAGGAAAACUACCUAUGCCAUGGUGGCUACGUGCAUGGCAGACAUAUCACCUAGCAAUUGGGGGAUGUCCACUACAUGCUUCUAUAAAUACCUUAGCUUAGGAGUAGAUGAAAAUCACUAGAGACUAGUUGAAGGGAGACUAGAUCGGAAGACACUAGACUGGUCGAGACUAGACUAGUAGUCUCUCGGGAAAGAUCUCAAGAGGAGACGAAAUGGGGGGAAUGUGUCUAGGGUAGGCAUAGAGAGGCAUAGAAAGGGGUAUGGCAGAAAGUGUUUAUGCUGACCUACCCAUGCCUUGAGAGAAACCCGUUGAGUUGAGAAUGAGUGUCUAGAGAGGCACCCUACCUUAAGAAUGGGCGGCAUUGAGGCACCAAAUGUGUUGUGGUGACCCAAUGCGAAACAAAAGGUUGUAUUCCUUGUUAUUAUUAAGUAAUAUAAAGGUUGGGAGUGUGUUGUCCCAUAAGCUUGGGUGUUUAUGUGUUCUGCUGCGUGAAAUCUGAAGCCUCACCAGUUGGAGGUGCGAAAAGUUGACUCAGGAGUAGUUUAAGUGCCGGACAAGGGCCAAAAAAUUUAAGGCGUUUUUCACCUCUAUUACAACUAGCAUCAUUGAGGGCAGAGAGGUGAUUGUUAAUGGCUCACGUUGGCAAGUUUUGGAUGGAAAUGAGAUUAGAAUUUGGGUAGAUAAAUGGUUCCCUCUGUCCUUUAAUGGGAGGCUGCAUCCUACUAAUGAUGAGCUGGUGAAUGAGACAACCCAGGUGUCGGAGAUAAUUAAUCCAUCCACAAAAGAUUGGGAUUUAUUAGAACUUUCUUGGAUCAUACCUGCGAGGGAAGCAAUAGUGAUUAAAGCAAUAGCGAGCUUACAGAGCAGACAACGAUGAUGCCUCGAUGUGGUGGUCUUGACCUCUGAUAUCUAGAACUUAAGGGGCACAAAACAUAAAAUGUGAGUGGACGAAAACUAGAUUUUAAACAUACACUACUACAAAAAAGCAAAAAGACGACGGUAAAUCACCGUCGUGUAUUUGGUUUUUCAAUGGUCGUGGAAUCCACCGUCAUCUUUUCCCUCAUAAACCACGACGCUAAAUAACCAUCGUUGUUAAACAAUACAACGUCAUCAAAAAAUACAAAACGACGUCUUUGUACUGCAAAAAGAUCUAAAAAAAGCAAUCGAGGAUGAUAAUAGACGACCAAUUCUCUAAAAAGACCGUCGUUAAAAAGGGAAAAUAUGACACAUAUUAAGAGAACAAGGCCGCAAGAUAGACAUACAACGACGACAAUAAAAAUACGCCGACGUUAAAUAUAAUUUUCACGACAAUAAAAAAUAUGACGUCUUUAAAUACAUUAGAAGACGACGUUAUUGAUACCUACUACGUCGCACAUAUAAACACAACCGUCGUACAAUUAAUUUUCCACUUCGAUUUUUCGAUAAAAGAUGACGUGGAAAUAGUUGUCAGUGUCAUUAUUUACGACGUAUGUGUUUCUAUAGUAGACGUUGAAAAACUAAACAACGUCAGUUACAAAUAUAUGAGAGUCGUAUUAAAAAAUUUAUACGUCCUAUUUUCAGAAACAAACAACGACCAUAAAUAUUAGACGUUGUUAAAUACAACAACGUCGGAAAACAAUAAAAACAGACGUGUUUAGUCUGCUAAAGUUCUACAACGUCUCUUAUUUACAAAAAACCGUCGUGAAAUAAAUUUUUCACUUCGAUUUUUCUAAAAAAGAUGACGUGGAAAUAGUUGUCAGUGUCAUUAUUUACGACGUAUACAUUUAUAUAGUCGACGUUGUAUUUAUAUGUAUUCAUUACUCACGACGCACUUAAUAAUAUAGACAACGUUGAACGUCUAAACAACGUCGGUUCCAAAUAAAUGAGAGCCGUAUUACAGAACAUAUAGACGGCGUAGAUUAUGAUGGGAGCCGUAUUACAAAUAACGUCGUUUAAUUGUUAUUAGACGGCGGUUAUAAUGAAUUUCCGUCGGAAUUAAUUUCGUUCCUCUUCGUUUAUAAAAGAACUUGCGACGUGGAAAAUGUAUGAUGACGUCGUAUUUUUUAACGUUCAGAUUACAUAUCUCGUUUUUUAGACGUCGGUAUUAUGGGAUUGGAGUCGUGUUAUUUUGAAUUACAUGGCGGUUCUUUAUCCUUCACCGACGUGAUAUCCUGAAUAAUUGCUUCACAAUAGCGUCGUGGUUCUUCAUUGUUACGUUGCUUUAAGACGUCGGUAAAUAUGCUGAAUAACUGAUUCACAAUAACGUCGUGUUUUAUUUGAACGUAGAAAGUGAAGAAAUCACAUUACAAUAUUUUACAAAAUUAAUGUCAUACACUGCCAAUUACAUAAGCAUCAUUCAAUCCAUAUAUCUUCACACCCAUCUCGAAUAUUUUGACCGCCUAACUCACCUACCAGUUCAUCAAAUGUGUCAACAUUUGGCAUCCCUCUAGUAAAUGGCUCACACUCAAUUAUCACAUCACCUAAUACUUCAUCACCAAUAACAUCAUUAUAUUCUCUACUAGGCAUUGAUAACACUACCGACCAACCACGAUGCAUCGGGUCGUCAACAAAAAAUAUUUGUUUGACUUGAGAAGCCAAAACAAAUUGGUCAUUCCUAUGUCCAAUUUUACUCAAAUCUACAAGGGUAAAUCCAAGUUCGUCGACUACAAGACCAGAACUAUCUAUCCAAUCACACCUAAAGACUGGGAUUGUAAACUUUUGGUAGUCAAGGUCCCAAAUUUCUUGAAUGACACCAUAGAAACCCAUAUUUGAGAGAAUUGGGUUUUUAUCCUUGGCACUAGCAACUUGCAUGGUAUGUGCAAGUAAAUAAACUCCACUAUUUUGAGUUGUCCGCACAUCAUCUUGUGCCUUGAUAUUGAAUUUAAUACCUUUAAUAAGAUAGCUCCUAUAUAAUGGCACUGACAUGUUUGGACCAGCUGCUAGCCACCUUAAAUUUUCUGAUACGCCAUGAUUGUCUUCCUCAAGUUCACUUUGAACCUGCAAAUUAAUCAUAUCUUAAUUCAUCCUAACAUAUAAAUAAGAAGAAAAUUAAAAGAGAAAUACGUUAUUCAACAACAUAUACCUUGAAGCGUAGCCAUUGAAUGAAAGUGCUAUUGUGCUUAUCCUGCAGCCACUUUGUUCUCUUUCUAAAUUUUGGAUAAGCAGUCUUGAUGUGGAUCAUAUGUUGCCUACAUGACACGAAAAAUUCAAGCAUUACGGUCCCAAAUAUAUAAGAUAAACAUAAGAAAUAAUUUUAAAUGGAAACUUAAAGAAUAAAACUCAUACGUACUCGAUAUAAGGUAGGACUUCCUCCGUAUUCUCCAAGACAUAUAGAUGUGCUUGAUUCAACAGGUCCUGAUCAACUACGCUCACUGUGCAACCUGAUAAUGGCUUUGAAACUCCCAUCUUUUGGCUUGAAGGCACUCCAACUGUACUAACAUCAGAUAAAUGCUGAGUACAAAACUCUACCGCUUCUUCAGCUAUAUACCGCUCAGCAAUGCAACCUUCGGGACGAGUACGAUUCUGAACAUACCCCUUCAGCACUUUCAUAUAUCUUUCAAACGGAUACAUCCACCUAAAAUAUACUGGCCCACAUAGACGAACUUCUCUGACAAGAUGUACUACUAGAUGAACCAUGAUAUCAAAGAAUGAAGGGGGAAAGUACUUCUCAAGCAAACACAGAGUAACUACUACAUCUUCUUCCAACUUAUCUAGCUUGGAAACAUCAACAGUCUUUGCACAUAUAGCAUUGAAGAAGAAGCACAAACGAGUUAUUGCAUACCUUGCAGGCUUCUCCAAAACAGAACGAAUUGCCACAGGGAGCAAUUGUUGCAUUAAGGUAUGACAAUCAUGUGAUUUAAGGCCAAGAAGUCUUGAAUCUUGUACAGAUACAAGAUUUUUAAUAUUUGAAGAAUAACCUUCAGGGACCUUCAUACCAUAGAAAGAAUUGCAAACCUCUCUCUUCUCUGCUCUUGACAAAUUCCAAGGCCCAGGAGGCAAACGAGUACGUCUUUCUCCAUACUCGGGUUGCAAAUCAGUUUUGACCCCCAUGUUCAAUAAAUCUAAUCGAGCAGCAAUCCCAUCUUUAUUUUUUCCAGGGAUCUCCAGCAAUGUACCAAUGAUACUAUCGCAAACAUUCUUCUCAAUGUGCAUAACAUCUAGGGCAUGCCUCACAGGAAGGUAUUUCCAAUACUCGAGAUCAAAGAAUAUUGAUUUCUUCUUCCAACAAACUCUGUCACCAUUUUCAACCAUAUGCAGCACUUCUUCUCCGGUUAAUGGCUCUGGAGGUAUGUCAUAUUCAGGUUUCCCAUUAAAAGCUGCACGUUGCCUCCUAUAUGGAUGAUUGAUUGGUAACCAUUUUCUAUGCCCAAUGUAACAAAUUUUGUGGCCAUUUUUCAACCUGUGACUAGGUGUAUCAUCGCCGCAUAUUGGACAAGCUUUAUAUCCUUUAACAACACAACCAGAUAAGUUUCCAUAGGCGGGGAAAUCAUUAAUUGUCCACAUUAAUGCAGCUCUGAGUGUAAAGUAUUCUCCAUUAUGUGCAUCAUACACUCCUCUAAUCCCAACCCACAAUGAUUUUAAAUCAUCAAUCAAAGGCUCCAAGUAGACGUCUAUAUCAUUUCCGGGUUGUUUAGGACCGGAAAUCAAUAAAGUUAACAUCAUGAACUUUCGUUUCAUGCACAGCCAUGGAGGGAGAUUAUAUGUAACUAAGAUAACCGGGCCACAACUAUAUCUGCUACUUAGAGACUGUGGGAUUGAAUCCAUCAGAUGAAAGAGCCAUCUCAGUUUCUCGGGUCAUUACCAAACUCAGGCCAUUUGUCAUCCAAGAAGUUUCCCAAGACGGGGGAAUCCGCCGGAUGAGACAUCUGACCGUCAAUUGAUUUCUAGCAGCAUGCCACCAAGUCAAACUCUUAGCUGUCUCAUGUGAUUGAAACAUCCUUUUAAACCUUGGAAUUGGGGGAAAAUACCACACCACCUUCGCUGGCACACCCUCUUUCAAGAUUGAAUCUUUGCCUUCCUUCCACCUUGAGAUACCACAAGUAGGACAAUUAGUUGAAUCCUCAUACUCCUUCCUAUACAAGAUGCAAUCAUUGGGGCAUGCGUGCAUUUUCUCAUAACUCAGCCCCAAUGCACACAAAGUCUUUUUAGCCUCAUACAUGGAGGUUGGUAUUGUAUUUCCUUCUGGAAGCAAAUCGCCUUGAAGUAUCAAUAAUUCUGUAAAACAGACAUCACUCAUCCCAUGUUUUGCCUUCAAAUUAUACAACUUCACUAAUGCCGAUAACUUCGUGUACUUUCUACAACCAGGGUACACUGGUUGAUCUCCAUCCCCAAUCACAUUGGCAAACUCAUACGGAUCCGAACCAAAAUCACCAAAAUCAUUAUCAUCCAUAUCAAUUUCUUCAGACACAAAACUGUACCUACUAUGGCCAUCAUCUUCUUCAACAUUUCUGCUAGCAUUAGUAGUUGCUUCCCAAGGUUCUCCGUGAAAUGUCCAAUUCUUAUAGCUUUGGUCAAUUCCAUUAAAGUAUAAGUGAUCCCUUAUAAUUCCAACCCCAAACAACUUCAAAUUAACACAUUUAACACAUGGACAACGGAUAUGUGUUGUAGUUAGAAGAUUUUCUACAGCAAAGUUCAAAAAUGCUUCCACCCCAAACUCAUAUGCCUUCGAUCUUCUAUCCGAGUGCAUCCAUGACUUAUCCAUCUCCGACACUAUAACCUAUUAUCUAUAAUAAAGUGAAAAUACAGGCAAUGACCAUCACUAUAGCAGAUUAUACAAUGAUCUAAUCGCAAGUAAUAAACAACAGAGACGACGGGUUUUAAUCAAAAACAGACGUAUUUGGCAUAUAUAGACGACGGAUUUUCAACAGACGUCGUCUAUUAUACGUAAUACAAACGACGGUUUAUGAAAAAACCGUCGUGUAUAAGUAAUACAACGACGGUAGUUUAAAAACACCGUCGUGUAAUCGUCGUCGUACGCCUUAAAAUUCGUCGUGUCUCAGUUUAUUUUCAAGAACACAAAACCCAUUAAGAACACAACAUAUAUAUGAAACCAAGCAAGAAACCAACAUAUACAUGAAACCAAGCAUGAAAACAAUAAAUCCAUUCCCAAUUCAACAUAACAUAGGGUGAUUAAAAGAUACGACAAAAUUAAAUCCAUUCCCAAUUCAACAUAACAGAUAAUGUAAUCCAUGAACCCAUUAAACAGAAAAUCCAUGAACCCAUACCUAUAAGCAUUGGUGCACUUUGCACCUUCUCCAGAGCGGAAAAUGACAAGAUCAAAUAAAGGUGUCCUUUUGCUGGAAAUCAUUUGGAAGUUGGUGAUGUGUCUUUUUGUGUUGAUUUCCAGCAAAAGUACACCUUUAUUUGAUCUUGUCAUGAACCCAUUAAACAGAAAAUCCAUGAACCCAUACCUAUAAGCACAUUAUUAACAGAUCGCAAAGCAUAUACCUAAAACCCUUUAACAAAAUAACCUAAUAUCAUUCAAUGAAUUUACAAGGGGAAGAUAGGGUUUGUACUUACAGGUUGGACGAGCUCACAGAUUCGACGAGCCUGGAGAGUGCAACUUUUAAUUAGAGCAGAAGUGAGAGAGCGAAAUGUUAUGUCGCGUGAAAUCUGAAAUUUUAGGUUUCAGGGAUCAAAGUAUAAGACUAAGAGCCAAAUCUAAAAAAAUUUAGGUCGCGCGAAAAUUUUUAGAGCGCGCGCGUUAUAAAACGUCGAAAGAAAAACCAAGGCGAAAGUUCUACAAGUACCGACGUAAAUUUAAUAUUCCACGACGGAAACUUCAUUUUUCGGAUUAAGAACGUAAGGCCGUUCAUUUUUCGGAUUAAUUUUAAAUUUAUUUUGAAUUUUUUAUAUAACGACGACUGAAAAACCACGUCGGUGUUAAGAAAUUAAAGACGUUGUAAAUUAUAUAAACCGACUUACAUAUUAAAAUAACGUCGUUUAAAGCGUAAACCAUGUCGUAUGUUUUACUGUACGACGUAAAAUAUGUAUUCCACGACCCAACCACCGUCGUUAAAAAUUAAUACACUAAACCCAUAAAAUUAAAUUAUACAAUUUAAAAAAUUAAGUUUAUAAAAGGUUUUAUGGUUUUAAAGCCUAACAUAUAACAUAGACUACCCAAAAAUUAUACUUUAAAAAUAAACCCCAAUAAAUAACAACACUAAUCUCUAAACCCUAGACUCUAAACCCUAAACCAUUAAACUAGAAGUGAUUUUAUGACUCAUCAAAACAAUUUUGUUUUGGAUGGUCAUUUUAAAUUUUUGUUAUUCAAAAUGAAUUUUUUCAAGGUUUAUGUGGAAGAAAAUAUAUCAAUGACUUCAUAGGAGUUGACUUUUCAAUUUUCUGAUUUAUUUUAUAUUUAUUUUGAAUAUUUUGAUAUAAAAAUAAUAAAAUAUUCUUACCAUACAACAAACCACGUCGGUGUUAAAUAAAUUGUAGACGUUGUAAAUUGUAAUAGACUACUAAGUCGUUAAAAUGACGUCGUUAAAAUGAGAAACCACGUCGGUGUUAAGAAAUUAAAAACGUUGUAAAUUAUAUAAACCGACUUACAUAUUAAAAUGACGUCGUUUAAAGCGUAAACCAUGUCGUAUGUUUUACUGUACGACGUAAAAUAUGUAUUCCACGACCCAACCACCGUCGUUAAAAAUUAAUACCCUAAACCCAUAAAAUUAAAUUAUACAAUUUAAAAAAUUAAGUUUAUAAAAGGUUUUAUGGUUUUAAAGCCUAACAUAUACCCUAGACUACCCAAAAAUUAUACUUUAAAAAUAAACCCCAAUAAAUAACAACCCUAAUCUCUAAACCCUAGACUCUAAACCCUAAACCAUAAAACUAGAAGUGAUUUUAUGACUCAUCAAAACAAUUUUGUUUUGGAUGGUCAUUUUAAAUUUUUGUUAUUCAAAAUGAAUUUUUUCAAGGUUUAUGUGGAAGAAAAUAUAUCAAUGACUUCAUAGGAGUUGACUUUUCAAUUUUCUGAUUUAUUUUAAAUUUAUUUUGAAUAUUUUGAUAUAAAAAUAAUAAAAUAUUCUUACCACAACAACAAACCACGUCGGUGUUAAUAAAUUGUAGACGUUGUAAAUUGUAAUAGACUACUAAGUCGUUAAAAUGACGUCGUUAAAAUGAGAAACCAUGGCGGCUAUUUAACUAUACGACGUAAAAUAUAUAUAUCAACGACUUAACCGCUGUCGUUACAUAAACGUCGUCGAUGAUACCCUGAACCCUUAAGAAAUUGAAGAUGUUGUAAACCAUAAACGACUCAAUUGUUCAAAGAACGUCGUCUAACUAUAUUUUUACGUCGUAAUUGUUUAAAACACGAAACAACAAAAUACGACGGUUUGUGACUUUAUUAGGUCGUUGGAAAAGUAUUACACGUCGGUUAAGCAAUUUGUAUGUUUGUUUUUUUUUUAAUUUAAGAAAACCUCAACAAAUUUUUACAUUACAUAUUAUAGAGAAAAUUUGUACAUUAUACAUAAAUAUCAAGUGUUCAAUAAUUGCCCUGUUUAAUAAUUUGGAAAACAAACUCUGCCCAUUCAUUCCGGACUUCAUCAAUGGCUUCUUGGGGGUAUGAAGCUUCCUGGUUUCCCUUGGCAUACUGCAUAAACAAUGACUAUUAGGGUUUAUAAAUAAAAAGAAAUUCAAUCACAGACGACGAUAUUUUUCAUAACCGACGUAGUAUAUCCAUUCAACGACGUUAAUUUUACACGACCGUCGUUGAUAAUACAAAAAACGACGUGAAAUGUAUGAAGGUAAUUUCUUCUUACCUUAUUCUCAAACCCCAAGGAAGGAUCCAUGAUGAUGUCCCUCAUGAAGCGCAUUACAUAAUACCCGCAUUCGACAUUGCUGGGUUGCUUUGGUGUGCCUGAGAGAGUUUUCCAAAUUACAUUUUUACGUCCUGCUCGGGCUAUGUGGGUAUUAUAUAUUUUUAAAGCACUGUUCACGAUGUUUUUGGCCUCUUCAUCGACCACACGAUUUCCUGGCAGAGGAUCCAGAAAAUAGACGGUUUCUCUCUUUGCUCUUACAAUCAGCAAAAUCCAAUGACGGCUGCACAAAAUUAAUAUAAAAACGACGGUUAUUUACAAAAACGACGUAUUAUAGUAUUUCACACGACGAAGUAAAGUAGCUAACGACGACAUUAUAUAUUUAUCACGAUGAUAAAUAAAUACCGACGUGGUUAGUAGUUUCAAACGACUAAAUAAAAUAAAACACCGACGUGGUUAGUUUAUAAGCUGUCAUUUAUUGAAAAUCUUAAAAACAAAAUCCUAAGGAGACUAACCCUGGAUUGUAAGGCAUCAUGAAAAUCUGUUCACCGUCUGUCUUCUGAAGUCGAGCUGCUACGAGUCGUGAUCUUUCAGUUAUUGUGCCAGAGUUGGCACUAACUGUAGCAGGGUCGAUAAAGCCAACCAUACUGCACAUAUUGGCUUUUUUCAAAACAUCGUGUAAGUACCUAAACAAAUAAAAUAAUAUAAACAAGUCAGCACACAAAACACGACGGUUAUGUAUAAAAAAAACGACGUAUUAUAAUAUUUCAAACGACGUACUGAAAUAGAUGAGGACGUUAUAAUAUAUUUAUCACGACGGUUGUUAGUUAAGACGACGUGGUUAGUUAGUUAAGACGACGCAAUAUAUAAACCAACGAGUUAUUAUUUUAGAAGUACAAACCUCAUAUAUACAGCCAAUACAGUAGCUCCAAUUUCUUCCAUGCCUGCAAAUUGUGUAAUAUCUUCAGGCAGGAGGAAGGUAUCGCGCUCACCACCAAACACCUCCUUAUCAAUUGUAAAUUGGACUGUCUUAUCCUCAGGCAGGAGUGUCGUUUCCACAAAACGACAAAGGGUUUUUAAAGAAGAUGGCGCCUCCAUUUUUGAAUAAGCACCAACUUCAAUAACCUGUUUAAAGAAAUAAAAAAAAUGACGUGGUAAUUCAAUAAAGACGACGGUUUAAGGAAUAAAAUGUCGUUUUAAAAGUAUUUAAACGACGGUGAAAAAAUUGUCGUGGUAAUUUAAUAAAGACGACGGUUUUAUGAAUAAAGAGUCGUCUGAAACCAUUUAAACGACGGUGAAAAAACCGUCGUUUAAAUAUUUUAUUACGUCUUAAAAAAAUUCCGCCGUCUAAGUUGUAAACAAACGACGGAUUAAAUAAAAAUAUCGACGUCUGAAAUUUUGAAAAACAAAUAAAAAAGUUAUGUUAACAUACCUUGUCGUCAUGCUUUUCUUCAUCUUCUUUCUCCUUUUCUUCUUCCUUCUCUUCAUCUCUUUUUUCUUCUUCCUUCUCUUCAUAUCUUUUUUCUUCUUCCUUCUCUUCAUCUCUCUUUUCUUCUUCCUUCUCUUCAUCUGGCUGAUGUUUCCCCAUUUUGGCAGUAUCAUCCUCCAAAUGUAGGGAUCUCACAUCACCUCCAGAGCAGCUAGCUUUGUCAGACAUUGGAUUUUUGGGGCUUUGGCUAAUUCUUGGUUUAAGCAUGCUUGGAUCAAAAUUGGGAAUUAAUUGGGAAAGCUGACUCAGGAAAUGCUCCCUCUCAGCCUCUACCAAUUGUUUUGUCCUAGCCUCCAUCCUUAAGGCCUCUUCCCUUGCCUUAGCCUCAAUCUUUUUAGUCUCUUCUUGAAGGAGAACUCUUAAACUCUCCUUCAAACGGUCGUCAAAGCUCACCCUCUGUGGUUUGGGCAAAUUGAAAUAUUGCCUUGGGGAAACACCAGCACCAACUCCCCUCACCCUGCCUGGAUGCUCGGGGCCCAAAGCCAUGGUCAGCACAUCAUUGCUGCCAUCUACUCUGACUUUGCCUUCCGAGACUUGUUUCUGCAAUUCAUCCUAAAACAAAGAUAAACAAAAAAAACACACGACGGUUAUUUAUGUACAAACGACGUAUUAUAUAAUUUCACACGACGCAAUAACGUAUAAACCGACGUUAUUAUAACUUAUCACGACGGUAGUUAUACCGACGUGGUUAUUUAUUUAAAACGACGAAAUGAAUAAACAACCGACGUCUUAUGCUAUAAUUAAAGAUAACAGAGUAGUGAUUCCUAUUUAGACCGUUAACGACGUUUUUAAAAAAUUUUCGACGUGGUAAUAUCCUUCACACGACGCGAAAAUGAACCACCGACGUCUUAUGCUAUAAUUACAGAAAACAUAGUAGUGAUUCCUAUUUAGACCUUUAACGACGUUUUUAAAAACUUUUCGACGUGGUAAUAUCAUUCACACGACGAAAAAUAUAACAUACGACGUAAUAAGAAUAAUUCACAGUUUAAUAAAAAUUUAAAACAGAGUGAGUAGGCUUACAAUUAAUUUUGCCUUCUCUGCCACCUUUGGAUCAGGGAUGUUACCAUGUUUGUCCUGUCUAGCUCUCUUCCAUAAGGUAGAUCGAUCAAUUUCUACCCCAGGCAUGGUUUCCUCCAAUUGAUCCUCCAAUCCAGCAUAUCCUUUUCGAGACAAUCGAUGAUUGUACUCGAGUUUCUCCCUAAUCUGUGAAUGUUGAGAAUGCACAGACUGAAAAUCUUUGGAUAGCCUUGAAGCUACAAAGGCAUCCCAUUGUGCUUUCUCUAUGAAUUUAUAUGUUUCAGGGGGUUGGCUUAAUUUCUCCCUGUCAUUGGUGUAUGGAAGGAUAUAAUGCCUCGUUAGUGUAGACUUGAAAUCCUUCCAUUUUUUGGCAGCAGAAGAUAAAACAGAGGUCUUGCCCCCUUGGCCUACGACAAAAGCCAUGUCAACUGCUUCCCAAAUCUGCUCCUUUAUAUCCUUUGGGAUUUGGGACCAUUUCUUGUCCACAAGUGGGAUCCUGGAGCGUGCCAAGACACCAAUAUACAACUGCAUCUCAAUAUGUGCUUGGCCAACACCUUUCCCCCUUUUAUUGUACUCAACAAUUGGCCUCAGUUUCUGAAGCUUUCUCUUCACAACACGAGGCAUUGUGCUCAUACCUCGACCAGUCUUUGAAUCAUCAGAGAUUGUUGUCUGGCUGGUUGGUUCUGUCUCAGCAGAUGAUGAAGCAAACUUCAUCUUCUUCGAAGACUUCAUCUCCUUCGAAGACUUGUCUUGGGGAGCUACCACUCCAAGCUUCUUGGAGCCAGAAUCCUUAGUUUGUUGUUGAGAAACCAUUUUAACAGACAAAACUGCAAGUGAAAAUAUUUCAGGAAAACAUUAAGAACACAAACGACGGUAUUAAAAAAAUACGACGUAUGAUAUGAUUUUAGACGACGCAAUGAAAUAAUCUCAGACGUAAUAAAUGUUUAAAACCAUUAUUUAUAUAACGUCGUGGUAUAUAUGUUCACACGACGUCAAUAGUAAUACACCGUCGUGGUAAACUAUUAAUUAUAUAACGUCGUGGUAUUUAUGUUCAUACGACGUCAAUAGUAAUACACCGUCGUGGUAUUAACAUUCACACGACGUAAAACAAUAAGAUAUUUUGUCGUCUAUAUUAGAUACCAACCCUAGUUUCUUUUUCUUUAUAUUUUAUCAAAUAAGGGAAAAACAAAAACCAUUGUUCAGCGAAAUCAAACCUGCAAUUAAACAAGCAUAUAAAAAAAGACUAUUAUUUUAAAAACAACUUUGUCAAUUUUCAGACGACGCUAGAACAACUGACGAACCGUCGUGGUCUACCGUCGUCUUAUUUAGUUGAUGUAGUUGUCUUCAAAGUUGGAAACUUUCUCUCUUUGUCUGUAUAUUUUAUCAAACUUGGAAAGAAGUAAAAUGAUUUUGGCCAGAAAAAAGGUAAAAAGAUUUUUCAAACAAAAAACGUAUGAGCAUGCAAAACAGUAACCAAAAUAGUGAAAAUGAAAGCUUACCUUUUGCGUGCAAUGAAAGCAAGAGGAAGAUGAUCGAUGUUUAAGUUCAGAGACGACGAAGAAGACGAGAGGAAGACGAUGAGAAACUCUGACAAUGCUCUGACAAGGAAAAAAGACGAAAAGGUUUCUCUGGGAGAUUGAAAUUUUUAAUCGGGUUUGGAAACAGUGCAUGUGUAAGUCGAAAAGUUGCUUACAUAUAAAACCAUUUCAAAAAAAUAAUACGGCGGUUACAUUUAACUACGUCGUUUUUAACUAAAACGACGCAAUAUUUUUCAUUCGACGUGGAAUCAUUUCAUUUAACGUCGUUAGGUUUAAUAUAACCGACGUGGAUUUUAAUUUUUAAAUUAUGAAUAGAAUUUUUUUUCCCGUGACCUUUCAGUUUAUUUUCAAUUACAGUGCGUUAUAAAUAGAGUUUUUUUUCCGGAGGAAAUUUAAAACGAAGGAAAUUAAUAUUCUGCAAUAUGUAAAGUUUCUUUUUUGGAUGACAGAUUUAAAUAAAAUAAGAAUAUAAAAACAACAAAUGUGUAAGUCAAGUAGACGAAAAGUUGCUUACAUAUAAAACCAUUUCAAAAAAAUAAUAUGGCGGUUACAUAUAACUACGACGUAUAAAUUACAAAAUACGACGGUACAUUUAACUUCGGACGUGGUAAAUAAAUACGACAGUAGUUUGUAGGUACCGUCGUAGUAAACUCAAAAAUUAAAGUACAUAAGUAAUAACUCGCGUCAUGGUAUAUUAUUUAACACGUCGUUUUUAUUAAUUUACCGACGUGGAUUUCUGUAAUAUACGUCGAUCAUACCGACGUUGAUUUUACAAUUUAAACGGCGGUUUUUUUGUAAGGACCGCCGUUGGUUUUAAAAAUUUAUUCUAUAAAUUUGUCGCUUUCAUUCAUUUUCGGUUUACAUUUAAGGUUCCAAGUUCUUCCUCUCUCAGUCUCUCAUGUCUCAAAGAUAAUAAUUUGGAUGUUUUCUCAAAGAGAAAUUGAGCUUACUCGCAUCAAAUAUAUGUCCACAAGAAGAAGCUUGUCAACUAGCCUUCUCACUUCCUUGAUCAAGCCUGAUAGGACACUUAGUGCUUCUGAAUACUCCUUGCUUUCCAUCAAAAGAGAUGCAAGCCUGGCCUCCACUCGCUGUCGAAGGAAAGUUCGCUUCUCAGGGAAAUCUGAAGAUCAGAUGUGCCUGAUCCUCUGCUUGAUUUUCUUGCCUAAGAAGAUCCGUCGGAUUUAUUGUGAUAGCCUCUUCCUUUAUCCGUAGAGCUUCAGAAGAAGAAGAUGGGUUUCAAGAAUGCGAUAAAGAAUAGAAAUGGCUUCAGAUGGCCUCUAAAGCAUGAGCAAUUGAAUCAGUAGUUUCUGGGAGAUAUGAUGAAGACAUUGUCAAUGCUUUGAACUACACAAGUCCUGCAGAAAGAUAUGUUAAAGAAACUGAAACAACGGCGGUUUUCUGUUCUACCGUCGUCUUUUCUCGUCGUCUAUAUUAAGUUACGAUGGCGGUAGAUUUAUAAUUACCGACGUAGAUUAUUUUGUUAAACGUCGUUAAGUGUACUACAACCGACGUGGAUUUUAAUUUUAAAUUAUAAAUGGAGUUUUUUUUCCCGUAUUCUUUCAGUUUUAGUUUUCAAUUCCAAAGCGUGAUAAAUAGAUUUUUCUUUCCCGAGGAAAUUUAAAAUGAGGGAAAUUAAUGUUCUAGAAUUUGUAAACUAACACGACGCAAUAUUUGCAAAUCUGUGUCAUCUGUUAAGAUUAUGAUGUGGAACAGAGUUCCAUCUGGUAAGAUUUCGUAACCCUUGGGAUCUCAGACAAAACUGAUUAUGUCGGCGGUGUUCUAUAUAAACCGUCGUGGUUAUUUCAAUUCUUGUCAUUAAGUAGAUCUACCGACGUAGGAUAAGAAAAUCAAAGAAAAAAAUUGUUAACAAAAAUUCUUAUUAAGACGACCGUUAAAAUUAAAGGUACGACGUAUAAAAUGAAUAAAUACGACGAUAAAUUUUAUUGUACGAUUUAAAGAUAACGUAGUAGAACUAUACGAGAAUGACGUCGAUAUAUUUAUAUUUUCCGUCGUUGUAAAUUAAUUUAAUACGGCGAUAUUUUGUAUUUUAAAGCCGUGGAUUUGUUUGUAAUUAUACGGCGUCUUAUACGAAAACCUCGUCGUGUUAUUUUAUGAGUAAAAACGGCAGUUUUUAUUGAAAUCGUCGUCUUUACUUUCUACGUCGGUCGAUUCAUAACUUCUGCCGUUCUUUGUUGGCAUUGAUUUUACACUGCGGAAAUCUGUUUCAAAUAGACGUCGGUUGUUUAAUUAUGUACGUCGUUGUUUUUGAACAGCCAUUUGAAACUCCAUUUUUUAGUUGUCUAAGGUUGUAUUACACGACGGUGUUUUUAGAACCGUCGUCUUUUUAUAAACCACGACGGUUUUCACUGAGACCGUCGUUGUUUUCUGGUCGUCUUUUUCACUUUUUGUAGUAGUGAUAAUUUAUAUUCAACAUAAAUAACCCCCUCAGUUUUAGAAAAUAAUGCUAAAACACCAAGAAAUAGAUUCUUUCGGUAAACGUACAUAUGUAUCUCAUUCAAAACUUGAAAUACCUCAAUUCAAUGGACUCAUAUCAUAACAUACUAUAAUUAAAACCAUAUAUUAAAUGCAAUCUAAAUUUCUUGAAGAACAUUGUAAAACAAUAAACUGAAAACCUUCAAAGUAAAACCCCUUUACUCAAACCAUUUCAAACUCAUGAACUUUUUCAAAAAUCAUUUCUCAACCUUAAUCCUUUUCAUACAUAAUUAAGCAAAAUCCCUUUUUUUCCCUCAAUCAUACCCUACUGAAGGCGUAUGUUGCAAAGCACCAUAAGUCAAUUGUCAAAUCUGAACUUCAUGUCAAAUAUUCAUACCUAUGCAAAGUACCCUCAAUGCGCAUGCUCAAGAAACCUUAACCUGAAAAUAAAUACACACAUACUCCUACACAAAUACCCAUAUAUACACACACCCAAAAUCAACACAUCAUCAUCAUGUCGGCCUCUCCCUUGCCCGCCUUGGCUUCUUCAUCGUUGGCCUUCGAAACCUCGGCCUCAUAAGAACCACGUCAACUACACCGUUGAUAAGACCCGACCCACUGUAGAAUCUGCGCUGAACCCUGUGCAUAUCCAACACCUAUCAAGUACCGGACACACUUGACCAAAUUGCCCUCUAAAUUAAAACUCAAAAAUUCUUUUAAAGUUUAACUUCUGUCGAAAAAUCGGCUGAGUCUCUCCUGUAAAUUGCUCGUUUUCCAAUAAUUUACAUCUGUACAAAAUGCAAUUCAUAUAUCCACAAGCAUUUAGCAUGCAAAAUAGUGGUGUAAAUUGGAUUGGAAAAUCUGAUUCUGACGUUCUAGUCUGAAAAUUUCCAAAAAAAUCCAACUCUGAUACCUCCGAUAUCCGAAAAUGUCGAAAUCUGAUUUUUCCGAUAGAAUUCGGAUCGGAAUCGGAAUGUGUCCAAAAAUUCCGAAAAUUCCGAACUACUCCGAACUCAUUCCGAUCCGAUUUUUCCGUUUUUUUAGAAAAUUCUGAAAUUUUAAUUAUAAUUACAUUGUUUUUUGUUUAUAGGUCUUAUAUGUGUUUUAUUUCAAUACUCAUAUAUUCAUAUGUUAAACAUAGGAGUAUAUUAAUUUAAGACUAUUGGAAAAAAAAUAUAGUCUUGUUCGGGUCAAAUUUGUAAAAUUAAAUGACAUGGUUCAAAGAGUAACAAUUCCAUGGUCACAUAAUAAGGGUAAAUGCCAUGGUCACACACUAGAUUAAUAGUUGAUCCUAUAAAAUUGAUCAUGGUUCAAGGGGUAACAUUAAAUCAUACACUAGAUUAAUAGUUGAUCCAAUCAAUUUGAUAAUGGUUCAAAAGGUUAUAAUUUCAUGGUCACACACUAAGGGUAAAUGUCAUGAUCACACACUAGAUUAAUAGUUGAUCCAACCAAAUUGAUAAUGGUUCAAAGGGUAACAAUUCCAUGGUCACACACGACUGGAUUAAUAGUUGAUCCGAUAAAAUUGAUCAUGGUUCAAGGGAUAAAAUUAAAUUCCAUGGUCACACACUAAGGUUAAAAUUAAAUGUCAAUUUAAUGAUGAGGGUGCAAGUUAUAUUAAAAUGUUAACAUCAAUUAUGAUAAAAUCAAUUUAACUUGCGACAUAUGUGAUUAAAUUAUAUAUAUAUGGAGAAAUAUGCAAUAAAUUUAUAACAAUAGUGUUUGAUAUUACAAUAUCCUUCAAACAAAACCAAAAAUGAAAAAAUCAUCCACAAGUGGUAUUUUCGAACCCAAGGCCUCUCACUUGCAAUUAUACUAACGGACCACCAUAGCUAGAAUUGUCCUUGUGAAAUACAUGUCAACUGAAUAUAUUUACUCACUGAUUUGAGGAGUUUGAAAAAUAUUUAAAAAAUCUUAGGGUGAAACCCUAAUUUAUAUUUGUUUUCCUUUCUUCUUUUCUCCAGCCACCCCAUUCUUUUUCCUCUUCCUCCCUCCAGAUGUUUAUUCUCACUUCUCAUCUCUCCUUCCCGACCAUUCUCCUUCCUUAUUCUCUCUCUCUCUCUCUCUCUCUCUCUCUCUCUCUCUUCAUGACCUAUUUCCUCUUCUUCGUGACAAUAAUAUAGAUAGACACCAUUUAUUGGGAAACUAAAAGACAAUACUGAUGGAAUACCAUUGCAAGUAUGCACCAAAGUUUCUACAAGUCUUCCUGUCAAAAUUGCUUUUGACUAUGACCUUCGAAAUUCUUCCAACAAUUUUGAAAAGAUUUAAUUUCCGAAAGUUCCGAUUUCACCGAAAAUUCCGCAUCGGAAUGGUGUUAUUAUAUUCAGAAAUUUUGGAAUCGGCAUUGGAAAUGAAUAUGACUUCCGAAAAUUUUUGGAUCGGAAUUCAGAACUCUUAUAUCCGAUCCGUUCUGGGCGAAGAACAGCCCUAAUGCACAAUGUUAAACCACACACAAUCCAACAAUAAAUCUGUGUGGCCUCAGGUCUUACAGAAAUCGUGGGGCAAUAUCAAAGCCUACUAAUUAAUUUAAUUUACAAAAAUAGUACAGUUAUAGUAUAAUAUCCUACAUAAUGGAAGAGGAUGAGUGGUGGGUGAUGAAUGCCCGGUGGUGGUGCUCCGGUGCUCUAUUACUGCAUGGGGGCUCAAAACAUUAAAAGCGUGAGUUGACAAAAUAAAGUUGUGCAAAAUAUAAUAUCAAUAUACUAACCCCACUGUUAAAACCAUUUGAAAAUUCAUUUAAUCCAUAUUCUAUAUUCGUACCAAAAAUCAAGCAUGCAUAUUUAUAUUCAUAUAACCGUUCAGACAUUCAAUCAAUUCAUCAAAACCAUGUGAAAGCAUUGAAAAAUAAUAAUUCCUUUCCACUGUACCCUUCAUAAAUUCGUCAAUUCCAUGAUUUUUCUAUUUAUUUCCCAUAUUAUACCAUCAAUUUCAAGUGUCACAUAAGUGACACCUCAUCGCAAAACUCGGAAACACAAUGUUAACCUGAGUGCAAUCCUCGCAGAACUCAAGAGACACUUGGUCAACCUGAGUCGCAUUCCUCGCUCCUCACAGUCCGAGUAUCCCUAGGACUCAUGGAGCAACUAUCAAACGCGCUCUGACUCAACCGAAGGCAACUACGAUAUCUGUGGACAUCAUUAUAUCCAAAGGCAACAGUUUAUUCGAAGGCAACAUUUUGGAUACCUAUGGUGGUUUAAAAACCUUUCCUGAAAAAUUAUAAUAUUGUUUCUCACUCAAUCGUUAACUAUUUCAUUUUCUACUUUUCAAACCAUUCACAUUUAAGCAUAACAAAAUUUUAUAAAAACAUUUGAAUUCAAACUAUAUGCUUGGAAAGCAAAAACCAUAAAUAAUUCAUUCAGGAUCAAUUAAUAAAACUUUUACUACAUAAAAUUUAUUUUUAAAACAAACAUCUAUUCACUGUGCGUCCGACCUGGCAUGACCCUUCGAGGGUUAUUGCUGUGGGUUUGGUGGAGCUUGAGUACCUAUUCAAGCGAUUAAAACAUUUAAUUAAUAAAAUAGCUCAACCACAAUUAUUUAAUCAAAACCCCGACCCCCGGCUUUCAAGUGCGUGCGCGUAACUUAAGAAAGUUCAUAGGCCCAUUUUCAACAGUUCUAACAGAUAGAAUGGUCUGAAAAGACCCGAGAUUAAAUAUACGAUUAAAUUCUUAUAUUGGUCAAUCCAGUCCCCCGUAGGGUCCACAACCUCCAAUUACUAAUCCAAAAAUUCAUAUGGGUUCAAUAAAGUUUACUAAACACAUCCUGCAAGUUUGGUCCAGAUCAAGAUGUCAGAUCACUCAUGAUCGAAUGAUCAGAAGGUCACCAUUUUACGUAAUCUUUGAAUCAUUGAAUGGAAGCAUCCAGGACUCCGAUUCUCGAUCUGUGAGUUCCUAUACGAUCCUAGAGGUUCCUAGAUCAACAUAUUUGGAAAUGGAGUCAAUCCAACGAUCUGAAUAUAUCGAACUCAGAUAUCGCCUAAUAUGCAAAAUCUGUUCGAUUGUCAAACGAUAACCAAAUUCGAAUCCAAGCAUACCAUCGUGCUCAGGAUGAUAGGGAGAACAUUUUAGGACCAAAUGGGCCACCCUACCCCGGCCCACGGGCUUGAGUGGCUUGAGAAAAUUUCGACGACCAUAAAAUGCUCAAAACACCCAACAAUACCUAUACCCACCUGAUCAGGACAACUAGUGGAGCAACUUUUGUUCUUGGGCCACGGCCAAAAAGUAGCCUGAGCUUGCUGGAAAUUCGAGCCGAAAACGGCCAAAACUUAGAUCGUGAAUCGAGCUUUAAAACUUCAAAAUCAAUCCAAACCAACUCAGCCAUCAUCUAAGUCACGUUGAAAGGAUGAGAAAGCAUACCUGGAUAGACAAAUUUGGUGGUCGAAAUUGUUGAAAACGACGACGAAAAAUUUGAAGGGAAACCGGCGAUUUUUGAGCUACAUCAAGCAUCAGUGGUGGCAAUUGCGGCGGCGAUGGGGUGGGUAGGAGAGAGGAAGCUGAGCUGGUCACUUUGUACCGGUCUUAUGGCUGGAGGUAGCCAAAUGAGAGAGAUUGCCGGCCAAACAAUGGCCGGCUGUGCGAGAAAUGAGAGAGAUUGGGGGAAGAGGAGAGAGAAAGGGGAGAGAGAGAGAGAGAGAGAGAAAAACCAGGUUUUAUUUAUUUUAUAAAAUCUGAGUUUGAAAUAUUUAAGAUUAUGCCACUGCACUUCCGUUGAUCGUAAUUUCUUCGUUAAAACUCUGAUUUGAGCCCAUUACGUGUCUUCGAACACGUAUCGUCGCGCUCUACACAAUGAUGCUACUAAAAUCCCCAAAUUCUUUCCCGAAGAAAAAGUCAAUUUUAAACCUAUUAAAAUAUUCUCGAGGUCAAAUUAUCUUUUACUAGAAUAAUUUAAUAAUUGAAUAUUAAUUUAGAGACAGGAUAUCACAAUCAUCGUCGAUGUCCUCAAUGGAAAUUGUAGGCUCGACUAUGCUCUCAUUGGAGACAAGCACUGGUCCAACUUCAAGCUGCUCUACAUCUUCAAGCCCAAGUCCAAAUAGGACAAAGCCUUAGUUAAGGGAUAGCUGCUCUGCAAAUUUUAUUUUAUUUUCCUAAAAAAUUAAUUAAAAUAUAUUUUAUUUAAAACCAAGUGGCUCUAUACCAUUGAAUGUGUGAGCUCCACACAUUUGCCACCUCAGCAAUUUAACAAAAAAAUUGACAAAACUAACGAUAUGGACCAUUUUUAUGUGUGAAUGGUAACCUUAGAGUAUCUAAAAUCAUGCUCCCUUUUUUUUAUUUAAAUUUAGCUAAAAACACACAAAAGUUAUUUUAGGAGCUCUCUAUAAAAUUUGAACUCCAAUCAUACUCCUUAGUUAGCAUUAAUUAAAAGUUUGUUGUAAAUGCAUGAGUUGGUGGAUGACCACUAUACCUCUUAAUAUUCCACCGUUGGAUUUUAUGUAACCUAUGCACUAAGUAUUUGUAAUUAAUGCUUAUAACCUAUAGGUAUAUUGUAAAUGAUGGUAUUCAAUCUCCUAUCUUGUAAGCCUAUAAAUAGGUGGUUCUACCAAAGAUUUAGAGAUGAAUAAAACAUGGUGAAGCUUUAUCUUUAGCAUAUCACUUCUCUCUACAUUUUCUCCCUCUAGUUUUAUAACACGUUAUCAGCACGACAUUGCUCUUGGUAUGUUUUCUUUCUCUGAAUUUUCUUUCUUCUUAUAUGAGCUAGAGUCAUCACAUGGUAUAGAGUUUCUUUGUACUCACCAUCAGACUUCAUCAUGCUUGUUUAAGAAAAAAAAUUCUUAUUCUUAUUACACAUGAAUAUAAUGCCAUGUUUUUGUUUUUAUUUGUUUGUUUAUUUAAUUUUAAGUAUGAUCUUAAUUAUUAUGAUGAGUUUGAAUUAUACAAAAGAUCAAGGGCCCGAAGUUCCGUGAUCCUCAUCAUAUAACUAGAUUAGGAUAUAGAGUCCUUUUGAUUGAAUCAGAGCCUGAAGUUCUUUGAUUCCAAAUCAUUGAGGGCGUGAAGUUCCGCGAAUUUAAAGAGCACAUAAGGACAUAAAACUCCUCGAUUUUGUAUUAAUCAAAAUCAGAAUUCCAUGAGGCCUACAUAUGUCAAGAACUUGAACCAGAAGUUUCGAGUGCAUAUACAUCGAUUUGAGUAUGAAGUUCAAAGCACAACUAUUAAUUCAAUUUAUUUAGAUCUACGUAUUCGUACCUGAAGUUUCGAAUAUAUAUUGAUAUGAACCUGAAGUUCAUAGUUUUUCAUGGAUCUUAAUACUAUAUAUGAACUUGAAGUUCAUUACUUAUUUGUGCCUAUAUGAACCUGAAUUGGUUGGAAAUCCAAUUCUUAAACUUGUAGUUUUAUCCACAUAUUGAAUCCACAUUAAUAUUGGAUUAUCUUGGAAUUUCAUAGUCUUUAAUUGAUUUAUUUAUUCCUUGUUUAUACCACUUUACUUAUUUUAUUUAUGUUAGGUUAUUAAUUAAUUUCGUUUUACAAUGGUAAUGUUUUGUAUUACCGCCCCAAUAUUGAUAACCAGAGGCGUCUAUUGGAGAAACUUCCUACUUUCUUUUGUGGGUAGGAAGUUUAUGAUGUUAUGAACCAAAAGUUCUUGAGGCCCCAAUGUUACACAACUAUUAUAGUUGAAGAUUAUGAUGUCAUGAACUAGAAGUUCAUUGACCGAAUAACUUUUAUGUUGUGACAUGAUUAUCUUGGCAAUCCAUGUCCCACAAUGAUGCAUAAGAUUUUUAUAAAUUUGUAAGGACAUCGUUUAAAGACUCAAAUUAUUGUCUUGUCCAACAAUAUCAUUACAAAGAACGCUCACAAAUAAAAGUUGUCAUAAGAUCAUCUCAGUCAAAAAUUGACUUUGAGCCAUCUUUCCUGAAAUAAUUCAAGGGGAUAUUUGUGAGCCUAUACAACAUCUAAUUAUGGAUCACUUCACCAGUUUUACUGAAUGUGCCUACUAAAAUGGUCACAUAUUUGAUAACGACUGUGAGUUUAUUUUCCUACAUUUUGAGACAAUUUUCCCGCCGUUAGGGGGAGAAAUGACAAUUCCUAAAGAACGUUGUGAAAUAGUGUUGAAUCAAUCCGCUUUUGUCUCAUCAAGAUAAUGCAUAUAUAAGUUGUACAUAUGCUAACAUGGAUUGAUAUUCUCGUAUCACAAUCCAUUAACAUGGUGACUAUAUAUAUAAUGCAUGCCUGAAGCAUGUCAGAAAUAUAGGUUCUAAAGACUUAACUCCUCAGAAAUGGAGAUUAUUUGAAAAAUUCAAGCCCUAUAAAAAAUAACGCUCUAUAGGAGGUUAUGAUCCACAUAUUCUAAAUACUUCAUUGUAAAAGAGAUGUUUGUCCCAUAAGUGACAACAUAAGCCCCUGAAGAGGCAUUGGUACCCUAAAGUAAUGAGAUGCUUAUAAAUUAUGCAUGCGCAUGCACAUGAGAAUUGUGGGAUCACAAAUUGAUGAUACAUUUGGUUUAUUAGUAGCUACUACAAUCAUCAAGGGCUGUGAUUAUAUUAAAUCACGUUUCAUGAAUGUCGACAAGUUAAGUGAUUGGCCAAAAAUGGAAAUAGGCAAUUCCAUUUAUCACUAAAUAAGAAGAGUUGGAUAUUGAACCUAUAACUCAAACACCAAAUUACAAAUGUUCAGUAUGAAGGUUACGAAUUGGUGUUUGUGAAGUGAAAUAAGAUCACUAAUAUGACAUAAGGUUUCCUGGGAGAGACAUGUGGUUUUAGUCUCCAAUCUCAUCGUAAAUGCAUCCACAUUUCUAUAAGUGCGGUUGUUACUUUAACGCAAAACUUAUAGUAUGUGUUAAAUGCAUAUUUAUUAAGACUAUAUGGUACAUGGAAAUCCUCAAAGCUCAUGAAAUAUUUGAGAUAUAUCGGAUGAAGCAACCUCUUGAAGGAUAUAAAGUACCACAAUAUUCUUAAUUAAGAGUUAACACUAAGAGUUUGAGUAUUUUGAAUUCAAAUUUGAUAUUGUUGUAACAUAUUUUAACUACUAAAUUAGUCGUUGAUACUCCUAAAGAUUUCAAUCAUUUGAAAAGUGAAAAGCAGGUUGAGUAGUGUGAUAGAUGAUCAUGUAUGAAGACAAUGUUGCUUGUAUUGCUCAAAUCAGAGAAGGAGAGAGAUUAAUCAGGGGGAGCAUCCCAAUUCUACUAUAUUCAAGACAGAUGCGCGUUGUACUCUUUUUCCCUUCGACUAGGUUUUUGUCCCACUGGAUUUUUCCUAGUAAGGUUUUAACGAGGCAAUAUAAGCUCAUCCAACACCAUAUCAAUGAUUCAGAAGAAAGUUUCACUCUUUUUCCCUUCACUUUGGUUUUGUCCCACUGGGUUUUCCAAGCAAGGUUUUUAAUGAGGGAACUAUGUCAUUGUAUGGUGGACAUUCAAGGGGGAGUGUUGUAAAUGCAUGAGUUGGUGGAUGACCACCAUACCUCUUAAUAUUCCACCGUUGGAUUUUAUGUAACCUAUGCACUAAGUAUUUGUAAUUAAUGCUUAUAACCUAUAGGUAUAUUGUAAAUGAUGGUAUUCAAUCUCCUAUCUUGUAAGCCUAUAAAUUGGUGGUUCUACCAAAGAUUUAGAGAUGAAUAAAACAUGGUGAAGCUUUAUCUUUAGCAUAUCACUUCUCUCUACAUUUUCUCCCUCUAGUUUUAUAACAAAGUUUAAAUUAUGCAUAAAACAAAGCAGCAUUAAAUUAUAAGGAGCUACAAUAAGUCAUAUCUCUCCCCUCACCCCUCAAAUUUAUGAGUUCCUAGAAGUCUCCCUAUUUUAGGAGGUGGAUAAGGAGUAUGAUUGCGAUUGUAUUUUUCUAAUUCCUCCCUAAAAUUUGUCUAAGAAUGUAAUUUAGAGAACCCAUUAUGAAUGCACUUAAGGGUCAUUGGUGUCACAAAAAUGGUUAGGUACGAAAGGUGAUAAUUUCGCAAACCUGAAGGACUAUUUGUUAUAAAAAAAAAAACCUAUUAAAUAAAUACAAAUUCACAAGUCCAUACACAUUCGGGUCGACAAAAUAGUUCAUAUAUUACAUAUUACAUAUUACAAACUACACAACCACACAUUUCGACCUUGGAAACGAAUGGAUCUCAAAAUUCACAUAGCAAUUUAACAAAGUAUGGCAAUAAAUCAAUCAGCAAACCAUAUACUUCCACAGAAAUGCAUCUUCACACGUAAAAAUUAAAAUAAUCAUAUUAACAUCUACCUUCGACAUCUUUUUAUUGAUAGUCUUGCCCUCGGAUGGGUUUUGAUUCUUUUUCUUUUUUUCUUUUUAAAUUGCUUAGCUGAUGAGAGAAGAAGAUGGAUGUGAUAAAGCAGGCAACCCAAGGCCCUAUAGAGCUCAAGAAGAUGCAGUAACAGCAGCCUUGGUUGGGUUAAAUGCAACCUGCUCGGCACAAGUUAGCACUUCAUGGGGCCCUGCUUCCUCUCGUCCGACACCCAUAAGGUCAAGGUAGUACUGGUAAUGGGAAACGAUGGUGUUCAUGGCAUCAAUGUCGCCCUGCCCACAAAGUUGAUCGCCAUAAAGAAUAUUCAUUGUAGCACCAAAUCCAGGAAACCUCUUGCUCAAAGUAUCAUUCUUGGUGGGCUUCCAAUUGCCAACAAAUGCAUCGUGCGCUGAGGGUUGUGACUUCUUGAUAGCAGUCAUCCACCUCCAUAUUGCAGCCUGGAAAGCAAGAGUAGCAUUCUGCUCAAUGUAUUCGGGAUGGUUCAACAGAUCAACCUUCAAAGCUUCUCCAGCUGCACCAUAAUUGUAGUUCCUGGAUGGCAGCACCAAUAGAAACUUACAAACAUUGUCUACUCAACGAGCUCAUUAUAAACUAACAUAUCAUCUACAACUCUCGUAUGACACUAAAUUUGAGGAAAAGAGAAAAGUGGCAAUAGCUAGACUAUGCAAAAAACUGACAUGUAAAUUGAAGACAACAUGCCGGACCUACAAAACAACUCUAUCAUUUACUUCUGAGUAUAUCAAUGAAUAAUCUCAUUUUAUAACAGCUCUAUUCCUCCACAAGACAACUGAUAUCCUCCGGUUAAGUUAUUAGGUAAAAGAGAGUUUGGAAAAAUAAUAAAAGGAAAUUCACAUAAACAAAUUAUGGGGGUGGAUUAAUUAUGAAAUAAAAACAAAAGGAAUACAAACCAGUAGAUUGGCAAAGCACCACGACCAUAGUAUUCAGCUCCAGGAGUGCAGGGGUAUGUGUAUUUGUAGUAGUCAUCGCAGUAUGACUGCAUGGGACUCAUUUCCCUGUUGUAGCAAAGUCCCCAGGCCAAUGGUCCUCCUGUGGCCACACCAUAACCACCUGGAAAAAUCAUUGCUCUCGCCGUCAUCAACCAUAAAAACAAUGGUGCGCAUAUGUGAAUUUCAGCAAAAGCUUAUUCUAGCUUAUCCAAUCUAGAGUUGUAUUAAGCCCGUUCUACUUUGUAUCCACAACAAUAUCAAGUUUUAACAAUAUGUAUUUGUGAUCAAUCAUUUUUUUCCCAUAGUUUUAAUAUUUACUAUCAUUGUAAUUCUCAUUCUUUACUUGAUUGACCAAUUAUUCAGCUGAUCUAUCUAAACAUAUGAAAAAAGUAAAAGAUAAAAAUUUCUAACCCUUUUAGUUCUUCACAUCCCUGUUUCUAUGUUCUAAGUGAAAUUCAAUCUGAUGUUUUCACAAGACCCACAUUGUUCAUAAACCCAAUUAACUCAAACUUAACAAAUCACAAUCAAAUCCUAUCAAACCUCACCCGCAAAAACACAACCCAUAAUUCAAUUCAACAUUUGAUUCAACCAUUUUAAGCAUCCAACAAAAGCAUUACAAAUAACAACAGCUGCCCACUAUAACAGUUCUAUCCUAAACCAUCUACAUAUUUAUAUAUACACAUCCAUAUACUGUAUGUCCAUGAAGAUAGGACUUGCAGUUGCUGAAAACACAAACUUUUCAUAAACCAAAUUCACUCAAACUUAACAAAUCCCAAUCAAAUCACCCUAGCCCAUUCUAUUCAAAAUUUGAUUCAACCAUUUUAAGCAUCCAACAAAAACAUAACAAAUUAAAGACAAUUACCCACCAUAACAAUUCGAUACAAAAUUCUUGACACACCACAGAACUUAACAGAAGUGGUGACUUACAAGUGGUUUUGCUGCCGACAUGUCCAAGAAAGGCGGCGAUCUCCUUCAUCUGCAUAAGCUUCCCACCAGUGGUCCCGAACCCAAGAGGCUGGAAGAGGGCAGAAGCAGUAAUAAACGACUGAUAAUCCCAAAACCCAACGGCAUGCGCCACCGGCGUGUUUCUUUUGGAGAAGAGAUUCUCAAACUGGUAAGUUUGGAAGAAAUCAGAGAUGGUGAGAUUGCAACAGUACUGGGACCACCCUUUACACUCCCACCCUCUGUCACACACCUUCUUCCCCCUCACCGUCUUCACCCGCGGGGUCGUUGACGGCAUAUCGCCGUCGCUGCUGGCACCUAAGAAAACACUCAGCACCACCGCCACCGCCAAUGCAGCAGUGGAAAUCUUCAUGACGGCUAGAGAGAGAGAGCUGAAAUGGGUUGAUGGGAGAGUUUGGGAUCUGACUGGUUUUGCUGAGCAAUUUGCAGGUUAAGAGCUUUUGUUUGUUGGUGUUUUGGGCUGUCGUAAGGCAAGAGUUUGACGGGGUGUCGUUUUCGGGGCUGUGGGUAGAUGCGUGCUGUGGGGUUAAAUGUCGAGCAGGUGGUAUGGAAAUGGACGGCCGAUGAUGGAUUGGGGAUGGGAAAGUGUUCGAGGUUUAAAGAGAGAACAGACUGGAAUAAUGUUGGAGGGGGCUGACCCACGAAGCUCCACCGACAGCGCCUGGAGUGUUGUGAAGUGUCCUUACUGCCCUUGUUGACACUUGGCAGAUCCAUGGAAUAGAAAUGGGGAUGGGUCGACUCAAACGGAUACCCAGCCCUUUUACCGGCUUUUUUUUUUGUUCAAUCGGAUGGGUCGACUUAUUGGAAUUCAAACAUGAGAGAAUCUACAAGCAAAUGCUACCCGUUGCCCUUUUACUGACUUCAUUGAAUUUAGGGAAGAGAAUAAGAGCAUUCACAAUGGUUGACGUUAUCGAAGGAAGUGAAAGCGAAUAAGAGCAUUUAGAAUGAUUGUUUAAUAGUUUAAUUCAAUUUGAACUAUUUUGGCAUUUGUUGAAUUGAACCUCAGUUGUAUUUGCAAUGUUAUAGUUCAAUAACUUCAACUUAUUGACAUGUGAGUCUCAUAAUUAACCUAUUGCAAUUUAAUAAAGGGUUCAUCACCAAAACCGACCUUGACCUAGGGCGAUCAGCGCCAUAGCUCAGGGCCUAUAUAUAUAUAUAUUUAUAAAAUAAAAUAAAAUAAAAAGAAACUAAAUAGUCAAGUGAACAAGAAUUGAAGUAUUGAUAACCUGUUGGGCAAAGUCGAAGUGAUUGAUUCAUGAAUAUGUGGGUUUCAACCAGCAUCAAAGCCAACGUAAAAAAUACUUUUAAGGAACUGGUAUUUCCUCCGAUGUCUUAGCUAUCUUGAAGAGAACACAGUUGAAUGAAGGGUUGGAGUACGUGGAAUUUUGCAAUUUGGAUUUUGAAGAUCUAGAGGUAUCAAAACUUUCGUUGUUUGUUUUUUUUCUCUUUCUUUUCCGUUUGGGUUGGUUGAGCGUUCUUUUGUUUUUGGCUCAACAAUUUUACUCACUAUCUUUUUGUUGUUAGUUUUCUUAACUUUUUUAUUUUAAGUUGCUUUGAAUGUUUUUAUUUUUAUUUUAUACGAGCUUUUCAUGUUUAGUUUAGUUUUAUGUGAUUCUAUUUUAAUGGAAAAAAAAUACUCAAAAUUCAGGUGUUAUUGUUCUCUGUUUAUUAGUUAAAUUAUUAAAGUAGAAUCCUUCAUGCUUGAGUGUGAUUGAUCAUAUUUUUAGUUUCUUUAUUCCUAUUGCCUCUAUCUUCCUGUGCAAAAAAGCUUUCUUGUAACAAAACAAAAAACUUUCUUUUAAGUGUUUCUCCUUAUUGUGGUGAUUGUUGAGAUUUUUAUUGUUAUUAGUUGCGUUUAUUAUAAAAUUUAAAACUUAGAAACCUUAAAAAGAAAAAAAAGAAAAAAAAAGGAAAAAUAAGAAGACAUUGCUCAAAGUCUUAAAAAUUCUUUGGAUAAAAAUUUUCUUUAAAAAACUAAAGAUUUGUUUAUAAAAUAAAAUAUAAAAAAUUAAAGUUUUAGUGAUUAAUGUGCGUGUAUAUGGGGACACUUUAGACUUUCGCCCUGGGCCUUUGAGAGCUCGGGACUAGCCCUGUUUAUCACAAAGCACCCUCUAUUGCAAUUGCAUCUAUUGCAUCUAUUGCAAUGAACUAAAUCACACUAUUGCAAGUGAGAUUUUCCUGUUUUAAUUCAAUUUCAUGCAAUAAAAUUACAUUGAUCUUAACUAUUGCAGGUGCUCUAAGAUGAUUCACUUAUGCACUCAAACCAAAAUUUGGGAUAGUUUUCUUUUCAAAUAUCCAUCGAAAAAAGGAAAAAUUACUCUGGAGAAAAUACAUUAGGGAUUGAAGAGGCCCAAUAAAUUAAGACCGAAAAGAAUUAAGUUUUUUUAUAUAAGUGAUAUUGGAAGAAAAAUUAAUCAAAGUUAGGAAUUCAGGUGUAUGGAUGCUCUUAACUACUUUCUACAAGUGCCUUGCAAAAAUGAAAUAUUGUGUCUUUGAGAAGACUUGAAACUUUAACCUCAAAGGAGGAAACCUCUACCACAACCACUACACUAAUCUUGUUUGUGUAUGUUCAAAAAUGCAUAUAGAUAAAAUCAACAUUUAUUGAGCUUCACCAAAAGUAAAAAGGUACGUUUAAAAGAUUAGUGAAAUACAAUCCAGAGUGAGCCCUACAAGGGGUGUCCCUCAAAUAAGCUUAUUUGAGGGAUCCCUCAAUGGAAGCUCUCUGUAUAUAUAUAUAUAUAUAUAUUUAAAAUAUAAGCGAUAGUCUAAAUGAAAAAGAAAAGGGGUUUCUCACACACACUAUCAAUGUGUUAUGAAAGUUCGAACCUACAGUCAAGACGCUUUUAUAUUAGGCUAGACUCCGUUAACUUAAGUGACUUUAUUUAAGAGAACAAAACCAGCACAAACAAAAGGUUUAAAGGCCAAAAUCCAACAAAACCUAGAAUGAGAGCAAAGGAUCACUGCCACCUACCACAAAGCAAAGAUGAGCAUCGACUAAAAGCAGCUGCAAGCUUACAACAAGGGCCAAGCCGAAAGAACAUUGUUUAACCACAUGUUCGAUCACUUGACUGAGGAAAGGCCUUUGUUUUAUUUAUUCAUUUAACAAUAAUAUAUGAGCAUCUCUUAACCAACUAAAUAACAAUGAACGUAUCGGAUUCACACAAAAUUAAAUGCAUCCAUUCAAAGUAGAUGGAAAGCAUGGUCGAGGAAUUUUUAUAUGGGCUGGUUAUAAAUGAUCUCUCAGAACAUGCAUGUAGAUAAAUCCUACCAUAAAUAGUAGGUGGCAGGUACAGAUGUGAUAUUUUCACACCGAAAAGAUAAUAUUGGAACACAUCAGAUAAUGUCGUACAAAUUAUAUAUUUUUGUAAUUAGUUUGACAAAUUACAAAAAUAAACAAGAUUGACAGCCGUUAGGCCAACUGUCAAGAAAAAAAAGGUCAUAACCCUUUCUUGUCAAACAAAGUAAAUACAUAGUGAGAAAUUCUUCAAAUAAUUUUAUUUGAAGUACACGAAAGUUCAUAAUCUUUUAUAAAUUUUUUUUUAAUGAUUUAAAUGAUUUAUUUUUUUAAGUUUAUAUUUACAGAUUAUUUUUGUAAAAAAUUAUAUAAAUUGGAAACCGUUUCGACAUCCAAUUGUGUUCUUCAAUAAACACAGUACUUCAAAAAAGUAAUAAAAUUUUAAUAACUCAAUUGAGUUGUCAAAUGAUAUCGGAUUCAAGUGAUUUUUUGUAGAGAUAAUCUUUGAAUAAAUAUCUAUAAAAAUAGACGGUUUUAAUUAGUGAAAUAUAAUACGAAAUGGACCCUAUAAAGGUGUUCCUCAAAUAAACUUAUCCGGAUACAUUGACCAAGCCAAGAAGAAAAGAAUAAAAAUAAGAGCAAGUAGGUUAAAAACCUAAAACCAAUUGAUAUCCAGCCAAAAGAUUGCGUUGGACUACUUGAAGACUGAUGUCCAUCACAGAUGUUAAUCCCGUGACGCUACAGCAUGGCCAAUUUCUCGGUUCACGGGCUGCAUGCAUGGCCCCAUUCCUUCCCUAUCCCUCCCACCAAUGCUCUUUUUAUUGUCAAUAAAUAAAUAAAGAAAUAAAAACCCACCAAUAUAAUCCUUUGGUUUCCCUAUAAAACCCACCGACUAGGAGCUCCUAAAAUCCACACACACACACCAAAGAAGUAAAAGAGAAUCAGUAUUUAAUGAUCAUGAAGGGUUUUCAUCAAAAGCUCCUAGUUGUUGUGGCUGUGGUUUUGGUUGCACUUGCAAGCAAUGGUGGUUUUGUUCAGGUUUGUGAUGCUCAGAACAUAUGCAAUGUCUCUUUGAAUGGUUUGAUGACUUGCAGGCCAGCCGUGACCGCCCCGAACCCGGCCCCGCCUACAACCGCCUGCUGCUCGGCGCUGUCACAUGCCGACAUGGGCUGCCUUUGCUCCUACAAGAACUCCAACCUCUUGCCUUCUCUAGGGAUUGACCCUAACCUUGCCCUCCAGCUUCCUGCCAAGUGCAGGCUUCCUCAUCCUGCCAAUUGCUAGACAGUGUGGUUUAAUAAACAACGUGAUAUAUAGUGAUUAAGAUGUGAUUAAUCAUGUAAUCACAUGUUGAACUUGGAUAAUGAUGUCUACUAUAUAAUUAAGUGUUUUGAGUUGAAUAACCAUGUUUCAGUGUUGUUGUACGUAGCUUACGGGUUCUUGCAAUUUGCUACGAUGUUGCUGGAUAUGGAAUAUGUAAUACAGUAGUACUAUAAUAUAAACCUUGGUUUUCACUAUAUAAGUAGUUGCCUGGAAUUUCUCUCAGUUGGUUUGGUUCUUCCACUUCCACUCAUGUAAGCAGAGAUUAAAAAUACCGAAACACUCGAUGAAUAUUUGUGUAAAUCCCUCUCCUCCAAUCACUUGUAUUAAAAAUAAAAUAAAUAAAAAUUUACGGUUGAAGUCGUGUGUAUUACCAUUACUUGUAUUAAAAAGAAAGUAAGCCCCUCUCUUCCAAUCAGUUUUUGCCUUAUUUUUUUAUCUGCGUGAAUUAUAAGUCACGCAUCUUUGUGUUGUCUUUCUUAUGUAAUAAGCACACUUCAUGUCUUGUCUUUUAGGUAUACGUAACCUGUCUUUAUAGACCAUUGGAUUGAAAAUAAAAAAAUAAAAAAAUAGGUAAAUCUACACCAUUCAAUUUGGGGUAACCUGAAAACCUGUUAUUGUAGGUUAAAAUUAAAAUAUAUUUGGGAUUUGAAGAGGGGAAUUUUCUUACUGCAUCAACUCUCAAGGUUUGGAAAUCUCCAGAUCUCUUAGUUUAUUUGCAUACUAUAAAUAUAUAUUUAUUUUUCAGUGAGUGGAAUGAAAAUUUAUGUUGCUUAGUUUAGUUUGAUACUUUUAAUACAAAAUUAGUGAAACACCCUAUAAAAGUAGUUGUCGAAAGAUCAUCUCGUGACAAAAAUUGAGUUACGAAGAAAUCGGUAAACAUUAUCUAGAAUGUGUAUAGGAUAAGCGUGUGAGUACUUCUUGUAAUCAUCGUUCUAUAGUGGAUUUGUUUUGGACUGAGGAGUCCCAUGGAUUUUCCUCAAAAGUGGGAUUUUACUACGUAAAAUAAUUUUCUACGUGUUCCUUUAUUUUUGCGCAUGUUUCAGGAUUGAUAAGCCAUAUCAAUCCUACUACUGAAGUUUAUUUUUAUUUUUUUAUUAUAAUUUUAAAUUGACCUAUUCACUCCUUUCUAGGCAUUUUCACUUAUUAGUUAUAAAUUAAUGGCAUGUUACCCAUUUUCAGGCGAUGGAUACCAAAGCAAACAACUCGAACAAAAGCCAAAAGAGCCCUGCAAUGCGAAGAGUGAAUGGGUGCUAGUCACAACAUAACAAAUUGUCCAAAUCAUAAUCUUAAUGAUAUGGGUAAGUGCAAAAAGGGUUAUACAAGCGACGGGAGCGACUGUCUCACUAGUUUUGGAUCAUGAGAGGAUAAAACUCGUUGGAACUAAACAUUACCUACAUCCUUGACGUUGGGGAAUUGGAAUACAAUAACGUUGUAUAUUAGAACCUAAAUCUUAUAAAUUACAAGAUUUAUGUGCCUAUUUAAGAGUUUAUGCAUAUGGUUUACCAUGUCAUGGUAAACUCUAAUCCAUAAUAUGAUAAUCUUCUAUUUAUACUUUUAAGGAUCCAAAUUACAAUGAAUUGGUAAUGGUGGACGUUAAAGAUGUAAAUGAGGUCAUAUUUCAAGUAAAAACAUGUGUUUACUAUAAUAAGGACUAAUAUUACAAUGUUGGUGUCACGCCCUAGACUCGGGGUCGGUGGAAACUCCUCGCCAGGUGCGUAAGAAAAUAAAAAGUAAAAUAAAAUAAAAAGAAGCCGAAACAUGGAUUUAAAAUAAACUUCUUAUAAAAAUGGCUCCAAAAUCUUACAACUUUACAAGAAAUAAAUAAAGCUCUAUCACUCUCAUCUAAUUCAGCCUCAACUGGUUUAGUCCUUGCCUUAUCCAAAUUCAUCUAGGUGAAGGAUGAGCAACCACCGCUCAAUAGGGACAUGAGACCUUACAAUAGUAGAUUGAUAUAACUAAAAUAAGUGAGAUGCAAUCGCACAACCAGAUAUCACAUUAAUUGAAGGGACCCGCCACGAAUUCCCCCUCGGAAUCUAUAACGAACCCUCUCCCUACCCGACACUAAGCAUGUGCCAGCCCAAAUUACUAAAAUACCAUGUUUGCCCUAAUUCCAAAACAAUUUUAGAGUUUGACUUUUACCGGAAAUUUGGCAGAGCCUCCCUUGAAACUGGCUCAAAACCCAAAAAUUUACUUGCACAGCAAACACAAUUAUUUCCCAAGCGUUCAGCAAGCAUAAACCACACACCAAUUAGCAAAAGUUUCAAUGGGCUUCAAGCCCACCUUUACCAACAUAAGAAAGUCAGCAAAAACAUCUUGACAUAACUGAACAUAACAAACAAAUCCUAAACUCGCGGUUGCACCUAGGUUAGCCUAGGUCACCUACAUAUCCUUACUGAGGGAUCAAGCCACACGUAAUUCUUUCUGUCAUAAAUUACAAUUAAGAUAUUACAUAAAUGUUCAAAGUGAAACCAACAAUAAAAUUCUAGAAUCAUUCUUUACCUUGAUUUCAACAAGCUACAUAAUUGAAUGUCAUGUCUUGAAAUUAUCUACCUAACUGUUCAAUCAGUUUAUCAUUGUACAUCAAACACAUAUGUAACCAAGCCUUUUACGUGAAAACCAUACCUGUGACUAUCAGCAUAGUGCAUAUGUCUUGUAAUGACUCACCAAAGGGUAUAUGAGAAAUAUCAUUAAAUUCGAAGGCAACCGGGUAAGGGGAAACUAGCCAAUCACAUGUGGCUAAGGAUCCUGGCCAACCCUGUGUAGAUAAUAUGAGCAGGGUGGCAAAGAGUAUCCUGUUAACUGUAUAAACAUAUCAGUACUACACUGUUCUCCACAUAGGUGUAACCCAAACAUAAGUAGUCAAUUCCAUAUACUACACUUGUGGAAUGGUCCACUCCACAUGUGUGGCACAUCUUAGCAGAACUCAAGGAGAAAUGGUCAACUUGAGAACGUAAUCCAAGCAUAACUCAGGGAGAUAUACUCAACCUAAGAAUGCAAAUCCUAGCAUAACUUAGGGAGAUAUACUCAACCUGAAAACGAAAAUCCUAGUAGAACUUAGGGAGAUAUACUCAACCUAAGAACGCAAUCCUAGCAUAACUCAGGGAGUUAUACUCAACUUGAGAACACAAAAUCCUAGCACCACACUGUUUAGGCAUACCCGAUACUAAUGGGGCUCAUCCGAAGGCAACCAAGUCGUCCGAAAACAAUCUGAAGGCAACCAUAUUUCCGAAGGCAACUGUAUGUCUGAACACAUUCGGAAGGCAACUGUAUGUCCGAAGACAUUCCAAGGGCAACCAUAUGUCCAAAGGCAACCAGGAUGUCCGAAGACAUCAAUAUCUCUGAAGGCAAAGAUAUUUCCAAAGGCAAGCGGGAUGUCUAAAGACAUCAAUAUCUCUGAAGGCAACAGUAUUUAUGAAGGCAAUACAAUCCAAUUUUAAACCAUUUAACACAUAUGUAAAAAUAAACAUGGAUAUAUCAUGCUUGGAAAGUAAAAGAGAUAGAACAACAAUUCAUAAAUAUUUUAUACAACUCCCAUAGCAUAAUACCAUUUUAAAACAAACAAUCAAAUCACAAACGCCUCCUAACCAAUUGAUCACGAUCAGGCCGACGAGUCCCACCAUCUAGGUCAAUUAGGCCCGCGGGGCCAUGACCUCUGAUUUUCAAUCCGAAAGUUCAUAUAGGUCAAACAAAGUCUACUAAACAAGUUCCGAAGGUUUGGUCUCGAUCAAGUGGUCAGAUCUAAGCCAAUUGCACGACCGGACGACGAUUACUUCGCCUAACCUUAGAAUCAAUUACUCGGAGUAUCUGGGACUCCGAUUCUCGAUCCGUAAGUUCCUACAGGAUCCUAGAGGUACAUGGAACAACAUAAUUGAAAUUGGAGCCGAUCUAACGGUCUGAACCUAUCGGACCCAAAUAUCACAUAAUAAGUGCAAUAUCUGUUCGAUAGUCAAACGGUAACCAACUUCAAAUAUGAUUAUACCAUCGUGCUCAAAAUGACGUGGGCGGCAUUUUAGAACACAAUGGGCCGCCACUCGCCGCUGGCAGUGGUGGGUGCCUUGAGAAAAUUCUGACAACGAAAAAUUCUCAAAACUCCCUACAAUACUUAUACCAACACGUUCAGACUAACAAGGGGAACGAGUUUGGUAUCGGACCCCGAACAAAAAGUGAACGGAAAUUAGUAAAUGGCGGCCAAACUGUCGACCAUAAAUGGGUGUUUGAUUAAUUUCCAAAACUCCACAAUUGAUCCAAAAUAACCACAAAAACAGCAAGAACACAAGGAGAGGAUGAAAAACCAUACCUAGAUCGACAAUUUUGGAUGUUGGAGCCGUCGGAAAUGGUUUCAGAAAAGUUUGAAACCCUUAGUGCUUUCGGAGCUCACCGCGGCUCAGGGAGGGGCUGGGCUCGAUGGAGAUUGACCUAGACAAGAUCGUUGGCUCCUUACGGUCAUUUCUCGACUAGUGACGAGGCCUGGUGUGGCGGGAGCAUCGAGAUCGCUGGUCAAAGAGCCAACUAUGUUGCCGCAUGCGAUGGUGAGGAGAGAGAAAAAAAUGAGGUAGAGAAGGGCUGACCAGUUUUUAAAAUUUGACUUUGAGAAAUUUACGGUUAUGCCACUGCACUUCCAUAUAUCAUAACUCCUUUGUUUUAAAUCGAAAUUGAGCAUGCCGCCUGUCUACAAACUCAUAAGCUCGAUCACUACGCAAUGGAACCAAUAAAAUUUUCAAAACUAGCCAUGAGCAAAAAGUCAACUCUAAACCAUCAAGGAAACCUAAGGUUAAAGUCGUCCUUUCACUUUAGAAUUUUGAAAAUUAAAUUAAAUUUCGGGAUGGGAUGUUACAUUAAUAAUAUUAAUGCAUGAAUGUUCUUCAUCUACUCGCGUUAAUUCAUAUAACUAGACGAGCAGACCUACACUUCCCAUACCAUGCUUAUACCACCUAAACCCGAAUGCCCAUUUAUAUGAACUGACACCCAUUUCAAUAAUCCCAUAAUUCCUUUUUUGUUAGUCAUCUUGUCUAACUCCCUGUCGCCAAUCCCACAUCACCCAAUAAAAACCAUGAGCACAGUGGGAUCCCUAAGAUCUGGUACGUACCUUACAAGAGUUAGACUCAACUACAUAAAAGAUUAUUUCAAUUACCCUCUUUUCCAUCAUUAUUUUAUCAACACAACAACUCCAAUCAAUUUUCAUGACAUGAUAUAAUUAUAUCUUUCACAUAGCCCAUAUAUCUCACAACAAUGUAACCAUUUAAAAUAUCACCAAUUAAUGUAUAUAUAAUUAUGCCAACAUUAUUCAACCAGUCAAUAACACAUAAACAUUCCAAGGAAGCCAUUCAAUUGUAACAAGAACAUUAACUAAAUAAUCAUAUCAUGCAUAAUAUAGUGCUCACAAAAUUUAAUUAAAUCAAUCUCUAUAAAGGCCCCCAAGAACCCCUAAUUGCCUCGUUUUAAAGCUAAUUCCAAGUUAAGAAAACACACGAGCUAGAACCUCUAACUCCUCCAGGAAUUCUAUCACCAUUAGCUUUCUUUCUUCCUUUAUCCUCUUCCUCUCUCUCUCUGUCUGCCUCUCUCAAGAACUAUUACUUUGCAUGCAUUGCAUGCAAUGUGCAACCUCAAAUAUUACACAAGGUUUGUGUACUUUCAAAAGUAGCAACGGAGGGGUAAGAAAAGAACCAGUGGAUAUCGAACUAUCAAAAGACCCUUUUUGGUACGCGCCCCACGCGCGGUCAAGUUUUCUGAGUUUUUCAGAUCUGCGAUUUCGUUUUUGACUCCGUCGUACUGGAGGCCACGGUGGCUUCCAGGUUUUGUUCUUAAUCAUCUGUUGCUGGUUCUACUUGGGGUACACCCUCUUUGAUUAUGGAGGAAGGAUCGCCAGGGGUUUUCCUUAAAACCUACCGUUCAAUGAAGCGAGUUCGGGUUGGAGAUGAGUGCGCCACUGUGUGCAAUAUGGAUGAUCAGCCGAAUCCCUCUAUGAUGGAGCAUGUGAUGUCUGAAUCUGAACAUGGUCCUGUGCCGAAUUCAACUUUUGGAGCUGAAAGCUUUCGUGACAAAUUGAUGAACAAGGUCAGGUUGGAGAAAAAUGUGGGAAUUGAUAUCAGUUCCCUUGAUGCUGAUUAUGAUGAUUUAAAUGAUGAAGAAGAUGUUCUAAUUUCUCAUGGAGAACGUGGGCCAAGUAUUCAAUUCUCUAAUCGGGCUAUGGAUCGCUUUUGUAAGCCUUGGAGAAAUGCUCUGAUUAUCAAAUUGUUAGGUAAAUCUCAUACCUAUAAUUAUAUUCAUGCUAGAUUACAGCAGAAAUGGAGUUUGAAAGGGGCAUGGAAGUUGAUUGAUUUGGUUAAUGAUUACUAUGUGGUGAAAUUUGAUCUUGAAGAGGAUCUAAACUUUGUUCUGACUAGUGGUCCUUGGAUCGUAGCGGGACAAUAUCUGGUAAUGCAGAAAUGGAGACCGGGUUUUUGCCCAGCCACUGCUCAUAUUACCCGUAUGGCAGCCUGGCUCAGGGUUUCGGCUAUUCAACUCGAGUGCUUUGACGUUUGGUCCUUGAAACGGAUUGGUAAUAUGCUGAGCAAAUUAUUAAAAAUUGAUUCGCUGACCACGGCCCAGAAUCGUGGUAAGUUUGCUAGGUUGUGUGUGGAGUUAGAUUUAACUAAACCCUUGGAGGCUUUUGUACAAAUCAAUCAAAAUUGGUACAACAUUGAGUACGAAGGUUUGCCUGAUAUUUGUUACCAUUGUGGAAGAUAUGGGCAUAAAUGAGAAAAUUGUGAGUUGAGAGUUAAGGUGCCUGCAGAUGUGAACACUGAGAGUACAAUUGGUGAUGAUUCAGAUAAAAUGAAAACUGGUGCUGCUGGGGUUAGUGUGAAUGAUCCUUUGGCUGAUUCUGGUUUAAGAGGUCCAUGGAUGAAUGUUCAAUCUCGCAGGCGACCUAAGCUUGAUUUUAAAGCCUCUAGUGGUAAGGGUUUUGGUGCAAAGGUUAAGGGCUCACGUUUUGAUGCGCUUAGGAACCUUAGUGACAAUUUUGGAAGAGAUGAGGCGGCUAGUGAUGUGUUUGUUGAGCAAGACAAGUCCAAUUUUAAUAGCUCAUUUCUUCCUGAUGUGGAGCAUGGCAAGAAAGUAUGGACUAAAACCAAGAAUGCUACGCCUGUGUUUAGAAGUGCUUUGAAUGAUAUCUCCAAUAAGCCUUUUGAGGGGAAAGCCCCUGGUGAUAUGAGUUUCAGGAAAGGUGAUGGUCCUUCAAAAGUGUCUUCAGGAAAGGUAACUCGUAUUGGUAAGAUGGUUGUUCAGGGAAAGAAAGUUGAUUGUUCUAGCCCUGUUAAUGAUCAAAUCACUAGUUGGGUCACUGAUCAAAAGAGUCACCAUGAGAAAGGUGUCUACAUCUUUGGUCAUCAACCGCCUAAUAUAAGUGAGAAAGCUGCUAGUAGUGUGGGGAGCACUGAUUCUGAGGGUGAUAAGGAUACGUUGAACUCUAAUGUUUCUGAUAGCUUGUGUCAAGCUGAUAAAAUGGAUCUUUUGGAAGGUCAAGCUAUUCUAUGUGGUGAGAACUUGGCAGGCAAUACCUUCAACGAUGGUGGAGGUAUGACUGUUGGUAUUUAAUAAAGGGUUUAGCCCUUGGGGUCCUCUUCCCUUUCUACUUACUUUUAUGAAUAUUGUCUGCUGGAAUGUUCGAGGUGCUGCUAGCACAAAAUUCAAGACUAAUAUGAUGGAUUUGAUCCAUUCUCAUCAUAUGGACAUCUUGUUCAUAUGUGAGCCUCGUAUAAGCAGUGGUAAAGCUACUUCUAUUGCUCAAUCCCUUGGUUUUUCUAAUUUUGAAAUUGUGGAUGCUACUGGUUUUUCUGGUGGUCUUUGGUUGCUUUGGGAUGCCACUAAAGUUCAUGUUGAUAUUUUGGGGACUUCAGACCAAUCUAUUUCUGCUUCUGUGGCUUGGCCUGGCCAGUCUCCUUGGUUGUUUACAGCUGUGUAUGCUAGCCCUUGUGGUAUUAAAAGAGCAAAGCUAUGGGAGUAUCUAAGUUUUAUCGCUGAUUGUCAACAUUUGCCUUGGUUAAUUGCUGGUGAUUUUAAUGAAAUGUUGAAUGUGAAUGAUAAGCUAGGAGGAGUUCCUGCUUGUAGAUUGAAAGGUUUUAGAAGCUGGUUUGAUUGCGACGAGGACCACGUCACCGGUGGGCUUGAAGCCCAGCGACCGGAGAAGGGCGGCGAGCUCCAGCUGGGUGAGGCUACCGUCGGAGUCCAUGUUGAAUCGCAUGAAGAUUAUGGAAGCUGCUUCCGUUGAUCAGAGCCGAACGCAGCCAUCAUUCUGGUAAUGGCCAAAGAAGAAGAAAGGGAUCAAUAAGAUCCCAAUUGUGUUUUGGGCGUUUUGGUGUUUUUUAAUUUUAAUUUUGUGGUGUGGGGCUAAUUGGUUUAAUUCUGUUUUUCUCUUUGGAAAUUUGCAAUUAUAGACACCAUUAAGUUUCAAUUCACGUGGGCUUUCAUAUUUUAUUGUUCAGCACAAUUAUGUAUACCAGUCUAAAAAGUUAGAUUGCAUUUUUUCUUGGCUGAUUCUUACUUCUCAUAUCUUAAUAUCUUUCUUCCUCCUUGAAAUUUGCACGAACUGGGAGGGUGGCGUUGGAGAGGGAGUCUGGUGUGGAUUCCACUUAUCUUCGUGGAUACCCCCUUCCAGUAUAAUUCCAGAGAGAGACAGAGCCUUAGAGAGAGAGAAGGCAAAGAUGGGAAAGAAAGCAGAGCGAGCGAGAGAGAGGAAGGAAGAGAAAAGAAUGAGAGAACGGUUUUAUUUUUCUUUUGAUUUUUUUUUUAUAAUUUUUUUUUCACACAUCAGCCCCAAUAAAUAUCCCUAAUUAAAUAUAAAUAUUUUUUAAGUCAAAAUUCUCAAUUAAAUUUAAAUAUUACAAGAAUUAUUUUUUAGUCCGACACAGCACCAAACAUAGGUAUUCACUAUUUUUACAAUUCAGCUUCUUAGUCCGACACAACACCAAACGUAGGUCAGUACUUAAUCCAACUUAAGCCAAUCCGAGCUAAUCCAAGACAGUCUCAGGACUUAGUCUAGUCCAUGACAGUCCGCUGUACCAAACGACCCCUUAAUGGACUAGAUAAGUCAUUUAACACUGACAAAUAGUUUAUAAUAAAAAAUAAAAUAAAUAAAAAAGCCGAUUUUACGACUAUUUGUCAUCUUUGAGUCGUCGUUUGUUGUAUUUUUCCCCUUUGCUAUUCCCUUUAUUUUUCUUUCGUAACAUUUUAUAAUUUCAAUUAAUGAACAGUCUAUUAUGAAACUGCAUUCAUCAAACAAUAUUUAGUGAAUAAUGGAUAGUGGGUAAUUAUAAGUUUUCAUCAAGUUGCAAUAUUGUUUAUCGCUUUGGUAAUUACUCAAUAUCAGUUUGGCAAUAAUUUAUAAUAUGGCAAAGCGAUAGACAAUAAUUCCCCAACCAAAAUGGCGUAAUUUCCAAAUCGAUAUCCAGGAAUUGCUAUAUCGAUAAUCCAGAACUGCCAAAUCGAUACCCAUAAUUGCCCGAUCGAUACCCAUCAAUUGCCAAAUCGAUAUACAGUAAAGUCUACUCCUACAAACCCUACUAAAAAACGUCGCCUACAAGUUUGAACUUAGAGACCCUUGCUAUUGCUACAAAAACAAUUUGGAAGAUAGACAAACCUUAGAAAACUCCAAACCCAGUGAUAUCUAGUGCUUUAUACACACUACGAAAUAUCUGACAACCAAUGGAGGAGAUGACAAACUUCACCACAAGCAGCGGCACCAAGUUUAGCAGUUUCACCACUUGCAGAGGACCAAGUUCAGUAGCAGAGAUUUUUUGAGGUUUGAAGUUCAGCCGCAGAGAUUGUUUGAAGAGCAAGGAAAGAGAGUCAUGACGAACCCUUAACCUACUAUAGCAGGUUUCUAAAUAAAAAACAAAACAAAAGCACAUGCUAAUUAAAUUAAAAAUAGAUGGUGUAUGGGUACACAGGUGUACCGUAGACGUUGCCAUCAAGGGAAUUCAUACUGAUAAUAAACUUUAACAUUCCCCUAACCCUGAACUCUAAACCAUAAACCAAUAAACAUACUUUAUUUAAAUAAAAAACUCGUACAUAAGGUACCAAAAAUGGACUACAAUAAACACCAAUAAACACGGAUUAUUUAAGCAUGAAUGUUCCUUGCUCAUGUUUGGUACAAAAAUUUGGUCCUCUUAAGAGAGAGUGAUAAAUCUUAAGCAUUUGAUAAUUAGUCGCUCGAAUGUACUGAUGCAUCCAACACUAUUCAAGAACAAAAUAAUUGGUAUAAAAUGCAGAGACCAAAUAAAAGAUUAAAUCAACAUAAAAAAUCAAGAGUAUAUUCCAGUGUGGAUCCAAAUCAUCCUUUAGGAAAUUCUUGGUUUCUAAUUCCAGUCACUUACUAAAAAUCUGUAAGUAAUAAUGUUUUUUGGGUUUUACUAGGAAGAACACUUUGAUUUCAUAAAAAACUUAGAUUGAAAAAUAAGGAUUGCAAAGACAAGGAUAAGAUCUAAAUUCUGAAAGAAAUUACUAGGAAUAACUGAGUCUUGGCCAUUAAAUUUUUUUUUAAAAAAAAGAUAAUAUACAUACAUGAGUACAGCAAAUGGCAAAGUGAUAUACUUGAAAUGUUAUAAGCUAGCACUGCCCUUUACCACUGUAUUCUCUGCACAUGUUGAGCACAUAUUCUUGUACAAAAGAAACAAAUGAAUCUCUUUACACCAUAAGCCUUGUGAAGAUCAGCAUCAACUCCAAUCAUAUGAAGAGAUGGGGCAGUCAGACUGAUCUAGUGCCUUCUACAGCAGGCUCAACGGUACUUCGCGAUACCUCUGGCUCCGUGCCAUAAUCCCAAAGUUGUUUUAGCUCACGCCUUAUCAGUCCCAAAAACACCGUAACACCUGAUUACCAGAGCAGGAUAAGCAGGAAGGAAUAGAAGACAAAGUAAAACAUCUGAAAUUCUAUUGGCCAAAAAAUGAAAAACUCCUUGACAUUACCUAGUGUACAUGGAACAAGAUAUAGGAGAGCAGGCUGACCAUUCCCGUUCAUGAGGUAUAAACCCAGGUACGUAAAACCAAGUCCUGGAACAAGAAUUACCAUCCAUUAGUACAAAGACAAGAUGAACAAGCAUACUUUGGUCAUGUUGAAGCCAGCUAUUAAAAGUAAAUGAAAUUAAUAAACUACCAAUAUAUGAAGAAAAAGUGUAUAACAUGAAACAGAUAGAUGUUGCACAAGCACUCACCGAUUCCAUAGCCAGUUACCAACCAAAGGAAAUAUCCGCUAAUUCCAUGCUUCUUAUUUUCUUUGUCAAACCUGAGACAGCCAAGCCCAGACAAGAUUUAAAAUUAGGAAAGAUAGAUUGAAAGCAAAUGCACACAAAAUUUUCAACUUAAAAAGAAAAAAGAAAUUGAAAGAAACAGCUUUUUAGGUGACCUCGUUAAUUUUAUCUAUUUAAUUAUAAUUAAUGAGGCCAUCUAACAAAGUUUAACACAUAAGUUCAGCAUACAUUCACAAAACAAUGAUGUUAGUCAUUUUGUGGUUUUACGCCCCGACAACUUUGGGGUUCAAUAGGAGAACUAAAAAUAAAAGUCAGGAAGUUAAAAAGACAACAAUUGGAGAGCAUGUUCUGCAUCAAAAAGUGACUCGAUUCGUGCAGACUCAGAUGAGGACGAGGAGUUCGGUUUCGGUAAAGCAGAUCUGGACUUGGAGCCUAGUGAGGAAGGUCUUAAAAGUAUGGUGAUGGUUUCAGGUAAUUCAGGGGCGAAUUUGGUGGGUGUACACGGGUGGCGGAAUUGGGCAAAGUUGGUGUCUCUUUUGAAGUGGAACGGGCUAGGGAGGAAGAGGAGCUGUUGUCAAAUCAACUGGAUCUCAAGGUUUGGCGGGAGAUUUUUAAAGAAACUGAAGAGACAUUUAAAAAGGCCAAUUCACUUUUUAUAUGGCUUUAAAAUAUCAUAACUUUCAUUUUACAUCUCUUUUUUCAUAAAACUUAAGCAUUUUUUGAGAUAUUUUAAGAAGACCAAGGUUUAUGCAUCUCUUUCACAAAUACAUCACUCUACAUAUCAUCAUAAUGUUUCGCACUCACAGAUAUAACCGUUAAAACUUGGUACGGGGAUUUUGGGAACGUAUGCUAUAUAAUGAUAAAAAUCUCAUUUUAACCAGAGAGAAUCACAUUUAACUAAGGACUUUUUCCAUAAUGAUAAAAAUCUCAUUUUAACCAGAGAGAAUCACAUUUAACUAAGGACUUUUUCCAAUUAGUCAACUAGCUCAAGGACUUAAUCAAAAAAGGAUAUAUUGUACUCUUUCCAAAAAGAAAAUGUGUUAAUAGGGACCUAUGUCUAAUUUAACUAAAAAGUAAACCUGGCAAAUGUUAUUUGAUUUCCUAUUUACAAAUAGAAAGUUGAUUGGGACAGAAAUCAGUACCUGUAAGAAAAUACAAUAAGCAAACCCGGAAACAGAACAUCCCCAAAGCCAAGCAUGUUCUGACCACCCCAGGGGUCAAAAAAGCGAGGGAUUCUCAAGAGCAUUGGUAGGCCUUCACCACUAUUGUCACCUUUAGCAACCUAGAAGAAAAAUAUGAGGAUUUAAUAAAAGCAGUCAUGUGUCAAAGCUAAUAAAACAGUCAAGCCCAUCGGGCACCCUUGAAUCAAUUGCCCGGCAAUGUAUAUCAUGUAAGCACAAGCAUUAGACAUGCAUGAACAGGAGUUUACUCGAAAUGGACAUCAGAAGCAUAAGAUGUCAGACAUUUACUCAUGGAGACUUUGUUCGUGAACCAAUGACCUUAAAGCGGGGAUCACAAGCAUAAGAUGUCAGACAUUUACUCAUGGAGACUUUGUUCGUGAACCAAUGACCUUAAAGCGGGGAUCACAAGCAUAAGAUGUCAGACAUUUAUUCUUGGAGACUUUGUUGGUGAACCAAUUGACCUUAAAGCAGCAUUAGUAUGCCCAAUAGAUUUUCUUGUUAAGUAUUUAUGACGUAAUAUGGAUGUGAACCAGAACAAGUAUUUUCCUAAGGGAGGGAGGGGGGGUGGGGUGGAAUUACCAUGAUAUGAUAUAAGCAAUGUUUUUAUUAUGUGUAGAAAUAUAUGUGCAUGUCCAUAUGCUUUAUAUAUGUAAAGACAAAACCAACCAGUCCAAACUUGUCAACGCUGUACUCUGCCACAUCGCCCAAUGACCAGGCUACUGGCCUGGUGGACCGAUGGACACAACCAAAGUCAGGUUAGAUAAUUAAAAAUCUUUACGCCUUAACAUUGGGCCACCACCUAGACUGCUGCUCACAUUUUUACAAUUACAACACUAAGUAUGAUUGCUAUUCCAAAUUUCAUUAUAAUAUGUUAGGUGGAAGAAUAAAAUAAAAUGGAUGUCAAAACCCCACACAUAAGAUUGAUGUCAAGAUGAAUUACGCUAAAGUGAAUAUCCUUAAUAAUGAUGACCAUAAAGAAGCUAAGUAUAUAAUUUUUCCACUUAUAAAACUCACUUCUGAUGCAAAACAAAUGUAUAAUCAUUUUAUAAAAUAAGCCUCAACAGAAUGAUAAAUAUAAGAAAUACACCCCAAAACUUCAAUUGAUGAAUUUCAGACAAAAACCUAUGCACUUUCCAGUUCAAGGUAUAUAAAUGCUAUAUAGGCAUCUUCUAGAUUCAUCAAAGUUGGUACAACAAUAAAGAACAUCAGUUAAUAGCUAAGAAAGAUGUUGCUUGGUGAAUCCUACGGGAAAAUUUCUGGCCCAUUUUGGUUAAAUCAUCCUGGAAUUUGGAACUAGAAAGACCUAUGGAAUAGACAAACCAAUAUAUGAAGAAACUUAUGCUUGCAACAUCCUUCAGAAAUCAUGAGAACUCCUAAGGUAAUCUAUCUGAAGCUUGGAAUGCUUUAAACAUAGAGCAUGAUAAGGGGGAAAAAAAAGCUUCUCCAGCCAUUGCAACUUUGACUUCCAAUAAGCAAAAUGGCUCCAAAAAAAAAAAAACUGGUCUACCUUCUCAAUGUUCUCACAAACCAAAAUUGUGACAACAGCUUGCAUGGUUAACAUGAAACAAAUGCAACUUGUAAUCUAAUAAACCAAGAAAAAGAAGAAAAACGGAGAUCAGAACUUACCACAACCAUGACGCUAUCUUUGAACAUUAAGGGUGACAGGAAUACCCAAAAGAUGUCGUAGACAAAUGCACAACAAAGUAGUACGGUAGCAACCUGAGACAUGUUAGAAUUAUGAGACAAAGGACUGAUUUAUUAAUUACAUGACAAAAGGACUGAUACAUUAAUUACAUGACAAAAGGACUAGUACCUUGAUAUUAGGUAAUCGAGCAAUUUGCAAGACUGUUAUCAUCAAGCAGAUACCCUGUCAAAAAAUGAUAUUUAAGUAGCAGAAGUGAAUUAAAGGAUCGAAGGAGGUCUACAACCAUCUUCAACACACCUUAACGCAUCAUGUAGACAACCAGGAUUAACAUGUUGCUAAAAACCGGCAGAUUAAAAAUGGUAGGCAAGUUGUGAAAGACGCAUAUCCAUAUGGCAUAACAUUGUAAAAUUUCAGGUUUCUUCCCAAGAUAUCAGCAGUCCAUAGGGAACCCACAAACAACUCAACUUAGGCUCACAGAAGAACUUUGGGUGACUAUCUUAACACAAAGUAAGAGCAGAAAAAAUGUUUAAAAAAUGCAUAUAUCCAAAUUUGCAAUAGUAUGCAUCAGACUGUCAUCAACAGCUUAACUAAAGGGGUGGUACGUAAAAGCUAUCUUGCAAGUAUGGCCAUUAGAAAUGUUCUGAGAUGGUAGAAUAGAAGACUGACCCACAGUAGUCUGGACAUCCAACCACUCUAUUUUACAAAGUAUUCAGCAUUCAAAAUAUUCAAAUUGCUGCAACUGCAGGUAAUUUCGCUGAAUGCAUAAUAGGAUUAGCCUAGAACACAUAUAUCAAAACUUGAAACUUACAAGAACAUCUUGGCCAACCCACGAAUAUGAUGCCCGUCGUGUUACAACCCAGAAAACUGCAAACCCCACACACAAAGCCAGCACAACAAGUGAGAGAAUCGACACCUCAUCCAGGAGAGGCAAAGUUAUUGUCUUCCGUCCACCACUUCUCCAUGUUCUGCUCAACAAGUAGUAGAGACAUGAAGGAACACCGACUGAAAUAAAUUAUUGCAUGCACUGCAGCUAGUGAUAGGUUUAGCAGAAACUGGAAAUAAAUGUGGAGUGUACCUCAAAAUCAGGCUUAAUAGACAAUUAUGCAUUCCCUGAAAACAAAAGCUACAUCAACUAGCAUGACACACAAGUAAUAAUACGGGAGAAUGACAGAAAGUAGCACAUAAAACACAUUGGAGAGAACAAACCAAAAAGAUUGCGCUUGUACCAGAGUAUAUCACAAUAUUUUUUUUCUCAGGUUAUUCUCUAAUUCUUUCUUUUUUUCACCUUUUUCCUGCUUUUCAAUAAAAAAUAUGUUCCAAAAAAAAAAAAAUUGUCUUUUCCAUUCUCAUAAAGAGCUUUCUAGGAUGCAACAAAAUGCCAACAUAACUGCUCAACUAAGAACUCAAAUAGAAAGGGUGAAUGUUACCAUUCAACAUUUCAAAAAAAAAUAAGGAAUCAAUAGGUGAUAUUAUAAUACAGGUAAAGCCAAUAUAUACUCUACAUUUCCUCAUCCCUUCCAUAAAAUGCAAAAGCAUUCAGGAUGUGGCGGGGAGUAGUCUGAAGAUGUUUGGGGAUAGGAUUUGGCUCUGGUAAUCUUUAUGAGCCCAAUAUCCUCACCAUCUAUGGCUAGAUCUUUCUUUUCCACUUUUUCAGAGUGGAAAGCUGCUGUUAUGUAGAUUUUUUUUUUUGGUAACGGUUCUGACUAGUAUAAUAUGCUGCUGAUGUUGUUAUUUGAUGCUGUUAGUAGGAUGUUAGGACAGUGGACAUCUUGUCCUCUGAUUUGUACAAUUGCAUUUUUCUUAAUGAAAGUUAUAUCUUGUCCAAAAAAAAGUGCAUUAUUCUGUAUUCUACAGAUUGUAAUGCACAGUUCGACUUAGUUUAAUUCCCAACACCCAAAAUAUUUCAUUACCAGAAACAUUCUCAAAUUCAAGAACAAAAAUGCCAAGAACUCUGUUUAUCAUCAAUUUUGUUCAUUCCCACUACUUGGCAAGCAUACUUUUAUUUAAUCAAGAAGAAAUAAACAACAGAAUUUAUCACAGUACCUCAAUACCGCCAAUGCAGAAAAGUACGAUCAGCACCCAGACAAACCACGUAGACAUAAAGAAAUAUAGUAGCAACAGAAAAACGGAUGCUGUUAUGACAAAACACACAGCACCCUUCACGCUAAGAUUCAUGACUUCAUCCUCAGAAUCAUCUUUCGCUGUUCCAGUAUUAGAUUCCUAUUCAAUAAAAGAUUAUAUAGAUACUAUUACCCAUAAUUACAGCAAUAGAAGUAACAAGAGGGCCGAGAUGAAAAUAUCGGGCGUAACGGGAAUAUGCCGUUACUCAAAUUUAUGGACUACAUUAUGGUUUCAGUAUCGAUAUUAGUGACUGUCAACGGAAUGAUAGAUAUUUGCUUUAAAACAUGGAAGUUUUAAAUGAAACUUUAGUAAAUGUUAAAUCAAUCAUUUCCGUUGAUGGUCACCAACAUCGAAAUAUCUAUCAAUACUGAUAUCUCAUCCCUGAUCACCACACAAUUUUUCUUGUAAAAGCCAAAGACAAUAAACUGAGUCUGUCCAAACCUUUUCUGCCAGUUCAUUAUAGCGCUCAUCAGACUUCUCAGGAGCAGUAAUCUUUGACCAAAAUGAGGCAACUAUUAUUGUUCCCACAGCCAUUAGCCACAAGAACACAACUGAGAAGUCCACCACUGGACGCUUGGGGGAAUAUAAUAGAAGCUCCACUGCAAUAAGUUACAGGAGUUAUCCAUAUAUUUUUUCACAUAAAACAAACUUGAGAAUUUCAAAGUACAAUCACAUUAGCUAACCUAGUCUUUAAAACUCACUAACAUAACACACUAUGACAAACUAACCUGUCUUUAAACCUCAGCCCUCAAACACAUUACCUAUGAGUCUACUAUCAAUCACUUCUUCUUUUUUUUGUUUCUUGAAGCACUAUUAUGUCUUCCCCUCCCCGUUCAACACCUCUUCGAUAACUCUCCUUUUUAUCCACCCUAGACCUCCAAUGUUCCAGCUGACAAAUUCCAUUUGAGCAUAAAGACCCACCCUUGCUCUGAACUAACCCCUUUCAAAUUCAAACGCAUGUCAAGUCCAACUUUAACCUCAUAGCUUGUCUUUGGGCUCUUUGUCUUGAACACUUUGAUACAAACAUAGUGCACUAGUUGUUUUGUGUCUCAUGCUUUUCCCCGAGGUUGGUAUGCUUAUAUUUUUUUUUAAAGAUUGUAUGUGGUGAGCAUCUUGGUAGAUUGAACAAGUUAGCUUGGUAUAUGCAUUAAUGCUGAAUACAUACAUACAAUUCUCUAAGUUGGUCAACCUCACCCAUAGAGUUUAUAAUUCUGUAAAUAGAUAUGUUAUCUUGAUUUUAGAAUGGAAGAAAAUGUUCUCUGUGGUCCUAGAAUGGUUUUGUAGAACCUAGUUUAAAUUUCACAGUAUUUUAGUUCACCGCCUUGGAAGUAUUGUUGCUGUAUAUUGCGUUUCUAUAUUGGUUGCAAGCAAAAGUGUUUCUUGUAUUUUGGUUUGAACUAUGUUGUAAAGAAUAUGUUUCCCUAUUGCUUGUAGUGUGAUAGAUUGUCUUAGACGAUAGUUACCUAUACUCUCAACUUUUAAGAUCUCAUGGCUAAGGAACCCUUAGAUGCAAUCUCUCUUAGGUUAUGUUCGUCUAUAUUUCUUUGUUUUUUUUCCUUCUUUAUCUUUAUCUUUUUCUUCUUUUCUUUGAAAAUAUAGAAAAUUGUAUCAAAUACACUCAAACUACACAACUGAUGGACAAGAAGUCCAUUCCGUCUCUAAAGCAUGUCAGCCACCAGCCAAGUGAAAAUUUGAAUGUUAGGUGGAAUACCAGCCUUCCAAAUAAUAAUAGGAUCCAUUUGAUUGUCAAUCGAUUGAAGGAAAAAUAUCCAAAUAAACAUUACCAUAAGACUGGGUUGACCAUAAUGUUUCUACAACAUGAUUUGGAUGCAUGGAGACCUUGUUUAUACAAGACAAUGAACCUGAAUAUUCUUGGAACUCUCUUUCACUCCAAUUCCAACGAAACUGUAAACCCCAGAACAUGACCCAGAGGAAACAGAAGCCAGUGAAGAGAUAACUCAGUAAUAGGUACCUAUAGUCUCAAUUUUUCAGAUUGAAGCCUAAGGAAUCCUAAAUGUAAUGGUUAGGUUAUGUUCCUCUUUCAUUCCUUUUAUUUUUCAUAAAAUAGAAAUUUUUAUUAAACACAAACUCAAACUAGAAUGCGAUGGGCAAGAAGAUCAUUUGUACUGCACAAAACAAAAUAAAACAAAAUCAAUACAGGUCAGCCUCGAAACUGAGAGCGAAAAUAGCUAACUGCGAACCGCAUACCAAUCUAACAAAACGGCAGACAAAUUUAAGGCCCAAAGAGAUGACCAAAAAAUCACUCUUUCCCACAACUCUUCCACAUCCACCCCUCUAUGAUCAUCAAAAUUCUUUCGUUUCUCUCCAUCCAGAUAACUCAUAUGAUGGCCAAUGCUCUGAAAUUCCAAAGAGCCUAAGCCCUUUUAACCCCACCAAAGCACUAGCCCUUUCACUUAGCAAAGAGUAACUUCCUUUUGGCCAUAUUUACGACAAACCUGCUUCCCUGAACAGAUUGGACCACACCUUUACAGCCGCAGAACAAUGAAUAAAAACAUGAUUGACACUCUCCCCUUUUCCCACAAAACAUAACUCACCAUCUUGGAGACAAGCACACAUUUGAUCCUCUCUUCUGAAGUAAAUCACAGCAAUUUAAUGUUCUUAUUUCCUAGUAUCGUCUUCUACUUUCCAUUUUAAGUUUCUGCAAAUUCUAUGGAAUUCCCUGCCACAACCAAGCCUCAUAGAGAACCUAUAUGUCCAACAUUAAAAACCUAAUCCAACCAACGCUUGAAAAAGCUAUCAAUCUUCCCCCUUUAAAGCUGCAAUUAAGGAAGCCCUUUUGCUAUGAAACACUCUUUAUAAAAGCCCUAAAUCAGACCUCCCUAACUGUCCCACAUCAGUAUGCCAUCUUCCUAUUAUGUUAUGUAUAUCACCACUAACCGCAUUCAAGGUAGUAAGCAUUUGACAAAAAUGUAUAAAUAACAAAAGCUAACUAACCUUUCUUUCCAUCUUGAAUAGAAUUCUUGAGAGAUUCUCCAUUUGACUUUGGAAUCAUCACAACAAAAAUCGAAAUGUUCAAAGAAGUGCUAUCCUCAGGACAAGCCAUCUUGGCAAGACCUAAAACAAUGGGAGAAAACAUCAGAAUUUACUAGUAUUAAGGGAAAAAGAGAAUUAGACUCAAGUACUACCCAUCAUAUUACUUCUUUUUCUUUUUUUCUGAAAUUCAGUCUGAUGUUACAUUUAAACUUAAGGUUCUAUUUCAAGUAAGACAAUUUCCACAAACCAUUUUCAGUUUCAGGUUUUUUAUGCUACUUCAAAGAGAAUUUAAAUAACAUUUUCUGGAGAAAGUAAAUCAAACACAUAGAUCUAAGGAACAAUAAAUAUACAUAAAACUCCUACGCAUAUUUCUAAGAUUCCAUUUGGCAUUUAAACUUCGUAUUAUGGUAGCGAAAUUCCUUAAUUAUUCACCAGAUACUUAAAAAGUUACUUUUUACCUUCAGGUGUGCAAGGUGUUUAAUAAAUAUAGUAAAGAAACAAAUAGCAUGCUAAGAAAGUGUUCAGAACACAAUCAAAUCACCCGCAAUGCUCAAGUGAACGUCAUGUUGCAGCACAUCAUCAGCAUCCAGUACCAAUAUUGUAACAGUCUGACCCAGUAUUCUUCAUUCAAUUUCAGAACAGGAAAAUUGUGCUCUAAUUCAAACAUUUGCAUGAUAGCUUUCGGAUUUUAUGUAGUAAAUUUUCAGGUUGAUAAAUUUCUUUUAGCUGCUUUAGAUUGUCAACUGACCACCAGAAAGAGAGAAUGUAGAAAAGGUCGGCACAUAUCAGAAAUAUCACUAUUCAGAAGAGGUUAACGCAGGAUUUCCCAAAAUAAGUAUUUACAUGUCAAACAAUGUUCACUUAGAAGUAGCAUUUGACCAAAGAGUAAAACUCCUAGAGUAUGUGGCAUGAAAUACGGUUAAAGAUACCUAAAAGAUGAGGAAUAGAUGAAACGUGAUAUGGAUGAAUUCAAGCAUCAAACCUAACUCAUUACAAGAAGAAUACCGAUAAAAAUAAUACCAUCCCCCCUAACCUCAAUAAUACCACUAGCCAACCCCAUUUCCAAAAAAGCCAGCCGUACUCCCUUAGGGGACUUUCAUGCACAACUUUCGCAACUGAUUUUUAUAAGUAAUGCUACACCUCUUUUCUGUAAUGCAAGAAAACUUUAUACCUACAAGCACAAGUUUUACUCACAACUCCCAACACAUACUAAUUUUUCUUAUUUAAAAUAGGGUGCUGAUUUUCCCACUCCCCUUUUGUCCACUUACACUCCUUUUCGUCUUUCAAUACUUUUUACUCAUACAAGGGAGUGUAAGUGGACAAAAGAGGAGUGGGAAAAUCAGCUCCCUUAAAAUAAAUAACGAAUCAUGAUCCCUAGUUAAUCAAAACGAUGAAAUGCUGAUGACAUGAGUAAGUGCAUUGAGAAUUACAACCUUCGUCAUCAUUUAUCACCACCAGCGCUUUAGCACCUCCUGACUGUGCAACUUUUGCCUUUACGGAGAACUCACAAUCGCCACGGGCAGACAAGGCAAUAGCGCCAGAUAACUGCACAAGUGAAAAAGGGACCGUAUCCACCCAAAUACAGUGAGUUCCAGGAGACAAUGAUGCUUGAUCAUAUCCUAGAACCUCAAGGCACAUUUUGUUUCUACAUUUAAAGUGUUUAAAUUCACAUCUAAAGUGAUAACAGAGAAAUUUUCCAUUUAAGAAAAAUCAAAGUGAAACCUUUGAAGAUGAUGCGUUACAGCCAUUCAAGGGAUUGGAGAUAACAACAGGCAAUUUGACGGCGUUUUCUUUUUCGGAAGGCAAUAAAGCCCCAAACUUUGCACCAGCCCCUUCAAAAGUUUCGGCUUCACGGCCAUUAACCCAAUUCCUAACCUUUGCCUGAGAAAUUAGAUGAAACAGUACAAAUGGGUUUUUAGCAGGAAACCAAUAACUGUAUGAAAUUGAAUUCCAGAAGAAAAACAAAACAAAAAAACCCAACUCAAUGUAAUUCAAUUCUCAUAUUACAAACAUGUAUUUCAUCAUAAAUCUCAAAAACAAAUUAAGAACUCAAUCUCUUGAAAACAAAAGGUAUAAAAAUGAAAGGAGCUUACCAUUAGGUAAGGGUUGUUACAGGAGGGAGUUUUGGGGGUGGAAUCGGUGUCCAAAACCAUGUCGUUUCCACCACGGGCCAAAGACAGAGCAAUCAGAGAUACCAAUAACACAAGGCGGAGGAGACCCGACGCCAUUGGACACCACCACCAGUCAACGAAACUCCUCUAAUUUGUAAUUCAAUUUAUGAACCGAUUCAAUCCAAUGUUGAGGAGACAGAGAAAGAAGAAAGGGAAGAGAAUUGGUUUUUUUUUUUUUUUUUUAAACCUCUUUUUCUAUUGGUUUUUUUUUUUUUUUUCUUUCUUUCUUCUUUUUUCUCUGCUCCUAAGGAAAAAAGAAAGCUGGAAAUGGCGAAAUAUAUAAUUUUAUUUGUCCACCGACGACGUGACGUGAUGCCAAGACCGGUAGACGGACACCAGACAAAAGGUGACGCGUAAUAGAAGUGGGAACCAAAGUCAUUCUUUUUCCAAUGCACUUUUCAUAAGCUCUCUCAACUGUAAAUUUAUACCCUGUUUGAAUCUGCUUUUAUGUCAUUUUUGGAAGUGCUUUUAUGUCAUUUUAAGAAGAAGGUACUUUUAAAAUGGCUAAAUUGCUUCUAAAAAUAUUGACAAAAAACAUUCGAAGUGUUUUUAGGUUCCAAAGGUAUUUUUUCAAGAAGUACUUUUUAAAUUAAUUAUUUUUUUCAUAAAAUACUUGAACUUUUUUAAUAAACAUUUCAAUGUGUGUCUACCAAAAGCACUUUUCAAUAACAAAUCAAAAUUAUUUUUCACUAAAUUAGUCCCGUUAGCAUUUUAUAUUCGUUUUAAAAACCAAGAGUAGUGUAGUAAUUCAACUCAAUUUGACACUCACUUUCUCCCUCCCACUUCAUAAUUGUUUUUAUAAAUAAAUAAAUAAAUAAACAAUGCCCUCCUACAGUAAAUUCCUCAUAAGGACAUGCAUAGGCUAGCAUAUGUGGAGGUCGAGGUUUCUAGUAAAAUUAUAACUUUAGUCCACACUAGCCUUUCUGCACGCGCUUCUGCGCUUGCGAGAGGUUUUUUUUAUAAAAAAAUUUAAAUUUAUUUUAGAAUUAAAAAAGAUAAUGGAUAGUUGGUUCCAUAAAAAUAGGAUCCAUUAUCUGAAUUUUCUUUUAAUUUUAAUUUUUUUAAUAUGAAAAAUUAUGAAUUUACCAUAUUAUCCUCAUUUAAUUACUAAUUUUAAUUCUUAAUGUUUGCAUUAACCAAGGGCAUUUUCUGGUAUUUUGAAUGUUUCACCAUUCUCUGCCUUUUGCUUUAUAUAUAUAGAUGACACAAAUUUUUUAACAAUAUCCAACGGCAAGGACAAAAUUGUUGUGUGGAAGUUAACUUGAAAGGAUGAUUCAUAGCAAAAAAAUAUAAUAAAAAACAAAGGACCAUAUGAUAGUUUCAUACCUUAAGGACGGCUGUGAUAAAACCCAAAAUAAAUAUGUACUCCGAAAAUUAUUUUGGAAAACUGGGCAUAUUAGAAAGCAAUUGUUGUUCAGAACAUGUUAAUAAAAUUAAGAGGGAUUCCCUAUUAUGCCAUAUAUGGGACCCAAAUUAUUUAUAAAUAAAUAAAAAAUAAUAUUAAAAAAACUUCUACAAUAAACGAAUUUUAGAAACACACCUGAAGUUUAUUUACAACAUAACAAAAAAACUUAUAACUUCCUAUAAAUUACAAAAUUGUCAUCAAUUUCUUAAAACAAACACAACCCCAAAACCUUAUAAAAUAAACUCAAAACACUCAACAUGUCAUCAAAGUAAUUUAAUAAUCAAAAUUAAAUUCAACAUGACCAACUGUCGUUUUUUGAGUGAGUUUAUAGAAAUUAAAUAAUGCAUGAUUUAUCUAUAUCAUUAGUGCUAAAAAUAAGUACAUAACUAAAUAUCUAUAAAAUUAUUUCUAAAAAGUGUUUCCGGAAAACGCUAAAAAUAGAAUUGUUCAUAUAUCUCCAAAAUUUAUUAACUCCGUUACGGAGUAACAAACAAGGCCAACCUCCAACUUCAGAUUUUGUUUGUUUGUUUUUUUUUUUGGCAAUUGGUCGUUGUCUUCUCCAUAUUCUUAGUUUAAGAUCAGGUCAGAUUUUGUUAAUCUUGAAAAACAGAUGUGCACACCUCAACCUUCAACAGAUAUGCCAAAAAUAUAAAAGGUAGAGAAAGGUUUUCAUAAAAAAGCAUUUUGGAUUUUCGUUCUUUGAUAACAAGACAAUUUGGUUACAAAGAUGCAGCUCAUCACCAUAGUUAUUUUCCGCAGCAUAUAUUACACAUCAAAUGUUACAUUUUUCACUUUCUAUCGUCGAUAUCGACUAAAUUUGUUUCUCACCACUACCUAGAAUUGUAUGGCAUUUGGGAUGAGCUGAUAUGCUUCAUGUUCAUCUUGGUUUUGGAAUCUGUUGUAUCUAAAGACUUCAGGCUCUCUAGGCUACUUAUGUUAUGAACCCACAUCUCUCCCCCCCACCCCCCAACAGUAAAAUUCGCAGAUUUCUUGUAAGAGGGGCAAGCUAAAAAUCAAGAGAUAGUUCUUUGUCUCAUCCAUUUUGUAGCCGACCACUUUUCCCCGGCCAGCACCUCACAUCCUCCAUGUACGCUAUUUGGAUCUGAUUGUCCAUCAAGGCCCUGAAAGAAGCAAGCAAAAACAAAAUGACAUGCAUGGAAGCCAGACCACUCUCUACUGCAUUUAAAGCUAUAGGAUUCAAAAUUGCAUCAGUUCAUCACCAUAGAAGGCAAACCAUCAUUUGGUUUUCAAUAAUGCAACCAGUAAUACAAUUUCAUAUACCGAAUUAAACUGGCAUUUAACAAUUCUUAUAAAUUAUAAUAUUUUGAUAAUUUAUAUAUUUGAAUAUCCCUUUUCAUUUCCCUAGUCAGUAAACAGUAGAAACCGGCAUUUCAGAACAAUUAAGAGGACUACUACUACCACCUGGAUUACAAUCACGGAUACUCGCCCAAUUAUACGAGCAUAUAUUACACUCAGAGCAGAGCAAACAAGCAGCCCUAGCUCAUUUUCUAUAAUUUUCUUAACUGUUGACAAGCAUGAACCAGUACUUAUUAGUAUCACUAAUCAUGUCCUGUAAUAACAAAAUUUAAAGCAUCCAGGUUCAGAAACAAAUAAAUAAACUAUGGGCACUAAAAACUCUACAAUUUUAUGCGUGUGGUCUUAUGAUCCUAUCUUUACAAUUUCCUUUCGUCUAUGACAUGCCAUAUGAAUUUGAGCGCAUACCCUAAUACACUUUUGUACAUAUGGCAUGCAUUGCAUGCCACCGAUGGCAAGUUAAACGAUGUGCCAAAACAAGGACAUCCUCUAAUAUGAUCAAGGGACUGAAGGCAGACCCAAUUUUUUAUAAAGAGGAUAACAAAUUAAGGAAACUACCAUGCUCCAAAAGAGUACUGCAUCUCCUUUAACUGGCUUUACAGACAAACCUCUGACAACUUUUCCACCACAGCUACAUUCACCUGAACCAGCCUGAAAUCACACACAAGUUAAAACACAGAUGAGCAGUGCAAAAUUCAACACAUAAUAUGUGCAAAGGUAAGGGUGGAAAGAAAGACCACAAAAGAAAAGGAGGAUCGAAAGAGAACUAAAGAUUGGGUUAAUUAUAUAUUUAAAUGUCACGUGUAGAAUAAAGUUGUUAUAUGGGUUGUGAGUGAUUUUUAUGUACCUGACAUAACAAAAGAAAAAGAUGAUAGUGUCAGGUACACUAAAAUUAUGUCUAUAUAAUCUCGAAUCAGGUACAUAAAAAUCAACGGUGAUGUAAAUUUAAAAGAAGUAUAACCCAAAGAUUGUAGAAAUAGGGGUUGGUCUUACUCCAAAAUAUCGUUGAAGCCAGGAUUUCUUAAAGGAGAAACCAAGGAGAAAACCUCAAAGCACAAGAGUUAUUAGAAUCUGAGUUAAAAUACUUAAAAUUUACUGUUCAAAUCUAUUUGCUUUGCAUAGGUCCUAUCUCUUUUUAUAAAGACAGCUUUAAUGCGACUUCAAGCACCCUCUUAGCAAAAAAUGACUAUUUAUAUUUACUAGAACUCACUUAUUAACCCUCUCAAUGACUCUUUGACUACCAAAACACUCUAAAUGACUCUUACUCCUCAUUCAAUGACCAAAACCCAUUGCCCAUGCAUCAUUAAUAUAUGCAUCAAAUGGAAAUCUACACAUCAACAAAAUGUCAGUUAAACCUGUACGGCUGAUGUGUGCUUUCAUGUCUAUGUGUUGAGUAAGGUAAAUAUUUAAAAUAAAAUAAAUUGUGGGAUUCCUAUAAUUUAAUCCCUUAAAUUGGAGGACUCUUACCACUUAAAAUUUCAUAAGUUACUGAAUUUAAUGAUGUUGAAGCGUAAUACGGAAUGAAACAAUAACAAAAAUGUACCUAUUGAAACCACCUAGUCACCAACUUAUUUAAGAAAAAUGGGGGACUUGGUUGUGGAUCCAAUUUCACUAAAGGAAAAACCUCAGUUCCACCAGUGCACCUGUCCCCUCCCCUACCCCAUAUUUCACUCCAAAACCAUGUCCGUUAUCACUAGUUCUGGAAGCAUGAAACCAUUAGGUAGCAAGUAAAUUAGCCUCCUUUUUUUCUUAUUUUCAUGUAUCCAAGUAAAAGAAGUGUUGUUUUUAGCAUUGAAACCUACAUAUAUGAUAUAUCAAGAACAACCGCAUAAAAAAGAGCAUCAAAUCAUAAAGACAAAUUACCAGAGGGAAAUAUGUUUCUCCACCCUCAACAAUAUCACUUAGAUACAUUAGAAUUGUUGCUACUCGCUGACCACCGCGUUUCAAGUUGAACUGUUAACAAAAACCCGAAGUAAUAUUUAGAUUCUUAAUGCUAACACGAAAGGAUUUAAGCAUGACUGCAACUAAGGCAUACUAAUGCUUGCAAAUCUAGGGUAAAGAAACUUACAGUGUCAGAGAAGUAGUCAUGAUGAGGUUUGUAAAACUGAUUCUUUUCGUACCUGUGCUGCUGCAGAUGUUAGUCUUGAUACUGAACUAUAUCACUCUACAUGUUCAUGAAAUUUACCAUACUCUAAAAUAAAUAAAAUCUUGACCUUAAAACUUGAAUGAGUUCGCCAUUUUCUACUGGUACUUGCGAAUAGACAGAAAUACGCUUUUCAAUUGCCUAAUAAGGAAGCGAAAACAAGGACAGUUAGAUGGAAUUCUGUUUGCUGUUUUACCGCAAAAAAAGAUUGUAUCUUCUGAAUCGGUACAAAUAUGAAGCUGAAUGUAAAAUGGAAGAGAAUUGAACUCAAAACAAAAACUAACCUGUAUCGUCGGGUACUUUUUCUCUUCAUGACUCAAGAACAUACCAGAGCUUGUACGAACACUACUUUUUAUUCCCUGGAAGAAAUUAUACAUAAUAUGAUCAAUAAUGCACUUAACUGGAAAAGAAGAAGAAUAAUAUUUCUUGUACUCAAUUACAAUUUGAUGAGACCCAUGUGCGAAAUUGGGUACUUCUCAAAAUAAUUUGGUAUACUAAAGAUACCAAAUCCAUAAGAAUAAUUAGGUCACUCUGCUAGUGCUAUCUUGUUGACCAAAAGUAACAGGUUCUCAUCCAACUAACAAAUUUUAUUAAAUAAUAAGGGAAGAUUUUACUGGGGGCAAAUCUUAUUUGGAAGGCCAAAGUAUCUCCUAAGGUACUGGUGUUAGCUUCGGUUAUUGCUCAUGGGAAGGUGAGUACCUGUUAUAUGGUUCAGAGGAGAAGAUCUUACUGGUGUCUCACACCUCACUGUAGCGAGAUGUGUAAAAAUUCUUUUGAGAGUUCAAAUCACUUGGGUGUUCUUAGUAUAAUCACUUACCAAAAUUUUGGAUGGAAAGGAAUGGAGGUGGUAGAUUCCCACCAAAAAUGAAGUUUGGGUGUCACAUUGCCAAAAAAAAAUUUUCUAAGUAACAAUAUCAAAGCAUUUUCUUAAUGCAUUGCAUAAAAUGCGCUAAGAUCCAUCAAAGAGUUGACUGAUACUUGAAGUGUAAGAUAAUAAGUAGGGUAUCAUACGUACCUUUCCUGUUUUGGUGUCCACUACAGUGGAGACUUCAAGGCGAGGGGAGGCAAUAGUUCUAAGAUUGUCACAUUCCUGCAAUGACCAUAAAUAUAUCCUGUAACUUCUUUUUCAGAUUAGAACAGUUAAAGAAUAAUGCAAGAGCUUUCAUAAAUCCACUAGCAGAAAUCAUUUUGACAUGUGCUUGCAAAUAUUAUUGACCACUCAGCAUUUGAAAGCUUAAGAUUAUUAAGCGAAUGUGCAAACUUCUAUCAGAAGUAGGGCACAGCAACUUUGUAUUUCAAGGUCAGAAAUGAUCCAUUGUCUACUGAUUUUGAAUUUGAGUGGAAAGGGGAGAGAGAUAAAUGGAGCAAGAUAGAAGAUAGAUAAGUCCAAAUUAAACAUCAUAAUCAUCUAAUAUUUAUUGCUGCAAUCUAGAAGCUUCCCCGACAUCUCUGCAGGGCCACUACACUUCUGGUACUAUGAACUCAGUUUUCCACUAGACUCUUGCUAAUUUUUCUGGCUCACCAAAAUCAUUAUAGAUCUCUUCUAGAAACAUACCAGCACUUGAUUGGAUUGCAUCAACUGAACUUACGUUUUUUGUUUAUUUGAAUAAGCUGAAAAAUAUUUACUUACCCCUCUAGUUCACUAGGAAAAGAAAAAUAGCAGCUAAAAGGAAAGAAAGCAUUUUAAAAAUCCAGUACACCAACUUGGCCCAAAGAGUGACACUCUGUCAAGGAUGAAAAUAUUGGCCAAUAUCCCGAUAUAUCCCUUUUUUUAGGUGUUGAUACAGAUACAGGGGGGUCAGCCUAUUUCUUCCCCCUUAUCGGCGAUAUAUCCCCGAUAACCCCUGAUAGCCUCGAUAUUUACCGAUAUUUCCCAAUACCAUACAAAUAACCCAGAAAUUUGUCUUCAGUUUUGAAAGUAAUCAUAGAUCCCAGCCACUGAAUCAUUGUCAAAAACCAAGCUCUAAUAUUUAGUAGCUUCUCCUUUAUUCUCUUCUCAGUCAUUUCGGCUAUCAUUGGCUCAUUCUCUCCUCUCUCUGGUUGCUCGGUUUCUUGUGUGUUUGAUUUUAUUUUUCACCUAAUCUUCUAUCUCUCAUUUCCUUUUAUCAUUAAGUCGCACUUUUGCAAUAUAAUGUUGGGUUAUGUAUAUGGGUUGGGUUGGGUUAAGUUUGAAUAAUGUUGUCUUUGUUGUGUUAAGUCUAAUUGUAUUUAUUUUCAAGAUUUUCAUCGCGCAUUAUAUGCACGUACAUUUCAUCAUAUGCAUAUCUUAUACUUAGUAUAUUUUGAAUUUUAUUUGUUCAAUAAAUUCAUUGAUAAUGUGCUUACUAUCUAUGAAAGUUUCACUUCAAAAUUCCGUGUUUUUAAGCCAAUAUCUGUCUUUUUUGUCGAUUUUCCCAGAUACCUAAAACAACAUCGAUAUAUCCCCGGAAAUAUCCGUAAAUUGAAGGCCCGAUAAUAUCUGUAUUGCCAAUAUUUUCAUCCUUGCACUCAGCUAGUAAAUUUUAAGUUAGUGAAUAUGACCUGUUUCUCAUUUCUCAUUAUAAAUCCCUAGUAAGCUUAAUUUACAAUUUCAUGCUGAAUAUUUUAUUUUGAAAGAUUAAUUUAAUUUCUUCAAUCCCUUUUGCUAUUAAAUUAUUAGAGUAACCUCUAAAGUCAAGCAUGCUGUAAAAGUAUCCUACAUCAAAUGUCAUUUCACAAGUAUAAAGACUAACCCAUUAAUCUAUCACGAAUUCACAAGUCAUACUUCCACAUAAGCAGGUUGUUCUGAAUACAUUCAGACAGACAUAGAUGUUAUGGGUUUGUACUUAUUAUUCCAAAUAAUUCCAUGCUUCAAUUUUCCAAUAUACCAACCUUUUUCAGCUUGGUAAGUUCCGUACGUGACAGUGUUUGGGAUUUAUUUUUUGGCACUUUAUAUUAUCAGUAGUAUCGUAUUUUAAACAGAAAAUUAGUUCAAGCUCAUAAAGAAUACUGUAAGAGUAAAGCAAAAACAAGCCAACAAGAAGAGGGUGAUGCUAUUAUAUGACAUAAACAUACCUCCAUGCUCAAGAAGUUAUGAAGUACAAUUAUUCGAGGGGACCAGCUAAUUAUUUCAGGUUGGACCUACAUUGACAGGAUAAAGAAAGAAAAAUCAAAUUCAACUUAAGCACUGAACAACCAUAAAAACAUCUCCAUCGUCACUUUUCUCAACCAAAAGGGAUGUGAAGAUAUAAGCUGGUGUUCUAAAAGUGGAAAUAGGUAAUUCUUGUAGGAAGGCAUAGAAAGGGCAAAUUAUGAGUUUAAAAAUUACAAAGAGAUAAAUUAGAACAUCUUCAUGUUUGUAUGCAGAGAGGGAGAGUGUGAGAGAGAGAGUCAUGGUUUUCUGGAAGUCACAUCCAAUAAUAAAAUAAAAGCCCUUUCUAUACUUCCUACCAAACUCACCCAGUUGUAGCCUCGAGCAGAAACAUUAAAAAGAAAAAGUACCAAGCAUAAGAACACAGAAUAACCACAAGCCCUGCAUUGAUCUUUUAACAGAACCACUGUAUGGUUUUUUUAUGAAAUAAAAUUUCUCCUUUUCAAAAAAAAAAAAAAAAAAAUCUUUUAACAGAACCACAUAGGCUAACAUACAGUCUGGAGUAUAUAUAUUCUUUUGUAUUGUGCUAUAUCAAGGGAACUUAUGUAUUUUAUCUUCUCUGUUACCAGAAUAAGAUGACUUAUGUGUAGGUUCUUUUCAUAUUUUGUUUCUUUGUUAUUGGAAACUAAAGAGAUAUUACGAUCAUACUUCAAAAAAUCCCAGAAAUUUAAAUCAUCAUGGAUUUCAGGUCUCUAAUUAAUGAUUUUUCAUUCUCUAGAAAAACAUCCAAUUUUCAUUGUCCUUUAUGUCAAAUGGUGCAUGAUACUUUUUCCAACAGGCAUGGGAUUAUCUUAAAGACUAGAAACGAAAAAUAAAGCUAAAUAUGCAAGCAUACAUAUCCAAGCCGUAAAAUUUUUGCUUCUUUGUCAUUGUUCCAAUGAGAACCUGAGAAUUCAAAAGAGAAGAAAAGCAAAUUAGAUAAGGAAAAAUGUUUGCAACACCAUAAUGAUCCUUUCUCAAGCUUCUUCUAAUCUGAGGAACAACUGGAAUACUAGAAACUCAGAGACACUUAAAAACGGUUAAUUCAUUACUAGUAAAUCUAUUGUGCAUGCGAUAACUCUAAUUAAAACGUCAAGAACAGAAAAGAAGACAUCAUGCAUAAAUAUAAUAAAUGGAACGCCUACCAUAUAAACAAUGAGUCAAAACAGUGUCAAAUACUAACACCUGAAUUCAAGCUUCAAGCUCCUCUUCGUACAUGCAUACGCAAAACUUUGUGAUGAAGGGCCCAAGAAGAAAAGUAUAUUCAUUUUAUGAACAAGUGUUUUAAAACGCUGAUCCAACCCAAGGGAAAUGUCUUUCCAUGGACUUCAGUUUGAUCCUCUCUCAAUCAGAAUCUUCACAUUUUGAAGAAGGUGGAAGUUCCAAAUGGGAUACCUUUUUUCUUUUCAAUUUUAAAAGAGUUCUAAUUUGAGUACUUUAAGUGCUUCACUGUGCACACCAUGUCUUUUCGGUCACAGGGAACCUUCUUUUUAAUUUGUUUUCACGUUUUAGGAAAGCCUUGGACUUGGAUUGUAAUUGUAUAGGACACCUUGGUCUUCUUCCUUAUUUUGUGAAUAAAAUUGACGUACUGUGGAAAAAAAAACAAAAAGAAAAGAACCUCAGUUACACUCGUUACUUUUUAAUUGCCCAAUAUGUCUUUCUGGUUUUCAUUUUUAGUUUUACUAAUAAAAUUCAAAACUAAGAAUAAAUUCUCAUUAAAAAAACUAAAAAAAUCUCCUUAGCCUCCCCAUGUUCUUGUUACAGAGCCUAACAACCCUAAUAUCAUCCCAUAAACUCCAUGAUAUUGUGUCAUUUGGUUUUUUCCUUGGCAUUACAAAGUUGUGUCUACAGAGAAUAUAACUGCAAUAAAUCAAAGUCAAACAUUUUAAAGACAAUGUAAAUAUCAAGUCCUCACCUACGUCCAAUUUUCUUUUUUUCUUUUUUCUUUUGAUAACUAAACAUCUUUAUUUAGAAAGGUCAGGGGGUAAAGAAAGAAGAAUAUACAGUGAAGAAAAAGAAAUCCACAAGAAAUUCAAGAGGUUAUAUUCAACCACACAGAGUUAUCUCAACAACCUUUCCUUUGGUGCUGAAUGCCAUAUCGUAAUGAAUACCCUACUUAAAUGCAGCCGAAUCAUAAUAUAAAUUAUGAAAAAUAAUAGAUUGACUAAAAUUAUUAUUUUCUAAUUCAAAACUCAAAUAAGGAACAAAUGUGGUGGCAUAUCUAUCUACCAAACAAAACUUGAUAAGAACCAUACCAACCUCCGGGCAACUCGAGAUAGCCAUCAUUUAGACUUCUACGCACUCUUCUAGGAGAUGGAAACUCGGAGCCUAAAAAGGACCAAUUUUAAAAAAGAUAAAUCAUGUGAUAGAAUAACAACAAAAUAAGCAUGAUAUAAAAUCAUCAAACAAAAUAACAAUAAAAAGAAAUAUGAUAUCACUUUACAAGAAUAAAACAUUACAAAGAAAAUGUCUUAGACUCAAUGAUUCAAUCAACAAUAAAAAGUCCUAAAAAAAUGGAAGAUUGUACAAUUUACUCAACUAAAUGUAACAGCUCAAUUUCUGUCAAAAUAGACCUAACAAAGAAGGAAAAACCCCACAGAAUAUUAAGCAAUGAAGAAAAUUAUACUUCCAAAGAUGUGCAGCAUAGCGAAGGUGGAAAAGGGACAUUUACAAACGGAAUAAAAGCAUGCCAGAAGAACAUUCAAAUUAGUAGAAUUAAAAGAAGAUCCAAAUCAGAUCUUUUAAAAAAAUACAUAAACUAAAGAUAAACGAAUUUUCUUCAGACAUUAUUCAUUUCCCGCAAUCAAGGUUCAACACCAUGUUACACACAAACCAGGUUUUAAUCUCUUGCAGGCUCUCAUAUGAUAGCUUCUAUGACUCUAGUAUCUUAAUCGCCAAUUAUUUUCAACUAUUGCUGGUUGAAUAAGAUAACAUAAUUUCACUCAAAAGCAUGCAGUGGAUAUAUCUCUGAAUGUUUGAUGCCAAGGAAUACCAUAAAAUUUGUACAUACUUGAAUCUUAAUUAUCCUGAAUCUCGUUUAAUUGUAUUAUUUUUUAUGACACUCUAUCCAAAAUUACAAUCCAAUGGAUCAGCUCUUAAAAAUGCCAGGCCCAGUUUGAAAAUUCUGUUUUACAAAGAAAAAUGAUAUAAAUAGAUGAAAAGGAUGCCCGUUGUUCUGCCAAAAAGACUGUUUCAAUCUGACUAAAAAGUCUGAUCCAUGUUAAGGUUUGCAAAGAGGAAAAAGAGAACCAGAAAAAUCUAACAUAUAUGAGUAAGAACUUCACCAUAUGCAUCUGUCAAGAGCUCUUCUACUUGGUAGAGAAAGAAAGAUAUGUCAAAAAAGAAAAAAGACUAACAAAGUCCCAACCAUGAGCUGAAUGUGCAAGUACGAGGGGAAUUACAAGAUAAUAUAUUUUUGUAUGAAAUUUAAUCAAUUGCAAGAUACCAUAUGACUCUUCCAAUCUUCGUAUAAAUGCCAAUUGAAACAAAGCACCUGCGAUUCAAAAAAAACAAUCAGAAGAUGCUCGCUUAUUGAAAAUAAAGUAAUUUAAAAUCAUUCAAACGUAAUGUCAAACUAACAGCUUGUUAGAAACCACCAACCAUUUAACAUGGAAAAAAAGAGGAUAGCUAAAAAUAGUCAUACAUUCAUACCCAAGAACAAAGAAUUCUUUCUUUGCAUGUAUUAUAUGAGGGUAAAGCGUAAGCAGUAAUCGUAGUGGGGUUUGUUUAGGAUAAUAGAUAAUAAUCCUCUCUUAAGGUCUCCAGGUUGAUCCAGGAGUCUCUAGAGGUUUUCAAAAGAGGCAAGGAAGACAGUUGAUAUUGGAAGGCCGGAAAUUCCCCAGACUGCAGCCCCAUGCCUACACCUUCUCUGUGCUCUGUGUGAUCCGCAGUACUAGGGUAGGGUGCAGUGCCAUUGCCCCACAUGUCUCUCUGUUAUUUCAAAUUCCUGUUUAAAAGGAGGAUAUCACAGGUUUCAUUUUUUAAGUUCUUCCAUUUCUUUCAUCAUUUUGAUCCCUCCAGUCCAACCACAGGGGUUUCUAAAGGUAGCACAUCUUGGGAUACACAUAUAUCUGCAAAGAUUUUAGCUGUGAGCUUACAACGCUGUGCAUAACUUCAAUGUUUCUAAUUUUUCCUUUACCAUACUUACCAAUCCGCAUAGCCAGAAAUCAAUGCAUCACAUCUCAACAAACUUCAGAGCUAGAUUAAUUUGACAAAUCUCGACCAAAGAUGUACAAUUUUUCACUCCAAAAUACUGCACUGAAAGUGCUGUCUAUAAAUUUUUUUUUUUAUUAUUCCUACCAAGAGCCCUUAUGAUAUGCCCUAAGAAUCCAAGUCCAAUGAACCUAUUUGUGGCGUUGGUCAUUCCUAAAGUUAUGAAUCUGCAUUACAUUAGUUUGAUUCCGAACCUAAUAUCCAAUACCCAGAUCAAAUCCAGAUAGGAGCUUUCUGGUUGGUUUUCGAGAAACCAAAGGAAAAUCAAGUUUUCGAGAAACCAAAGGAAAAUCAAGGAUAAUAAGAACAUUGGACCAAGAUUCAAACUUCCUCUUCGACUCCUACAGUUUUCUGGUUAAAUAGAAACGAGAUAUAAUCGUAGAAUCAACAUAUACACAAAUCAAUAUAAUGUAAUGUAUAUACAUGUACAUGUAUGUAUAUGAUCAAGAUAAUAGAAAUUUCUUUGAUGAUUUGGUUUUACCUAUAAUCAUUCCGACUGUGACAAACGUUAGCAGUCCGAAUACAAUCUUCAUCGCAGCAGCCAUGGCGUCAGUUAGAGAGAGAGAGAGAGAGCGAGAGGGAGCGUGCGUCUGUGUGGCAGCAAAAAGGGGGAAAUCUAGGAACGAAUUACUCUCUGAAGACCAUUGCUUGCUUCGGUUGAACGCCUUGUACUCUACACUACGCCGGGAUUAUCCAGCAUUUGUCAAAUGAGUUUUGAUGUUUUAGUCAAAGUUUUUUCUAUUGGUCAAGUUUUUCUUUUUUCUUUCAAGAGUCAACCAAAAUAAUUUUGGGCAAAAAAAAAAAAUACCCUUUUUUUUUUCAAAUUGACCAAAAAAAGUACUACAUCCCCCACCUCCCCUAAACUUCAAUUCGGGGUGAAGUUUGCUCGGGAUGCUAGCUUUUCUUCUAUACUGAUUGAGUUUGAUUCACAAGCAUUGGUAAAAUGACUUAAAGAAUAGUGGGGAAGAGUCUUGGGCAUUAGAUGGGCAUCUCAUUGAUCAUAUUAAGAAGAGUCUGCAACAAUUUGAUAGUGUUACUAUUUCUUUCAGUCCAAAGGAGUGCAAUCAAGUAGCUCAUCUUCUAGUAAGGCAUGCACUUAAUUGUAAUUCUAUUGCAACUUAGAUUGAAGAGGUUCCCCUCUGGCUAGGCCAAUUGUACAGGAUGAUACUAUUGUUUCCUCUUCAUUGUUAUCAAUGAAUUCCUCUUUUACAAAAAAAAUAAUAAUAAUUUUUUAAAAAAAAAUAUUACUACACUGUAAUUACAUUUCCAUCUAAAACUUUCUAUUACAUGGUUGGGGGCAUUGGAUGAGGGAGUACGAACAUAUGAUAUAAUUUGAACAUGUAUUAUAAUAUAAGUGAAUCUUUAUUUAUAUUAUUCUAAAAUGAGAAAUAUUAAUCAUGCCGUCCACCAAUAUUAUAACACAUACACAAAUUAUACCACGUGACUUACCUCAAUAUCAUACUAUAAUUUCUUAGACACAAGGACAACUUCACCCAUUUGCUCUUUACAAUAGCCUAGGCCCAUCUGUAGCUGCUGGAACAAAAAAGGCCCUGUAGGAUUUUCUACAACCAUUCAGGAGACGCCACGUGGAUAUUGGAAUAGAAGUCAAAUAAUUGUGUCAACUAAAUUCCCAUUUAAUUGGCCAAUUAUCAAGAUUUAAUAUAGGGGUAUCUUCAUAAAUCAAGGAUUUUAUUUCCAUUAAAUCUUGUUGAUUUACCCAAUCUCCUUAUUUACGGAAAAGAGUAAUUCCCUUAAAAAAUAAUUAUUCUCCCAUAAAUCAUACCAAAGAUGACAGAAGAUCAAAAAACUAUAUAAAGAUAACAUCAUAUCGCAUGGAGGUAACUUCUUCCAAACCCUAAACAAAAAACCCUAGGUUACACGUCUCUCUCUCUCUCUCUCUCUCUCUCUCUCUCUCUCUCUCUCUCUCUCUCUCUCUCUCUCUCUCUUCGACUCAUGCCGCCCACUCUCUUUCUGAAGAGAAAACACUCAUUUCCUUUCAGAAAUAUUUGUAUCUCCUUGAGACCAUAUUCUAACUUAGGCAUCGGAGGGCUCUUGGCUAACACCACAUCAGCCUUAAUUGAUUUGCAGUGUGCUUGGAGGAAUUCAUUCAAGAGAAGCAAGGAUCUUCUCCAAAUAUUCCCGCAGAGAACAUUUGCACAAACAAAGAGGUGCUUUCAUUGAGAGAUUUGAGUUAUACUCAAAGCAAGUCUCUCGAAUCUAAAUCAAGGGAAAUCUGUUUCCUUUCUAUCAACCAGUUUCAUCUGAAACCUUCAAAUCUCCAUGGUAGGAGGUGUUGUCACGAGGAGCAAGGCUGCCGUGACCAACAACUCCACCACGAGUUUGAGUCAUCCACAUGGUGCGAAGUCAAGCCAUCCGCAUGGUACGGAUUCGAGCCACCAUCCUCACGGCCCCAUUGCCAAAACCACCAAUCCACUAUAGCCAUUCCAGGAUGAGUCAAAGAAGCUUGCCUUUGCACUUGUUAAAGCUAGCACCACAAAAAUGGAAGUUCAGCAAAGUGGACUUGGUGCAAGCACUAGAAGUAGUAGCCAAAAUAGGCAAACAUGCUCCCCAACGUGGACAAACAGACAAGCUUUCUCAACUGCUAAAGUAAAUACACUACAGAAGUUCGAUGACAGAGUGCAGCUCUAGUUAAUCAAUCGUAAAUCCUAACUUCGAUUUGCGCUUGUUAAGGUUAGCACGACAAAACUAGAAGUUAGCAAUGUAGACAUGGUGCAAGCACCUCUUGAAGGUGACAAACAGGGUUCCUCCAAUUCUUGUAUUAGCCAAGAUUCUUAGUGCAUACAUAUAAUGAGUAGGGUAUUUUAUUUUAACCAGAUUCUUUUAGUUUCUUGCCUGUAAAACCAAUUUUUUAAUUCAUUACACUGUAAAUCCCUUUAUGUAUAUAGUUGAUUCAAUUGUCUUCUUCUUUAUGCAAGAUUGAGUUGUACUAUUGUAUUCUUUUCAAUGGAAUGAAUUUGAUUUGUUUCUUGAAAUAAUUUUAAAUGUGGGAGUAACAACCAUGACAUUAAUUUUUCCAAGAGAUGGCAGCCAGCCCUACAAGCAUCCACUCAAGGUUGGGCCUGUGAGGAGAUCAGCACCAAAGCCUCUUCGCUGAGAACGUGAAGGAAAACACUCACUGGAUUGUACCAAAUGGGCAUAUUCUAGUUCACGCGCCAUGGGACUCCCUUCACAAGCUCAUUCCACUAACAUGCCGCACUGGCAAGACAGCCAUCAAGAAUAACCCCUUCGACAGAAGUGGAGGUUAACUAGCGAUGCCGGUGUCGGGGACAUCCUCAACCCAAACCGCAACCUUUGCCAGUAGAGGAUAUUGAGAAGCUGGUGAACGAGUGACUCCGGAACCUAAAAGUUGAAGGAGACCUAGAAGACGCACUGUGUCGAGAAGUAGACCAGGUGAACACCUCAUCGUUCACUAACAAGAUUGAGACGGCAACUCCACUAAGGCAGUUUACAACACCUUCCCUUACACCGUUCAAAGGGGAUUCUGAUCUCGAAAUCCAUCUAAAGCAUUUUAGGAGUAUCAUGAUACUCUGCAAAGGCAAUGAUGCAUCAAUGUGCAAGGUGUUAGCCAUGACCCUGCAAGGAGCAGCUUAGGAUUUGCUCCACACUCUAGCGCUAAAGUCGAUCCACAACUUCGGGAGUUAGCUCCCAUAUUCACAAAGGAAUACACUUCAUAUCGAGUGAUCAAGAAGCAUUCUGAUCACCUUUUCAACAUAAACAAGGAACAUAAUGAAUCUCACCUAGACUUCAUCAAAAGAUUCAAGGCAAAGAAAUCCAAUAUAAUAGGAUGCGACAACUGAAUCGCAUCUUCAGCUUUUAAGAAGGGCUUACCUACCAAACACAAGUUGUAUCGCGAGCUAACCAUGGCUCCAAGUCAGACUCUGACUAAUGUCUUCGCAAUGGCAGAGCGCUAUGCUCUUUGGGACGAUGAUUGGAGCACUGCGAAAGAACCAUGCAAGCAAGUUGACCAGCCACAAAAGGAAGC